RNAcentral lists this long non-coding RNA (93774 nucleotides) under Populus trichocarpa (black cottonwood). RNAcentral's name for it is "long non-coding RNA (PTRI_LNC003762)". The stretch from base 17048 to 17119 matches the Rfam family "tRNA". Lineage: Eukaryota; Viridiplantae; Streptophyta; Magnoliopsida; Malpighiales; Salicaceae. The record is from RNAcentral.
CCUCUCUCUCACUCUAGUCCUUAAGUUUUUAUUAAAAAAAAAAAAACUUUUUAUAUAAAGAGGCAAUACUGAACAAAACAACUAUUCAUAACCCGUUAUGUGAAAAGAUUCUUGUAAAAUAAUAAUAAAUGAGUUUCGUUAGUUCAAAGAAUAAUACUUAAUUGGUUAUGUAAAAUCUUCAAUAAAAUUACCUGAAUUGAAUUUAUUGAAUUGCGUGAUGAAUUAUGCUGCGAAAUAACCAAUUAUGUGAAAAUAAUAGUAGCAGUUGUGCUAGCCUGAGCCUGAGCCUGACCCAGAACCAGAACCAGAACCAGGUGAGCAACUUGUGGGCCUUUAACCCUUUUUUUUCCACCAACAAUAGGCUAAGAAUUUGGUUCCUUGUUAACAAGAUCAUAAGAUGUCUCUCGUUGACUAGUAAGAUAUAAUAGGCUAUUGAUUGUCUGCUGAAAAAAAAAAAACAAUUAAAAUUUGUCUUUUUCUUCUUUUAUUUUUUCUCCUUGAGAAAACCAUUAUUUGUGAAUUAAUAGUAAUUAAAGUUGGAAAAAAAACAUUACUAAAAUAUAUCAAUUUUGUUUUGAUAUUAUUUUAAUUUUAUUUUUUAAAAGUAUUUUUCACUUAAAAAUAUUUCAAAAUGAUUUUUUUUUCAAUUUCUUUUAUUUUUAACAUCAACACAUUAAAAUUACAAAAAAAAACACCAAAAGAAAAAAAAACAAAUUUAUUAGGAUAGAUAAAACACAAAAGUUUUUGUAUUUAUUAAGAAAAAAUGUCAAAACCCAAAGUGCUAAUUAGGGCAUGAACAAGAUCAAGAAAUCCCAUAAAUGUCCAACAAAAUAAGGGUUCUAAGAAGUAUGCAAAUAAAGCUCCAUCGCCAUAGCUUUGUUCAUCAACCAAUCAACAAUAAAAUUUGAUUUCUUAUAGACUUUACCUUCUUGACUAAUCAGUCUAAAGCUGGCAGGUUACGGGUAGAUUUUGUCAAACACGUGGAAGAUUGUAACUUGCCUAUUCAUCCCUUAACAUUCUGAGCAACGACCAAUGGACGGGGACGGAGCCAAGAUUCAAAAAUAAAGGGAGUAAAAUAAAACUUUUCAAGAAAAGUGGGAGCAAACAUCUAAAAAGAAGAGGAUGAAUUUGAAAUGAUAAAAUUAAAGAGGACUAAAAUGAAAUUAUUGAGAAUUUAAGGGUGGUAAAUGCAUCUCUACUCCUCCAUGGACCGACCGUGUAGCUCCGCCUCUCCCAAUAAAUUCAUCACCACCACCGACAUCCGGCAAUUAUUUAUUUAUUUAUUUUUGUAUUAUUUUAAAAUGAUAUUUUUAUAAAUUCAUAUUUAAAUUAUCAUGUAAAAUUCAUAGAGAAAUAUGUAAUAUAUAAAGGAAUGUUGAUGGGCCAUGAUGAGUUUUAAAUAUUUUUUUUGUUGUAUUUCCUCACAUAUACAUUUUUGUAUGCUAAUUGAUAGAUUUUUUUUUUCGGAUGAUCAAGAGUAUCUUUAUAUAUAUAUUUGCAAACGAUUUUAAGUGUGCAUUUCAAUAUCUAUCUAGCGAGUUUUAAAAAACAAAUUCUCAUGUACGUUAUUUAUACGGUUUUAACUCAUGAAAUUAAUAAAGAAAAAAAAAAGAAAAUCUUAUUAUCACCAAAUUUAUUUAUUGGAUUUAUAUCCAUGGAGUGCUCGUUAAGAGAUUAAUUGUUAAGGCAUCUCCAACCUGAUGGUAAACGAGAAGUGAAAUUGAAAAUAUAUCAUUCUAGGCUCAUCAUCCACUCCAAUAGAAUAUCCAUAUAAAACACCAAAAUCUCCUUUCUCCUUAAAAAAUAAAUCAUCCCUAUAUAUUUUGUAAAAAGCCAAAACCCAACUGACAAAAAAAAAAAAAGAGCACAAUAUAUUAAAUAACGGUAUUUCAACCUGGGAUGUAGCAUAACUGGUUAGUCCUGAGUUUGUUUCCUAGAAGUCACCAGUUUGAGUCUUACAAAUCUCAGAGCCACUGGAGGCUUACAUGGUUGUUAACUUCAAGGCCCGUGAAAUUAGUUGAGAUGCACGCAAAUUAACCCGGACACCCACGUUAAUCUAAAAAAACAAAUAACGAUAUUUCUUCAUCUUUUAGUACAUUAAAUAUAUUAAAAUGCAAUUGACUCUUUUAAAUUGUCUUUUAAUAUUGGAGUGUAUAUAAACAAAAAAAAAUUAUAGGUAAAAUAUAUUAAUUUAAAUAUUAAUUGAGUUUAAUUUUCUAUAAGUAAAAUAGUCUAGAUUGCAAUUUAAUUUUUCAAGCAUUCCAAACAGUAUAAUUGAAUUUAAUUUUAUAAUUUAAUAUUUUAUUUUAAAUAUAAAAAUUAUAAUAGAAUAUAAAAAUUAUCAAUUAAUUUCAAUUUCAUAUAUAAUUUGAUUCCAAAGCAAUAAAUAAACUCUCAAUCAUAUCCUUCAAUUAAUUUCAGUUAAUCAAAUAAUUUAGCAGUCAUAUAAAACUCACAUCAUUUCUUCUUCUUUUUUUAAUAUAAAACUAUCACAUACUUUAAGAUCAUGUGAGGAGGAGAAUUUUUUACACGGAAAGAAAAAUUACAUGAAUUGCAAAUGAUAACUUAAUAAUUCUGUCAAAUAAGACUAUCAAAAGGAUCUAAUUAAAAACUUAUUAAUACAUUAAGAGUCUAAUUGAAAAAUGAAACAUGUGGGGACUGUCUUAAGAUUUUCCAAAAAGUUAAUAUCCUCAAUUUAUUUAUUUUUAUUAAGAAGAAAAGCCAAGAUUUUGAAAGAUGAAACCCAUAAAAACACGGCAUUAGCCGACUCUCAUCAGUCUUCUCUGCUAAGUAAACGCGAAGAAUUUUCUCGCAUUUUCCUGCACUUUCUCGCCAUCUUUCCCGGAAAAUAUCCGAUCAGGUACACUAAACACCCAAACACUCUCCUUAGAGACUCGAGCUUGCGCUGUAUUCUCUUCAUUUUCUUUUGGAAUUAAAAUUUCUGCACUUUAGCUCCUUAAUUAUGUCUUAAUAUCUUAAUUUCGUCUUUAUUUUUGCUAAUUAAUUGCUAAUUGCAGAUGUUAAAUAAAGAGAGCGAGGACGGAAAGGAGUAUUUUCGCAAACUUUCGAGAAAAGAACUUCAAAGUUUGUGUAAGCAAUGUAGUUUGCCUGCUAGAAAAUCAACUUCCGAAAUGGUCGAAUCGCUUGCGUUUUACUUUAUGGUAAUUAUUUUAUGAGGAAUCUCAAUUUCUGUUAUUAAUUUGCUAAAUUUGUAGUGUUGAGGACGUAAAUUGGAAAAUUAGGCAAUUUUUUUAGAAGUUUUUUAACUUAAUUUUUGUUAAUAGCUUGCCAAAUUUGUAGUUUUGUUACUAUUGUUUGGAAUUAUCUGUGUGUUUUAUGAAUAUAUGGUAUGUAAUUGAUAUGAGUUGUUUAGGAAGAAAGAUUUGUAGUUUUGUUAAUAUUGUUUGGAAUUAUCUGUGUGUUUUAUGAAUAUAUGGUAUGUAAUUGAUAUGAGUUGUUUUGGAAGAAAGUUUUUGGAGUAAAUGCUAGUUUUGGUUGGCAUGGAAGUGCGGUUUGUUCUCGAAGAAGUAUGAUUCGGUUUCUUUAGUAUGUUGUAGAAAAUGUUUUUCGAGGUUUUUGAACUUAUCGGCAUGCUUUAUUUGCCAAAUUCGUAGUUUUUGUUUUAUUUGAAACCAUCCACGUGUUUUAUGAAUAGUUGGUAUGUUAAUUUGCUAUGAGCUUUUUGAGGAUAAACUUUGAAGUACUUACUAGUUUUUGUUAAAUAAUGAAUUUUGGAUCUGAUUCGAUUGAGUGCAGUUCAUUCUUGAAGAAGUUACCAUUUUGUUUUUUAAUAUGUUUUAGAAAUUGCUUUUUUGUUAUUUUUGAACUUAUUCAUGAGUUUUAUAUGUAUUUGAGGAGGUAGUUGUGAAAAUUAGGCAAGUUUUAGUAUUGUUUUGCAUGGUAUGCUAAUGGCAUGAGGGUUUGAAUUUUUGUUCUUUUUUCCGCGCACAGACAGAUUUUGAGUUCUGCAUUUGUUUUGAUAUCAGUUAAAAUGUUUUUGCUUGUUAAGUACACUGAAACACUGAUGCCUUGACAUAUUUGCAGAGGAAGGGUUUGAGUUUGGUAUCAUCUAGCACAAGCAUAGUUGGGGUUCAAAAUGCUUUACUUCAUACGUCUUCGAUGCCACCAUUGCAGCCUAAGCCUGCAUUAAAUUCAAUACAAGGUUUGUGCCUUUGCAAACCACCAAACUCUGUGAUUCUAAUUUCAUUGAAUUUAGUAUUAUAUUUCUGAUUGUAAAUUGAGUUUCUAUCAAAUUGAUAUAGAUUCUUAUGAAAACUGAUCAUUAUUUCUGUUUCAGAUGGUUUUGAACUCAGAUCUUGUCCCGGAGAGGAGAUUAACAAAGGGAAUAGAAAUUUCAAAUACAAUAAAUCGGAAAGUUUUAUUGGGCCUGGAGCUUAUAAUAAGGUUUGUUUAUAUUUUUCUUUUUUUUUCCUGGGUGAAAGUGUUUAUUAAGAUUUGAAUGAUUGAAAUGCUUCCAUAUAGACCAUACAUGAUGCAUAUUCCUCCUUUUUGAUUGACUCAAGAUGGGUCUUAAAUUUCGCAUGUGUUAAUCAACAUGGGAGAUGUUAGAGGUCGAUAUCAAAGGAAUCUCUUGAUUUUAAGACUUUUUAUCUGUAUUACAAGUGCUGCAAAAUCUGAUCUCCUGCUUGUUAAUUUUGUUUUCCUUACAUAUCCACAGGAAAUCUUUGGUGGCUUAAUUAAUGAUUUUCGAGAGGUAUCUCCAUCUCAGUUUUUUUCUCAAUAUGCUGGGAGUCAUGUCAACCAUAAUAAGCCCCAAUUAAGCCUUGGUGGCAGGGUAGAAGAUUCGCCCCCAUUUCAUGGUACAGAUGUAAAUACUAUAGCCAGUUCUGAAGAGAAUGCCCAGCCUUCUAUGAAAACUACUGCAAAUGUCCCAGCAUCUUUUGAAUUUCAUGUCAGUUCGGAAGAGGGAAUUAAACUUUGUGUUGAUCUGAAUUCAAGCCCAUCAGAGUGGAUUAAGAAAUAUAAAAAUCAAGUUUCUUUGUGCGACAAUGUGGUUAAUACUAAGUCUCGGAGUCUUUAUCAAGAGCUUGGGUGUAUUGGAGAGAGUAAUAAGAAAAUGAAAAGUUCUGUUCUUCAGAAUAUGGAUUCUGACCAAAUCAGGGAUGACUUUGUGCAAACUGAUCCUUCUCCAAGUUCAGUUGCAGGAAAAAAUAUUAAUGUGAGUAAUGGUCAUCCAGUUGGAGGUAAUAAUUCCCUAAUCUCAUCACCCAUAAUACCUUGUGGUGUAGUUGUAGAUGUUACGCAAUCCUUGGAGGCGGAUCCAGGACUUGCCUCAGCCGAACCCAGUUCUGAUGGGCAGAACCAGAAAACUUCGAACACUGAAUCCUGUAGCAAAAAGGAGAGCAUCGCUGCCCCUGAUUCAGAUAUCACUGACACUACGUUAGAAAAGACAGCCUGCAAUUUUGCUGUAAACUCCAUCUCCAACGGUUCUGUAGAUUGUAUUGCAUUGAUGCAUCAGAGUUCAAAGCGUGAUGAUGAAGUUUGUGAGAAUUCAACCCAGCAGAACAGUUGUAAUCUUGAGAAUGCUAGUGUUGUAUUCCCUGGAUGCUUUAUGGAGAUGCAGUUAUCAGAAACUGGAAAUUAUCCCAAAGAUGCAUCAUGUUUACCUCAUAAAAAUGGCAAAUUCUUGGAUCCAUAUAAUUCAAAGCACAAUAGAGGAUCUGAGCAGGAUGGAUUAGCCAACUCAAGUGAGAACAAUCGUUGCGAUAACCAGGUGCCCGCAUGCUCCGAAGAGCAGGUUAUACCUUUUCUCGUCUACUUUGGGUGAACAUACUAUGUUGCAUUUUCAUGGUUUUUCUUGACAUCUACUUUAUCUAGAUUUGAAAGUGUGGCAUCUGGUUAUGUCCUGUGUCCUAAAUGUCUUGCCACUUUCUUCAUAUUAGACCUUGGAGAUCAAGAUACAUCAUGAGGCAAUGUUACGAGGCUGAAGUUAUUUCAAAUUAUCAAAUAGUUAUGGAUGGGAGUUUCAUCUGCCUCACUGUCAAAUCUAAAAUUAUAUUGUCACUGUAGAGACCCUUUGUUUCUUUUUGUUUUUCCUGCAGUAAGGUUAGUUCUUAGGAGAAUUUGGAAGUUUGGGUGGAUAGCAAAAUGGUUUUCCAGCCUCUUUAUCCACCAAAAGAAAAGAACAUGGUUUUGCAAUAUCUCAUCCUGUGAUUUUGAUGAUUGUAGAUGAUCCUUGGGUAAAGUUCUGACUAAUUCAAAUGUCAGUGAAUUUUCCAAUACUAUUACGUAAAAUAGCUUUAGUUCUGACUAUUGCUUGUGAGUUGUCCACAUCCACUAUUUUGUUGGACAGUUCAUUCAUUGUAAUCCUAAUUGUGAGGUGCUCUAUAUCGGCUAAAUAUUUUAAAGAUUCCAUGGUUCAGAUGAUAUUAUUGCUUCUCUCACUUAAUUUUUGCUUUAAUCUUUUUUCUCUGUUUGUUGCUGAAAGAAAUGAGUUAACGGUAGUUUUAUGUGUUCUGCAAUUAAAAUUUCCCUCUUUUGUUGACAGAACUGUAAAAGUUUUCUACUGUCAAUUAGCAAAUAUUCUCUGAUUUAUAUUGGGAGAUUUACAAAUUUAAUCAGAAGACAGUUUUGUAUAUUGACUGCUCUAACUCUCUCAUAGGUGGUCUCUUUUUAUAAAUUGAUUACUUGGGCAGAAUCUUCUUGGCCCUAUUAUGCAUUCCUCUUAUGUGCUGCAGCAGCAUGCAAAACUGACUACUAUUAUGGAACCUUUGUUGAAACAAUAUUUAUUUAUUAAAAUGCAAAAUUUUACUUCUUAUCUGUAAGAUAUCCACAUCUAUUUUUGGUUUCUGCCAAGUAUACCCAGUAAAGCUAAUGAGUUAAAACCACAUUCCACCUUUGCAGGAAUGGAGCAAUGCUAUCAGUGGCAGGGAGAGUUCAGUGUAAUUUAUUUUUCCUGUAAAAGUCUCCUUUUCUACUGUUUUAUAUUUAUGCUGUUAGCUGAUUGUAUGCAAAUCUGCCUCGUUCAGAUGCUCGCAGGUUGAUGACUCAUUUGGUAAGACUUCUUUGAAGUCUGAAAUUCUCAGAUCAAGUGAAGAACUCCUUAGAAAGAGGUCACAUGUAGACAGGGCGAGUCAAAAUGGCUGUGGCAAGCAUGACACAAUAAUUUUAAGAAGCACAAGGCGCUCUGCUGGAAAGGUCCUUCCUAGAAGAUCCAUGAGGCUAGUCUCUAAGGUUCUCUCUUGAUGCAUUACUUUGGUCAUACUACUAAUUACUGCAAAUGGACACCUCGUUUAAGGGGAUAACUAAUCAUGACCUAGGCCAUAUAUCUACCUGGUAGACCAUGACCUGUAUUGGCAUCAGAGCUGCUAGUUUUCAUGUCUUAUGUUCUAGGCUUCUAACUUUUUGCCAUUGUAUUUAUCUCGAAAUGUUAGUGAUUCCCUGCUUUUCUUGCUUUCUUUCUUUUGGUUCCAGUGAGUUCGCGUUCUAUAUGCUGCCUGCAUCGCAACAAUUGGAUUGAUAUUAUUAUUUGGCUGUUUCCAAAUUUAGGGUACAGUUUAUGGUAAGCACAGCACUCAUUUUACUCUUACUUUCUUUGGAUGUGAAACAAGCCGAUUCUUCUCUAUUGCGAAGCAGUCUCUAUAUAGAAGAUCACGUUUAGAGUUGUUGAAAGGGAAUCAUGUUAUUCUGUAACUGCAGUAGAUACGGUCUGCUCUUUAAACGGAUCGGUUUCCAGAAUCAUGCAUGCAUUCAUGUGUGAAUGUGCUUGCUUGCAUAUUCAUUUUUAGUUAAACUAAUUAAUCUUCCAACUGAGGAAGUUCCACCUAAAAUAACAUAACACAUGCUUAGACCUCCUGACACAGAUAAAGGCCCACAAGUUUAAGAACACAACACUCACAUACACAUGGCUUAAAUCCAGACUGCUGCUCUCUUACCACGAAGUGAAUUAUAUAUAUGUGAUGAUGAUGAUGAUUGGCUUUAUUCAUUCAAUACAUACGUACAUGCCGGCCAUGCAUGCAGAUACAUGUAUAUGUAUGCAUGGCAAUAAUUGACUUUAGAUUUGUAUUAAUGGCCCAUCUUACUUUCAUUAAGUUGCAGAUUCAACAUUUUUUGGAGAUCAGUUCGCACAGGAAAGAAAACUACAGUCUUCAAGGUGGUUAAAGAGCCUUGUAAUUUUUCUGCUGCCACAAGAGCAGUCACAAAAGCAAUCUGAAUACUGAAGUACAAGGUAAAUAUCAAAUUGUUGUUUUUUUUUUUUUGUAAUAAUUACCUGUACUGUAUUUUUUUUCUUGUACGGAAUGCCAGAUUUGUAUAUCAUCCGGAUCUUGUAACCUCCGAUUCUUUUAUGAAUUCGUAAAACAAAAUUUCCUGGAGUUUUAUUGAUCUUUGCCUUGAUUUUUCAAAAUCUUACGGUAUGUUUGUCAAGUGGAUUGGAUAAAAUGGAAGGACGUAGAAGGAAAAAGGAUUGAAAAGUACAUGCCAAGAAGUAUUAGAGAGGGAUUUCUCCUCUCUUUUUUUUUGUUUUCGUUGGGCUUUUAUCCUUCUUGCUAAACGAAGGAUACACCUCCCUUCAUGUCCAAUCCUACAUCAUCAAUUCGGCUGCAUGAUGACCAGUUGGUGAAGGCAGAAGAAAAAAUGAAGCUCAAAAUCCAAUGGGCUUUGCUAUGGACAAAAUAUGAAGCUCAACAUAGGUAAUGUUUCAGAUUUUCCAAGUUGAAAGUUAGCUCCUUCAGCUCUUGACUUUCUCUCAUUUAAACUUACUGUUUGUUAGAAUCAGCUCCACCAGUGUUUUUAGAGUGUUGACUAAGAUAUAUUAAUCAUAGUUUAUUAAGAGAAAAAAAUAUAUCCCAUUUGGACUGCCUAAGGAUCCGAACCUCCGAACCUCCCAAAAAAUCUUAGUUUAUUAAAAUAUUAUGUCUAACGAGAAUAAAAAAGGGAGGUGUGAACUAUCUAGGUGGUGGUUCAGUGAUAAGAGUUUGGGACCAAGAGGUUUGCUCUCUCUGUGGUCUCAGGUUCGAGCUCUGUGGUUGCUCAUAUGAUGGUCACUGGAGGCUUACAUGGUCGUUAACUUCGUGGGAUUAGUCGAGGUGCGCGCAAGCUGGCCCGGACAUCCACGUUAAACUAAAAAAAAAAAAGGAGGCGUGGGGGGAAAUGAUGAGGGUGUGUUUGAAAACGCAAUUGAAAUUGUGUUUUCUAAAACUUUGAAUUUUAUUGUUUAAAAUUAAUUUUUUAUAUUUUUAUAUUGUUUUGAAAUAUUAAUGUUAAAAAUAAUUUUAUUUUUUAUUAUUUUAAUAUAUUUUUUAAUGAAAAAUAUUUUGAAUUGCAAAUUAGUGAGGGAUUUAAUUAAAUAAAAUUUGAGUUUGAAGAUCUAAAUGAGAGUUGGAGGAUACAUUAUGGGCUAAUGUUUAGUUCAUCUACGUCUGAGUCUCUAAGAGAUUCCUCGUCAAGAAAUUUCAGCAUCUGCUCAGUCAGUUCACUUAAAUAUUUAUUUAUCCAUGGAGUUUAUACCCUUCUAAUUCGUUGCACAUGAAAUACUCGUAAAACGGGAAUAUUAUAAUAGAAAAAUUGAAAAAAAUCACAACUCGUGAAGACUACUAAAUAUAGAUUAUGACCUUGAAGUUUCUGACCACCGCAACAUAUUUUAUUUUUAAUGAUCCAUCACAGAAAAUCAUAAAUAUUCUAACAAAUAAUUAAAAAUAAUAACAAAACAAAAGCGUAUACCUUCCAAAACAAGUGAAGGCAUAGUACCUGGCACGACUAUAACUCGGUCAUGGUCAUGGUCAUGGGCUAGGUUAGGAAUUAAUUAAAAUAAUAUUAUUUUAAUUUUUUAUAUUUAAAAUAAUAUAAUUUUUAAAAAAACCCAGGUUUUAACUUAAUCGAUUAAAAAUAGAAGUUAACUAAUUACAUCGAUUAAGUUAUACUGGGUCAACUUUCUACCCAGAUCCCAGCCUGAUGAGGUCUCUUUUCUUCUUCUUGGACGGUCUACUUUUUAAUAUAUAUAUAUAUAUAUAUAUAUAUAUAUAUAGAUAUAUAUAUAUAUAUAUAGCUAAUUGUGUGGCUCAAGGUGGGUCAUGUAACCGAUUAUUCAAUUUAAAACUCUUCAAAUUCUUACAUUUUCAGUCAAAGCACACGAAUCUAUUACCUGUGGCUGCUUCAAAAGCCAGUCUCUCACUUAUUUACGCAGUCCAAAUCUUUUUCUAUGAAAAGAUUUUUUCUACAAUGAUUUGCUAGACGUGUACCCUUGUGUGUAGCUCAUAACAUAGGCUCCACAAAGCUUACUAGGUUUCUUUUGAAUAAUAUUGAUUUGAUUUAGUGGUAAUUAUGGGUAUUUCAAGUCGAUUUAUAUGUUGAUUAAGCUUAAAUAUAUAUUUUUAAUCACAUUGAUAUGAUAUUUUUGUAUGAGUUUAAUACAUUAUAUUGGAUGCUUAUCUUAAAAUUCAAAUUAAAAAAAUAAAAAAAUAAAAAAAUAAAUUUCCUUGAUCACCAUGUUGAUCCAUUGAAUUUAUUUUGCAAUGUACCUUAUCAUAGGUUGCUAGGGUUUGCUAACCUUUCAGAUUAUGGUAUUUGAUCCUCCCAACAAGAUUAAAUAUUCUAUUAGAAGUAAUAUAAAAUAAUAGCUGUUUGAGAAAAAGAUUAAGGCACACAGAACUAGAGGAAGCAAGUAGACAGAAGAAAACCAUAGAAAAGUCUGCAGCUAAACCUUUAUUUUAUUUUUAUAUUUACUUAUUUAUUCUUUAAGAUAUAAAUCCCGGUUUGUUCUGGUUCAUUACCCGACUCGAGGCUGGGUAACAGGUUAAAUGGAUCAACUUAUAUACACUCAAAUCAAUUCAAAAUAAUAUUAUUUUAAUUUUUUUUUUAAUAAAUAAAUUAAAAUCACGCCAUAUCAAGUUUUACAUAUCAAAACCUGAAUUGAUAAAUCAUUAAUUUGACCUGUCUAGCUAGAUUUUGACUAAAUUACUAAUGAUAGAUAACUCCCAUCUAAUUUAACAUGAUAUUCAGCUUAGGUCAGAUAUUGAAUAAUUGAUGAAUUAUUAUUUUGACUUGUCUAGCCAAGCUUUAAAUACGUAGGUAACCUUCUUCUUCAUUUUUUUAAAUAGAAAUUGGAUCCUUUUUUUUUUUAAUUAAACUGUGAAUCUUCCUGCGAACCAAACUAAAAAUCAUAAGCAGAGAAGCUUAAACCACCAAAACAAGACAAAAAAUAGAACAAAGAUAUGAAUUAAUAAAUGUUCAUUGGCUGGCCCCUUUCCUUAAUUCGAUGGUAUCAUGCAAAAUCCCCAUCUUACGCUGUAUGCAUAUCCCUUGAAAUGGGGACUUAUUUGUGUUCUUGUCCUAUCACAUGACCCUAUGAAUUUCUUUUAUAUACUAAUCUAAUUCCAAUAAUAAUAAUAAUAGAUGUGUUUUUGUAAUUUCAAUUAAAUUUCUUUAAAUACAUAAAUGUGUUUUUGAAAUCAUUGAGGGAAAAAAAUAAUCUCAAUUAAUACAUAAAUUAAUUUGAAAAUACUUUUAUUAAUAAUAUUAAAAUUAUCCUUAAUCAAAUCAAGAUAUAUAGAUCAUAAUCCUUACCCUUAUGUCCUAGGAUGAGGGGGUACAUCUCAUUAAUUCAUUUAAAGACUAAACAUAGGUACAAGUACUAUCCAACCAACUAAAUUUAAUUUUUAACCUAACCUUCCUAAGGCAACAAAGGGAGGUCUCUAGCUAACCCUAAGACAUCUUUAAUUUUUUUAUUUAUAUUAUUUUUUAAUAUAUAUAAUUAUGAAUAAAAAAAAUUGAAUUGAAAGAUUUUUUUUUUAAAUUACUGAUGGGUGGAAAGAGAGUUUAUUGUACAGUGAAAUCCAAAGAAGUUAUAUAUUCCAGUCAAGAGGGUCACCUCUAUUUCAGCCGAAUGCUAAAUGAACCACUUCUUCUUCUUUUCUUUUUUAUUAACAUGCUAUCCAGAUCAGUUUAUACGCAUUUCAACUAAUCUCAUGAAUCCUGAAAUUAAUAAUUAUAUAAGUUUUUAAUAGCCCUGAGGUUUGUGACACUCAAAAUGAUGACCUCUAAAGAGUAAAUUUAGAAUCUAACCAGUUAAAUUAUACCACUCAAGAUUUAUCUUUUUUAACCUAUAUUUUCAUGAACAUUUUUGUUCUUUUAGAAACAGAAUUUUCAUUAACUCUGCUGCUUUACUGUGAGAAAUUAAUUAGUAAUCUAGUAAAAUUUAUUGAAUCCGAUGGAUAAAAAAUCAAAUCAUGAGUUUAGUCAAUUAAUUCAAAACAAUUUAUAAUAAUGUUAUUUUAUAAUAUUUAUUUAAAAAAAUUAAAACUAAGGGUUCAUGUAUAAAUUAAAUCGAAUUUAAUAACUUUUAUCCCGAGUACGUUACCAAAUAUGAAAUUUAAAUUUGAAAUCUAAGUGAGAAUUAUCAACUUAAACCAUAAUUCACUGGUCAUUAACAAAAAAAAAAAGGUUUAAGCAACUAUUAAUAGCAUGCAGGAUUUCUUGUAUUUGUUUUUUGGACAAUCAUAACAUCUUUAUGACGGUUAGUAUAAUUAUGAUAAUAAUCAUUGAAAAAUCUUUUGGAGGAUGCUAAUUAUAGUGAAUUCUUACACAUAAAAUUUGUAACUCAGCACAGUAUACUCAUCGGAGGCCAAAGCCAUGCAUGAGAACCUAUCAGAGAAGAAGAAGGUGGUUUUACACUUUGACUCAAGAAGCGAAAGAGUUAAAAAAAAGAGGUUUGACAAAAGCUAUAGAGUGCAGUAAACAAGGCAUGAAAAACAUCAUAUAGCAUUAACUUCCUCAUUUAUUGUCUUCACCUACACCUGCCUGUAUUGAGAAGCUUCAGUUUUAUGGACAUUUAUUACUCUCUCUCCCUCAUGCCUGAAACCACAAUGCUCCUGUAACCAUCAUCAACAAACUCAUCCCACCUCAAGGUAUUUUUUUUUUUUUCUUGAAGCAGUAUUAGGAUUCUUCAGGAGCCCACAUGCAAAAGAGAGAAGCCCUUUUUACUAAAAAUGAGGUGGGGUUGAAGGUAUACUUGAAAGAAGCUGAGGUUUGGCUCUAAAUGUGAUCUAAUGCAAGUUUCUGGAUCCAAAACUUGCAGAAGUCUCUCUUUCAGUUAAAGGGUAAGUUCUUUUCUUAAAGCAGGGAGGUAUAGAGAUAAAAACCUGGACAAGUUCUUGGAUUUUCAGCUUAAGGUGUUGUGUUUGUGAGAUUGUAGUUUGUAGAGGUUCUUGUGUUAAGAUAGCCAGUUUUUUUAUUCUGGAUUUUGGUUGUUUUUUUGGUUGACCAUCAGUAGCUUCAAGUAUAUUUGUGUUGUUCAUCGCAUUUUCUUCUCCGUUGUUGCUUAUGCUUGAGGGUUGUGUGUUGUGGUCUUUGGAUGCAAAAAAAGGAGUAUGGCUUGGUGUUUAGGUGUUGUUCUUAAUGGAUUUUUGCAUUUCUUUGCUGGUUUAUGUUGUGGAAUAAUGACAGACAUCAGAAUUUUACAUCUUGGUUUAAGAGGCUAGCUAACAUGCAAGUCCUACUCAAUGAAGUCCCUGUCUACCUGUAGUGUUGGUGGUUAACUAUCAAAAAAACAUCAGGUUGGUGGCCUUUCAUAUCUAUGUUUGGGGUUUGGCUGGUGUGAUGGGGAAUUGGAGCCAUUCUGUUGGAGAUUUCCUUAUUAGGGUCUUGAUGACUAGCAAAUGGAAUUGUGGAUUUGUGGUUCAAUUUGUGGUUCUAUCAGAUUUAUGGUGGCUAGUCUCAGGUUUAGGCUCCAUGUCUUCCAUUGCCAUUUCUUAUGGUGAGAAAGGUCCUGCCUUUUGUGGUAUAAAAUCAGAUGGGUCUCAUCUUGUGAAUUGUUAUGGUUCAAAUUCAGCUAUAAUCCAUGAAACUCCAGCUUAUUUUCAUUUCAUUGGUCUAACUGCUGGAGAUGGCUUUGUUUGUGGGCUUCUGUUGGAAUCUAACCGACCGUAUUGUUGGGGAAGUAGUGGCUAUCUUCGACCAGGUGUGCCUCAGCCUAUGAUGGAAGAGGCUGAGUAUGUUGAAAUCAGUGCUGGUGAUUACCAUUUAUGUGGUUUGAGAAAGCCUUUAACAGGCAGGCGUAGAAACCUUUCUCUUAUUGACUGUUGGGGUUACAACAUGACAAGGAACCAUGUGUUUGAUGGGCAGAUUCAAUCAAUCUCAGCUGGUUCUGACUUCAAUUGUGGAUUGUUUUCUGAGAAUAGGACUGUUUUCUGCUGGGGUGAUCAGGCUAGCAGCCGUGUAAUCAGCUUGGUUCCUCAAGAAAUGAGAUUUCAAAAGAUUGCAGCUGGUGGAUAUCAUGUUUGUGGGAUUCUAGAGGGGGUGAAUUCAAGAGCCUUCUGUUGGGGAAGGAGCUUGGACCUUGAAGAAGAGAUUUCUGUGAUAUCAGCAGCAUAUGUGAAUCAAGGAAAUGUUGAUUUGCCUCCGAGUGAUCCUAUGCUGUCUGUUGUUGGAGGAAAGUUCCAUGCUUGUGGAAUCAAGAGUUAUAACCGCGAGGUGAUUUGUUGGGGCUAUAUUGUAAAGCCAAGCACUCCGACUCCUACUGGCAUUAAGGUCUACGAAAUAGCUGCUGGAAAUUACUUCACUUGUGGAAUUCUUGCCGAGAAAUCUCUCGUACCUGUUUGUUGGGGUCUUGGGUUCCCUAGCUCUCUUCCCCUAGCUGUUUCACCUGGACUCUGCAAAACUACUCCUUGCCCUCCCGGUUCCUAUGAAUUUGUUGGUGCCAGCACACCGUGCACAUCUCCAGGCUCUCGUGCUUGCUUGUCUUGCAGUAAUGGUUGUCCUGCUGAAAUGUACCAGAAAACCAAAUGCACUUCGAAAUCAGAUCGUCAGUGUGAUUAUAAUUGUUCCAGUUGUUAUUCAUCAGAAUGCUUCUCAAACUGUUCUUCUUUAUAUUCCAAUAAUGCUAAAGAAAAGAACAGGUUUUGGUCAUUGCAAUUGCCAGUCAUUAUUGCGGAGAUUGGCUUUGCUAUGUUCUUGGUGGUGGUUGUGACGACAACUGCUAUUUUGUAUGUUCGCUAUAGGUUGAGGAACUGUCAAUGCUCGGCAAAACAAUCAAAGACCAAGAAAAACAGUGGUAGCGGUUCUUCAGUUUCUAAAGAUAACGGAAGAAUCCGCCCCGACAUGGAUGAGAUCAAGUUAAGGAGGGCACAGAUGUUCACUUAUGAGGAACUUGAGAAGGCCACCAGCGGAUUCAAGGAAGAAUCCCUAGUGGGAAAAGGAAGUUUCUCGUGUGUUUAUAAGGGGGUUUUAAGGAAUGGGACACUUGUUGCAGUGAAAAAGGCAAUAGUGUGUUCUGAUAAGCAGAAAAACUCGAAAGAAUUCCACACUGAGCUUGAUCUGCUAUCAAGACUAAACCAUGCUCAUUUGCUCAACUUGCUUGGCUAUUGUGAAGAAGGUGGAGAAAGGCUUCUGGUUUACGAAUUCAUGGCUCAUGGAUCCUUGCACCAGCAUCUUCAUGGAAAGAACCCUGCCUUAAAAGAGCAAAUGAAUUGGGUUCGAAGGGUUACCAUUGCAGUACAAGCAGCUAGGGGAAUUGAAUACUUGCAUGGUUACGCUUGCCCACCCGUAAUUCAUCGAGACAUCAAAUCUUCAAACAUUCUCAUUGAUGAAGAACACAACGCCAGAGUGUCUGAUUUUGGCCUUUCUUUGUUGGGGCCAGCUAAUAGUAGCUCACCGUUGGCUGAGCUACCUGCAGGAACUCUUGGCUAUCUUGAUCCUGAGUACUAUAGGCUUCACUACCUCACAACCAAAUCCGAUGUUUAUAGCUUUGGCGUGUUGCUCUUGGAAAUCCUCAGUGGCCGAAAGGCCAUAGAUAUGCAAUACGAAGAAGGAAAUAUAGUCGAAUGGGCAGUUCCCCUGAUCAAAGCAGGAGAUAUAUCAGCCAUAUUGGACCCAGUUUUGAAGCCUCCAUCCGAUCCUGAAGCUUUGAAAAGGAUUGCAAAUGUGGCUUGCAAGUGUGUCAGAAUGAGGGGGAAGGAAAGGCCAUCCAUGGAUAAAGUAACAACAGCUUUGGAACGUGCCCUUGCACAACUGAUGGGCAGUCCAAGUAAUGACCAACCAAUAUUGCCAACCGAAGUUGUUCUUGGAAGCAGUAGAUUGCACAAGAAAUCUUCUCAAAGAUCUUCAAACCGAUCAGCGGUCUCAGAAACUGAUGUUGUAGAAGGAGAAGACCAAAGGAUCGAGUUUCGAGCGCCAUCGUGGAUAACUUUUCCUAGUGUUACUUCCUCUCAAGGGAGAAAGUCUUCAGCCUCCGAUGCAGAUGUUGAUGGUAAAACCUCAACUAGAAAUUUAGGCUAUGUUGCAAACGUCGGGGAUGGGUUGAGGAGUUUGGAGGAAGAGAUUGGACCUGCUUCACCUCAAGAAAGAUUGUUCUUGCAGCAUAACUUCUGAAAUGAGUGCCUGAAACAUUUUGAUUUCUUGGUUGUGGUUUGUUGGCUUUGCAUUUGGUUUCUUGUAGAAUGAAUUUUUUUUUUAUAUAAAAAAAGGGUAAUUUUCUGGAACACCAAGUGAUUCUACCUCUACCAUCAGCAUGACAAUCACUUCGUUAUCUUGCAACUUUCAGCUGGCAAUUUAUGUAUUCAAUUCUUACGAUUAGGUGGUUCUUCAUAAGGUUCCGACACUUUCAGAACGUACAUGUUUUUGUUCAUGUUCUAUCCACAGGUUGGUUUGCUGCUUCAUCCUUCAUGAACAGUUCCCUUCCCCUCCUGGAGAUUAAUAUGAUGAAAUACCAGAGGUUCAAUUUGAACCCCAAACAAGACUCAGGCCUCCUGUUCUACAAGAGCAUCCCUUCGCUUAAUCCCUGUUAGUCAACUUCAGCAAGGUUGAGAGUGGCUGCAUGUUGAAAUAUCAAAGCAAAUGCUGCCCUUUUGACCCAUGCAUUCAUGCAGUUUGAUGCCUAGAUAGCUAGACAUGCAAUCAAACAUAAAUAACAGGAAAUACAAUUACAGCUAAAUGGGUUAUGAAAAUCAUACAUCAACAAAACUCUCAUGGUCUGAAUUGAUGUCAUAAACGCGUGUAUCAAUAAAAACAAAUGUUUACAUAUUUCAAGGUGGUAAGGAGUUUCGCUGCCAUAACUAUUAUUUAAUAAUUAUUUGUUUCAAGUGUGUAUACAAGAGCCCUUAUAGCUCAGUGGUAGAGCGUCAGUCUUGUAAACUGAAGGUCCGUAGUUCGAUCCUGCGUGAGGGCAUUUUCUUUAUUUGCCUUAAUUUUUGCAUACUUUACGUCGUAGUGCACAACUAUCCCGUAGACGUUCAUUGAUAUAUGGGGUUUUCAUUAUAUCUAUAUUUCAUUUAUUAUUUAACAGAUAAAGAAUUUAAAUAUUCAUAUUUUAUUUAUACAUGUAAUCCAAGACUAAUUUUACCAUUUAAUAUAAUUUUAUCUAUAUUAAAUGGUAAAAUUAUACAUGUUAUACAUAUGCGUUUUAUGUUAAUAUUAGGAUAUGAAUUUAUUAUAUUUUAUUCAAGAAAUAAAAAUAUAAAUGUUUUAUAUAAUGUAUUAGAUUUUAAAUUAAAUUUAACAAUAUUCAUAUUAUAUUUAUUACUUAUAAAUUAAAAUAAUUAUAAAAAUAACAAAACUCGCUAUCCAUUACUCAUCCAUGUAAUUAUAAGAAGAAACCUACUCAUUCAGUUUUGUACUAAAGAAGGUUUAUUUUUAAUUAUACUUUAAUUUUUAUAUUAAUAUAUCAAAAUUAUUAAAAAUAUUAAUUUAAUAUAUUUUUUAAAUAAAAAUAAUUUAAAAACAGAAUCAACCGCCAAACAUAGGAGCAUAGUUUUGAAAUCCGACUUGACUCGACGGGUCGACCUGGGAUCCGGCCGACCCGGAUCUAGAACCAGGCCGGGUUGAUGAAAAAAUAGGAAAAGUCAUGACCUGGUGUGACCCGGUGACCCGGCAAGACCCGGUCAAAACCGGGUUGCAACCUGUUGAUUUUUGUUUUAUUUUACUAAAACGACGUCGUUUUGAAUUUUUUUAAAAGUAGAGAUUGACCCGGCUGACCCGACGACUCGGUCAAAAUCCGAUAACCCGGUUAAAAUCUAAAACUUAAAUCUUGAACUAGACCAGGUUUAAAAAUUAUGCACAGGAGUAGCAUCAUCAACCGCUCGAAACAUCCUCGUCUGUAACUCCAAUGAUGCCCUUCGUCUCAGGGUGAAGUUUCAUUACUGCACAAGUUUGGUGUUAUUAAAUAAAUAUUAAAUAAGGAUCUUUUGUCGAGAGCUCGUCUACGUGUCACACCGCCAGGGAGAUUUAUUGACUUGAGCUACUUGGUUUAUCCCGCGUGUCAGAUUUUGUUUUUUUCUUAAAAUAAAAAAUAAAAAAAUACCAUCGGCCUUUUGACCAUAGCUAUAAAUAAUUAAAUAUUCAGUGAAUUGUCGGUUUAAGUCUAACCUAACAAUUAAUUUAGAGAUUCAAGGACUUGAAGAAAUCUAAAUCAGGUGGAGCUAGAUUUUUUUAAUAUAAAAAAUUUCUUAUAUUUUUUUAAAUAAAAUUAUAUUUUCUUAUUCAAUCCCUACGCUAUCAAGAUUUAUUUAUUUUAUAUAAAAAAUAAUAUCAUUAACCUUUUAAUAAUAAUUACAAAUCUAACUUUACAUAGGUUGAUCGUCAAUUCAAAUAUUAAUAUUAACCAACUUGAAAAUUAACCCAAGCAUAAUUUCUUUUUGAAUUAGAUUUUUUUAUUUAAUAAAAAUGUAAUUUAAAUAUUUUUUAUUAAAAAAAUUAUAAUAAUUCAUGUUUUAUUAAAAAAAAAUAAAAAAUAUAUUAUUUUAAUAAAAAAAAAAAAGGUUUGAACUUGCUCAGCCUACGACCCUGAUUUUGGGUCUAGCAGAGCUCGAUCUUUAACAAAAUAAUCAUGGCUCGGAAGGCCCAAAUUAAAAAAAUGGGCCUAAUUCCCUGAUUCGGGGCUCUCUUUUUUAUUUUUCCAAUUGAUUUCUCACUCUCGUAAAAGAAUACCUCCCUUUCAAAUUUUUCUCACCUUCGUUAGUUUAGUUCUGUUUCAAUUUGAUCGUUCAUCCACGAUCCAGGUAUGGCCAUUUCAAAUUUAGGGUUUUUUUUUGUUUUCUGAGAAAGUCGCUGAAAGCGAAGAAAAAUGUCAACUUUUUUGCUGUUAUUUUUUAAAUAAUUUUAUGUAAUUUAAUGUACUGCUGAUAGUUAUGAACUCAUUUAUAGCUUAAAGCUAUGAAAUUCCAAAUCAUUUUGAUAAAAUUUGUGUUGAUAACUGUGAAGUUUUGAACAAGGAAAUGUGUUUAUGAAUUCAGUUGAUUUGAUUCUAUGUUGUUUUUUUAAAUUCCAAAUAGCAAAUACAUGGUGGGUGGAUUCUGGUCGUAUAGUUUUGAGGCUGUGUAGAAGGGAUUUGCUAAUAUCUUUUUGGAUAUGGUUUUUUGUCAUUUGCUAGUAGUGAGUUGUGGUUACUAUCUUGUUGAUAUGCUGUACUGUUCUUUCAUAUUUUUCUCAUGUGGGUUUGGGAGGUGCACAAGUGAUUCGCUGUAAAAUGAGGUGUUACAGUCACUUCAGCCUUAGCAUUCGACAUUAUUCAUUCUGUUGAUGCAACGUUGGUGGGUUGUUUUUGUGUUGAUUCCCAAUAGCAAAAUUCAUGGUGGGUGGGUUUUGGUCAAGAUGGGUUCUACUAUUUUCCUUCUAGAUAUGGUUACUAUGCUGUUGAUAUGCCGUACUAUUCUUUCGUUCUUGUGUGGUUAUAUCUAUGAAUAUAGCACAUGUCUCGAUUUCUUGGAGUACAGCAGCAAUGAAACUGAAUUUUAUGUUGGACUGAUAAAUCAAGUUGUAGGUUUGGAUAAUGGGAAGAUAGUCUCCAGUUAUGUGGCUAUGGUUUGGGUCUAUUUUUGUUCAUGAUGUGAAUAAUAAACUGUAUGGAAUGACAUUUAGAGCAAUCAAGGAGGAUAGGAGCAUGUGGCAACAUCAUUAUAUCAGUCUUUCAAAACUUUGGAAGCUUUAUUGUGGAAAAAGUUCAUCUGAUUUUUAAUUUCUGAUAUGUAUGUAUUAUUUGAUUUAUGAAUUUGAUGUUAUUGAUAUGACUUUAGUUGUAAAGGCUAAUUAUGAUGGAAUGUGUUUAUGGACUGAAAAACUGGGAAUGUCUAACUUGUUUAGGUUUUGGAUGUAUUGUUACAGGUUGAGUGUACCAUCCUAUAUGGAUUCUACUUCCACAGCUGAAGCAGACUAUGCUGCGUUUCUGGAGAAGGUGAAACGUACUGUUUACAUUGACAACCUUUCACCACAAGUGACUGAAUCUGUCAUGAGAACAGCUCUAGGUCAGUUUGGGACUGUGAAGAAUGUGCAGUUUAUCCCGAACUACACAGGACCCAAAAAUAUCCCAUGCUGUGCCUUAGUGGAAAUGGAGUGUCUUAGACAAGCCGAAGCUGUUGUUUCAGAGAUCACCCAGUUCCCCUUCAUGAUGUCUGGGAUGCCUCGGCCUGCUAGAGCAUUUCGUGCAGAAGUGGAGAUGUUUGAUGAUCGCCCAAUCAAGCCUGGUAGAAGGAUACAGUGCCGUUGGGUGGACAGAAAAGACCCUGAUUUUGAAGUGGCAAAUAAAAUUAAGCGUCUUGUCAGAAAGCAUGCUGCUGAAGAUUUAUUUUUGCUCCAGGUAAGUUCAUGUGACAGCAUCCAUUGAAUUUCAGUUUACUUGCUUGAUGCUUGCAUGUUUUUCAUGUAGAGUAGAUUUUUAAUAUGUUUUGGCUGGUUAUGUUCAUUUAAAUUGCCAUUCUCAUUUGCAGCAACAGUUGGCCCAAGAAGAGAAGCUUGCAAAGCAGCAAGAGGAAACCCUCAAAGCAAAUUAUAAGAAGUUCACCAUAAUAGAUAAUGUCGUGUCUGACGGAACUGCUCCUGGUUUGGCAAAGUUUUACAACAUGAAGGUUUUCGAUGCUUGAUUAGUUCUGAAUCAGUAGAGAUCCUACAAAACAUAAGACAUACAGUAGUCUAAUUAGCUCGGUGCGGACCUCAUUAAGAUAAGAUUUUUGUAUCCCAGGAUGCAUUACCUGUUUUGUAAUCCUGCUUGGGUCCAUCUUUUAGAUAUCAGAAGUGUAAAUCCAAUUAGCUUGGUCAUUCUGGAUUAAUGUAGUUAACUAUUUGAGGAAGGGUAACUGAUACAGAUGGAACUUUAUGAACUUCAUCUUUUUAACUGUGCUUUUGUGUUUCCUAUGUAGUAAGAUCAUCAUCCGCUUAUCAAAACUGAUUGGUCUGGAUCAUGAGUUUAAGUUCUUCGACUUCUCAGAAUAUUAUUGCUCUAUAGUUGCUAUUUUUUCCCUUAAGACUGCUCUUAAGUGGUAUUUGUUGCUCUUAACUGAAAUUGCUUUCUAUCCCUCUUUUUGGCUGUUACCAGUUGAGUGAGAGCCCUUGUUUGGGCUGUGGGGACAAUUUGAAGCCAAACUUUUCUCUGUUCUGUAAUUGCUGAAGGAAAGUUUAGUCAAAUAUUUCCCGAUGCCUUCAGCAUGUGUUAGCACAACUUGCUUGUUGAAGGCAAAGGCCGGAAUGGCACUUUGAUUUUUGUUUUUGUUUUCUUGUCCUUUGCUUUAUGGUGGCAAACAUAGUUUCCUAUCUUAACUUGUGAAUAGGAGAGGGGAGAUGGGGGGAUCUAGCCUCACCCACAUCUACCCAAUCAAAAUCCACCUCUGUAUUGCACUUGAUGACAUCUUCUUUCUUCACAAAUUCCUUAUCUCCCACCAAGAAUCCGACCCACACUCAAGUCCUUCCACACUCCAUCAAAGCCAUCACAUCCCUCCUCGCUACUUUCAUCACCUUGACGAUUCCACAGCUUUCAGACCCUUUUCCUUGCCCUUUCUUUCUAUCUCGAAUGGCUACCAGCUCUUUACGGUCCCUCAACCACCAUCACUCCCUCCUCAAGUUCCAUCCCUCAGACACCACCCCUCCCUCUUCACUCUUCCUCAAGCCUACCACCUCCAUCUCCGUCAACACCGACACUUCUCUCUCCCUCUCUAUCUCCUCCCCAACAAUCACCACCGCUUACUCCGUCUCCCCCACGACCUCCACUACUCCCUCCACUUCCAAAACCGACUCCCUUGACCUCCUCCAGCAACAUCUCUCGAACCAAAACUUCCGCGAAGCCGAUGAAGAAACCCGCAGACUUCUCAUUGUUCUAGCUGGUGAAGCAGCACAAACGCGUGGCUAUGUCUUCUUCUCCGAGGUCCAGUUUAUCUCAGAGGAAGACCUUAAAGACAUCGACGAACUAUGGAAAAAUCACAGCAACAACAAGUUCGGAUACAGUGUUCAGAAAAGAAUAUGGCAACUGAAGGCUAACAAAGACUUCACCAAGUUCUUCAUCAAAGUUGGGUGGAUGAAGAAGCUUGACACUGAGGUUCAGCAAUACAACUAUAGGGCUUUUCCUAAUGAGUUCAUUUGGGAUCUUAAUGAUGGUACUCCUGAAGGUCACUUGCCUUUGACAAAUGCACUCAGAGGGACACAAUUGCUCAAAAACAUCCUUAACCAUCCUGCUUUUGAGGUAGAUAUUGCAGAAGGGGAGGGAGAUAAAGUUGAAGGUAAUGAAAAUGGUGGGCUAAAGGGAUUAAGGGAUAGCUCAAAGCUUCCAUUAAGCAAGAGAGUAUUGAAGACAGAUUACAGCUUUUGACUAAGAAAUUUGAAGCAAAUGAUCAGUAAACAACAGAGAUGGGAUUUGGACUUUUUUCCAUGUACAUGUAAUGAAAGUUGUUGAUUAAUUACAUCCUUUUUAUUUAAAUAUAUUUUCAUGCUUCUGUCUAUGUAGUGGGCAAAUAUUAUAUAUAUAAAUGAGAAUAUGCCCUGUUGUUUUUACAUUUGGUGCAGCAAGGAGCCUGCCCUUCUUGUAUCUUUGUCUGUCUUUUUCCUAUGAAACCAUAUAUCCUCAGGUGGCAAGGAGGUCUUGUGACCUUUUAUAUGUUGCCAUUGAUUAGUCCCAAGAAAUUACUUAUUUACUUGUGAUCAAGUGCCUGAGCCCCACUUCAUGACAAAAAAAAUAAAAAUCCAAGUCUCACUGGAUAGGGUUUUUUUCCCCGCAAAGAUUCUCGUGCAGGUGUAAACUAGCUAAUUAAAAAUAAUGCCUGAAAUAAAUACCUUGAGUCGGGUCAUAGGCUGGGCCAGACCUCGUACCUAAAUUUAAUACCCGUUGAGAAAAAAUUUAGUCAGGAUAUAGGGCCUGGUAAUAAAGCCCAUUAAUACUUUUAUAUUAUCAUGAAUUAGCCUAAACCCAAACCUACUUAUAAACUACCCAAGUCCAACAACCUCAACACCUCGUCUUUUCCAAUCUCUGUCUGAAAAAUAAAAAUAAAAAUAAAAAUAAAAAAGCAAAAAUGCCAGGGAAUCAGCAACAUCUCCUUCGGCUAGUCCUGUCCUGCCGGAAAAUAACAGCACAGGUAACAAAUCCGACGACUUCCACAAUAAUCGCCAUGGCUUCCUCCGCUGAGCAAGAAUCCUUCCUCUCUCACUACCGCAACACCACUCUCUCUCGCUUCCCUCGCCAAUCCUGGGACUCAAAAGCGGCGUCGCGCGUCGGGGAGAAAUUAGGUUUUAGAUUAAAGGGAAUUGGUGUUAGUAACAUCUAUAUUGAUUUAAACGAAGAGUUGUCAAGGUCGAUUCAUUAUAGAAAGCGUGUGUUACCGUUGUUUGAUUCGGUGAAACGCGUUGGCAUUGUAGUUGAUGGAGCUGAGAAGCUGGGAGAGAUCGGUCAUGUUUGAUGGACGGUCAGGAUUUAAUUGACGAGUAUGCAUUUUUUGAUAAGGAGAGGUUCCUUUCUUCUUCUUCUUCUCUCUCUCUUUUUUUGCCUUUUUAAUUUGAAUCGAUUUGAUUUCAGAAUUGUAGAUUAUGAUGGAAUAAUUAUCACAUGAGAAUGAUUUUUUUUUUUUGCAAUUUUAUUACUAUUUUGUCUAUAUUUUCUUACCCAAUUUUUAAUAUGUAAAGCUAUACAAACAAAUGAAUUAUCCACCUUUAGAUUAAAAGUUACUCAAAUUGUUAAGCUAGUCAUUUAAUUUGCAAUUGUUUUUUAGCAUGAUCUAAACCAGUAACAUUAUAUAUUAAUUCGGUAUUAAUCCCGAAUUUAUCAUUUCAUGACCAUAGAAAAAAAAACAUUAUGUGUGUGUGUGUGUGUGUGUCUCUAUAUAUAUGUAUGUAGUAUGUAUAGCUUUGAGGUACAUUGUGGAUUGCAGUGUUGGUAUGGGUGGAGGGUGGGGUGUUUUGGAGAAUAGAUGGUAAGACAAGGGUAUGCUUAGUGUCAAUUGGUAUUCGGGCCGAGGGCAAUUAGGAGUGUUUAAUUGGGCUGUUUUGAUCUAUAUGGGUAAGAAAAUAGGCAGGCUUUGGAUUUAUCUGAAUAAUGUAAGUGUAGUUUUGGACCUUUGGUUGUUAGAUUACUAGUAAAUUUGUGUUUUGGUGAUGCUUGAAUUGUUUGCAUGUUUGAAGUCAUUCCCAUGGUAAAUGCUGGAUUGCCAUUUUUCUAUGAUACAAUUUUGAUCACGAUUGGGGUUUUGGGAUCCUGAGUUUGUUUGGUGGGCAUGGAGGAGUGGGUUGGUGUUAUGUAAAUUGAGUAAUGCUAGGUGUGUAGACAUGAUAUAUUUUGGAAGUAGACUUCAAGUCUUGUUGACCUUUUCAUUACUUUCCAAGCUCAUGAUUCUGUAGUUGCCAUGUUGUCUUUGAUUAUCAACAUUGGGGAACUCCUCUAUUGAGUUGAAAGUAAACCUUAAUGGCGUUGUUUUGCUUACUACUUGUGCAUUUUGAGUGUUAAAAUUUAUCUUAGUAACAUUCCUCGAUGAUCCUUUGCCAUACGAUUUGAGUCUGUUGCUAGGUGAUAUUACUAACGUUUCUGGUCUCUACUGGAUCCUUUAUUAGUUAUGCUUUGCCAUCCUUAUAACAGAUGAAAAGGUGCACGGGUUGUUGAAAUAAAUGGGAAAAGGACUAGAGGAGAGCAAGGAGCAAGGAUUAUAGAAAUUACUGUAAAGAAAGAUGUGGACCUGGAGAAAAAAUAAGAAUACUAUUGCUUCAUUUGUUACACUCUUGUAUUAUUUCUCUUACUUUGAGAAAAGAUAAUCUUAUAUUACUAAAAAACUAAGUGUAGAUGGAAUGGACAUCAUCUUCGUGGUAUCAUUUUCAUGGCUCUCAAUCUGCCCACCCACAUUUGAAUACUCUUGAGUGUAUCAGCAUACCCUAGAAACCCAAAUUCUCUACUCUUAAUCAUGCUACAGACAUGUUGAAACCUGAAAUUCAAAACCACAUUAAGUGCUUCGAAACAAGUAAUAUCCUCCAUCUUAGUUCUAACAGCUCAUACUUCUCAACAAUCUCAUCCCACAUCUUGCCUUUACCCCUCAUCAUCCCCAGCCAAUCAAACUUCUCAUCACUCUCUUCAUAGGCCACAAAUCCAACAUCAAAGACCUCAAACAAGACUUUCCAUAAACUCAUCCACGUAAAAACAUCACCAUUUGUGCAAUUGAAGGCUUGAUUCUUAGCUCCAUCAGUCACCGCUGCCCAUAUUUGUUGCUCAGCUAGCACCCUUGUAUCAGGCAUGUCACAGAAGGGCUCCCAUGUGUAUUUGUGUAUCGAAAUGGUAACCCAUGGUAUUGACAGAUAGUGGCAUGGACAGAUAGAGUUAGCAAUAUGUUGUCCACACUUCUUGAAGAAGCACCUAUUAUGAUCGACCAGCGAUGAACUGGGUGUGUAAUGGAAGGAAAAUAUGAUGCAACCAAGUCUUCCAAGGCACAAUAGAAAUUGGGGUAGGGGAGUCUAUCUAGGUCCUCUUUGAAAGGUGGCUCCUGGUGGACAAGUUUGCCUUUGCCUUCAAGUGAAGGAUCCAAUAUCGGACCAAGUAUUGUUCCGUGCCUGUUUGCAAAGUAAUAUGUUUGAGUCGUGAAAGAGUAGCUGAUUAAUGUGCAUUAAGCACAUUGGCUAGCAUGGUGGAGUUCAUGGAGAUGCUCACAGGUUUGUCAGGAUAAGCCACGACUUGUAGCGCAGUAAACUAGUUUAUCCUAAAACAAGAUUAUAUGAUUUGCCUGGUGGUAUGCUCAUAGUCAUAACAUUAAAAAGAUAAGUUAGAUCUAUAAAUAACUUAAUUUCUCCUCCUAAGAACUCUCUCUUGCAUGUUUUGUUUUGCUUAGAAAAUAAAAAUGAAUCCGAUAUGUGUCCUGGGAUGUUUUUAGAUUGGGAAAUGAGCAAAUUGGGCUCCAUCUGAAUUUGAACCAACCCUUAACAAUAGCUUAAAUAUUAGGCUCGACUAAGUCUUGGGUCAAAUUCGUUAAAUUUAGUCUCUCUUUUUUUCUUCUUCUUAGAAUAGUUAAACUUUGUCAAAUAUGUGCUAUAAUGUGCCUUUUACUUUCCAUGUGGUGGGCAUCUAAACCAGGUCACUUUGAUAGGGUUGACAACUUGAGCUAUAAAAUAUGUCCAGUUAUUACUGCAGUUCUUGGGCUAUAGAAUUAGAUUGGGUUUGAGGCCUAAUUGUGUUAUGAUUUAUGCAUAUAUAGAGUUCACGCUCAGCCUAGAUCUUAUUCGAAAAAAGGGGUUGGGUUAAUCUAUGAGUUAUUGGGUUAAUAAGGUAAAAUGACAUUGUUUCAUUUUUUUUUUUGAAAAAAAAAUUACUCUAAACAUCCCAAACAAACAAUUACACGUUUUGACAGUGUAGUACCAACUUUAAAAAUUUAUCAAAAAACUAAAAUGCUCAUGCAUAAUAACACCAAAUAAGUAUGUUUUGGCAGUGUAGUAGCAGCACAUCAAAAUAAUCCAAAAUAUGCAAACCAUAUUAAAUUUUAGCAAAAAAAAAAAUUGAAUUUUUUGGGAACGCAGUUUGCAAAACAUGCAAAUCAUAUUAAAUUUUAGCAAAAAAAAAAAAAUUGAAUUUUUUGGGAACGCAGUUUGCACCGCGUUCCCAAAAGGUUUCUUAUUUUCAGCUGAGUUUAUUCUGUUUAUUAUUCUGGGAAGAAUUAAGUUGUUCAUCUGGUAAAAUAGAGCGCCACUUAUAAUUCUGUUUUACAAUUUUCUUGUUUCCAUAUCAUUAAUGGACAGGAGGUGUUCUGUAGUAAGUUGGCAUGGUUACAGGUAAGAAUGCUGUUCUAAUUCCUUCUGCCUUUAGUACAGGGAAGAUGAUGCCUAAGGCAACCUAAAGAUGACACAAAAUAAAAUUAUAAACUCUCUCUCUCUGUCUCUCUUAUUUUUAUUCUUUUUGGACUAGACCUUACAAGAAAAAAAGUAUGCACAAAGAAAGAUAAUUUUAAUGCUAAAUAUUUUUUUUUCUAACGUAGCAAUCUCUUUAAUAUAUAAGGUAGAAAAAUUAGAAUCCUAAACUGAAUAGAAAAACAACAUAAAAUUUAAAAUUAAACUAGAAAUCAAAAGAAAAUAACAAAAUUGACUAGGAUAGCAUUUCAUGAAAAACCAUUGCAUCAUUAGUUACACACUAUUGUAUUAUUUUUCUUACAUUGAGAAGAAACAAGCUAAGCAUUGAUUGGAGUGGACAUCAUCUUCAUGCAUGGUAUGAUUUUCAUGUCCCUCAGUCUCCCCACCCAAAUUGGAAUACUCUUUAGUGUAUCAGCAAACCCUAGAAACCCAGAUUCUCUACUCUUAUUCAUGCUACAGACAUGUUGAAACCCAAAAUGCAAAACCAAAUUAAGUGCUUCAAAACAAGUAAUAUCUUCCAUCUUAGUCUCAAACAGCCCGUAUUUCUCAACAAUCUCAUCCCACACUUUGCCUUUACCCUUCAUCAUCCCCAGCCAAUCAAACUUCUCAUCAUUCUCUUCAAAGGCCACAAACUCGACAUCAAAGACCUCACACAGGACUCCCCAUAAACUCUUCCACGUAAAAACAUCACCAUUUGUGCAGUUGAAGGCUUGAUUCUUAGCUCCCUCAGUCACCGCUGCCCAUAUUUGUUGCUCAGCUAGCACCCUUGCAUCAGACAUGUCACAGAAGUGCUCCCAUGUGUAUUUGUUCCCAGGGUAUCGAAAUGGUAACCCCUGGUAUCGACAAAUUAUAGCAUAAACAGAUAGAGUAAGCAGUGUGUUAUUCAGACUUCUUGAAGAUGCACCUAUUAUUAUUGAUGAGCGAUGAACUGAGUGUGUAAUGGAAGGCAAAUAGGAGGCAACCAAGUCUUCUAAGGCAUAAUAGAAAUUGGGGUAGGGAAGUCUGCCUAGGUCCUCCUUGAAAGGUUGGUCCUGAUGGACAAGCUCGCCUCUAAGUGAAGGGUCAUAUAUUGGACCCAUGUAGUGUUUGGUUCCGGUUAGCAAAGUGACAUGCCUGAGCCUUGAAGGGGCAGCGGGUUUGAGUGCAUUAAGCACGUUGGCUAGCAUGGUGGAGUUCAUGGAGAUGUUUACUUCUUCAUUUCCAUGGUGUUGCAUGGAAACCCAGAAGACGUGGGUGAUCUCAUGAGCCACAGGUGAGAGAUAUGAAACCGUCGACCAAGAAAGCGGGAAACCAUCUUGGCAAGGGACGCCUCGCUAUGCCAUACACCUUCCACGGCCUGCCUGGAGUUGUUGGCUUCUGCAGAUCCUCAGCCAAGCUAAAUCCUGCCAAGCCAGUUAUACCCACAAUCAGGGCAACUGAUGCAUCUGAAGAGUUUUCUCUCUCCAUAAAGAAUGCCCAAUUAUGUUUCUUUUUGGCCCUAGCAUUGCACUGAGAUAUCAUUGAAGAUAAGAAAUCCUCCCCAUCUUGUUUUUUUUUUUUUUAAUUUCUGACCAUAUAUACAUCCUCAGAAAUUGACCAUACAUCCUUGGAAUAAACAACGGGAAUUCUGUGGCUAUGGAAUGCUAUGCUAUCUACAAGAAGAAUAAUUAAAGCAUUUUUCUAGAUAUACUGAGCAUGCUUUUGAAAGUAUCCUGUAACAUUGUUUUCUAAUAUAUUAAAAUAUAUUUUUAAUAUUAAUAUAUUAGAAUAAUCUAAAAAAAUAUAUAAAAAAUUAAUUGAAAACUAAAAAAAAUCAAAAAUAUUUUAGAAGACAAUGCCAAAAUAUAAUGAUCGAUCGCUUUACAACUUGGAUAUGAUGAAAUGCAGCCAAACCCCACUUGAAAUGAAUGGCCUGAAAUCGAGUUUGAAUUGUUAAAAUGCCCUAUAAUUAUUUAAUCCAACAACAUAUAAACCAGAUCAAAAUGUAACAUCAGCCCAGCAAAAUUGGAUGGAGAUAGUCUUCUAUGUCAGGCUCAAUUUCUAUUUUUUUUUCUUUUUUCUUUUUCAUUAAAACAAAAAAAACUUCUUAUGUUAAUAUAUAAUUAAUCAUAAAAUAAUUGUUAAUAUUGUCAUAAAGCUAUAAUCUUCUCGAAUACCAUGACAUAAUUAGAAUAGUUUUAAAAUCCGGUCCAACCCGACAUGUUAAUUCGGGACCCGGCUGACCCGGGGUUGGAACCGGGCCGAAUUUAAGAAAAAAUAAGAGAAGUAAAAAAUUCGGGUGACCUGACAAGUUGACCGGCCUGGUUAAAAACCUGGUUGCAACCCAUUGACUAUUUUUUUUUACCAAAACAAUAUCGUUUUGAUUUAUAUAAACAACUGGGUUGACCUGAGUGACUCGAUGACCCGAUGACCCGAUCUAAACCUGGUGACCUAGGUCUUGAGUUGAGUCGAUUAUCAGACCGGGUUUAAAAACUCUGAUAAUUAGAAGCUUUAUUAACUAUUAUUAUUUUAAUAAAUUUAUUUUUAAGAGAAUUUUAUUUUAAAAUCAAUAAAAAAAAUGGCUCUUUAAGAAAAGAAAGGCACACUUAAGUAUGGGAGGAAACUGGAAAAGUUUGUGCGCAUGAGAUCGGAAGGCCACAUCCAUCUGCCUAGGUUUGUUUCUCUCUCUUUGUUUUUUGUUUUUUUCAUACAAAACAUCGUCUAUGUAAACACUCAACUUAACACUGGUAUAUCAGUACUAAAAAAGACAAUUUUUGAUAGAGAAAUGAUAAUUAAAAAGAAAAAUUUGCUAUAGAUGGGGAUGAAAACCUUUAGAAAUUUAAUUUAAAUUUCAGAUGAAAUAAAAUAAUGAAUAAAAUAAUGAAAUAUUAACCUUGGCUAAAAUAAUUAUUUAAAGAAUUUUUUUAUAAAUUGGGGAGGAAAACAAUGAUAAUAGAGUAUAAUUCUAAGAAAAAUAAUGUAUGACUUUACGUGCAAAAAAACAUUGAUUUUUGAUAUAAAUUUCACAUACAAUCACGCUAUUUUGACUGGAAAUACUGAAAACUCUAAGUAAAUUCUUGUGAUGAUUAUAUAUUGAUGAAAAUCAUCAAUGAAUUAGUUUAAAAAUCAUGGGAAUAUAAGUAAAUAAAAUGAUACGUAAAAGUUUGAAUUUUUUAUAUAAAAUUAUCUAAUAUUUAAUUUCAUAGUACCAAUUAUAUUUACUGUUGAAUUAGAUUGAAAUAAUAUAAGUAGUCUCCAUUAUAAUUUGAGUUAGAUUUUCAAUCGUGGUUGUAAAAACUUGAAAUGAAUGAAAAUGAACAUUUGAGCAAAUGAGAAACAUAAAAGAUUAAGCAGUGGCCAAGAAUGUAAUAAAUAAAAAUUAGAAUCCUAAACCUAAUAGAAAAACAACAUAAAAUUUAUAAUUUAACUAGAAAUCAAUAGAGAAAAAAAAAUAGCAUUUAAUGAAAACCAUUGCAUCAUUAAUUAGUUACACUAUUGUAUUAUUUUUCUUACAUUGAGAAGAAACAAGCUAAGCAUGGAUUGGAGUGGACAUCAUCUUCAUGGUAUGAUUUUCAUGUCCCUCAGUCUCCCCACCCACAUUGGAAUACUCUUUAGUGUAUCAGCAAACCCUAGAAACCCAGAUUCUCUACUCUUGUUCAUGCUACAGACAUGUUGAAACCCAAAAUGCAAACCCACAUUAAGUGCUUCAAAACAAGUAAUAUCUUCCAUCUUAGUCUCAAACAGCCCGAAUUUCUCAACAAUCUCAUCCCACACUUUGCCUUUACCCUUUAUCAUCCCCAGCCAAUCAAACUUCUCCUCAUUCUCUUCAAAGGCCACAAACUCAACAUCAAAGACCUCACACAGGACUCCCCAUAAACUCUUCCACGUAAAAACAUCACCGUUUGUGCAAUUGAAGGCUUGAUUCUUAGCCCCCUCAGUCACUGCUGCCCAUAUUUGUUGCUCAGCUAGCAUCCUUGCAUCAGACACGUCACAGAAGUGCUCCCAUGUAUAUUUGUUCCCAGGGUAUCGAAAUGGUAACCCCUGGUAUCGACAAAUUGUAGCAUAAACAGAUAGAGUAAGCAGUGUGUUAUUCAGACUUCUUGAAGAUGCACCUAUUAUUAUUGAUGAGCGAUGAACUGAGUGUGUAAUGGAAGGCAAAUAGGAGGCAACCAAGUCUUCUAAGGCAUAAUAGAAAUUGGGGUAGGGAAGUCUGCCUAGGUCCUCUUUGAAAGGUGGCUCCUGAUGGACAAGCUGGCCUCUAAGUGAAGGGUCAAAUAUCGGACCCAUGUAGUGUUUGGUUCCGGUUAGCAAAGUGACAUGUCUGAGCCUUGAAGGGGCAGUGGAUUUGAGUGCAUUAAGCACGUUGGCUAGCAUGGUGGAGUUCAUGGAGAUGUUUACUUCUUCAUUUCCAUGGUGUUGCAUGGAAACCCAGAAGACGUGGGUGAUCUCAUGGGCCACAGGUGAGAGUUUGUUUGCUGUAUCGGCACAGUCUAAGGCAUCAAGAGAUAUGAAACCGUCGACCAAGAAAGCGGGAAACCAUAUUGGCAAGGGACGCCUCGCUAUGCCAUACACCUUCCACGGCCUGCCUGGAGUUGUUGGCUUCUGUAGAGCCUCAGCCAAGCUAAAUCCUGCCAGGCCAGUUAUACCCACAAUCAGGGCAACUGAUGCAUCUGAAGAGUUUUCUUUCUUCAUAAAGAAUGCCCAAUUAUGUUUCUUUUUGGCCCUAGCAUUGCACUGAGAUAUCCUUGAAGAUAAGAAAUCCUCCCCAUCUUGUUUUUUUUUUUUUUAAUUUCUGACCAUAUAUACAUCCUCAGAAAUUGACCAUACAUCCUUGGAAUAAACAACGGGAAUUCUGUGGCUAUGGAAUGCUAUGCUAUCUACAACAAGAAUAAUUAAUUAAAGCUUUUUUCUAGAUAUACUGAGCAUGCUCUUGAAAGUAUCCUGUUUGUUUACAAAGUAUGAUAAAAAAUUGUUUUUAAAAACAUUUUUUAUUUUAAAAUAAUAUUUUUUUUAAAAAAAUAUUUCUAAUAUUAAUAUAUUAGAAUAAUUUAAAAAUAUAUAAAAAUUAAUUGAAAACUAAAAAAAAAUAAAAAAUAUUUUAGAAGACAAUGCCAAAAUAUAUAUAUAAUGAUCGAUCGCUUUACAACGUUGAUAUGAUGAAAUGCAGCCAAACCCCCCCUGAAAUGAAUGGCCUGAAAUCGAGAUUGAAUUGUCAAAAUGCCCUAUAAUUAUUUAAUCCAAAAACGGAUGAACAAAAUCAAAAUGUAACGUCAGCCCAGUAAAAUUUGAUGGAGAUAGUCUUCUCUUUCAGGCUCCAUUUCUAUUUUUUUUCUUUUUUCUUUUUCAUUAAAAAAAACAACAACAAAACGGUACUAUCUUUUGAAUCUUAAACUCUCAAGUUUUUUUAUAUAUUCAAAGAUAUAUAGUAUGUAAUACUAAGGUAGUGCUUUUAAAAAUUUAUUUUUAUUUAAUUAUAUGAAAAUUAAAAUAGAUAUUCAUAGUAUGAUAAAAAUUCUGGAGAAAAAAAUUAUUUUUUUAUCUAAAAUUAUCUUUUCUCACUCAUGUAAUUUUUUGUUUUGUUUUGACAAUAACAUACUCCUUUUGUUUUUGCUAGCAUCAUGAUUUAUUGAGUAAAAAUGACUUGAAUUAAAGAGGAAAUAAUAUAUCUUUUUAAUGAAAAAUCAUCUUUCCUUAUCUGUGUAUUUCUUUUCUUUUCUUUUUUAACAGAAACAUGUUUUUUUUAAUUAGAAGUAUUGUUCUUAAGAUAAAAAAAAUAUUAUGAUUGUAGCAGCAAGUUUCAAUAAAAAAUAAAAAAAAUUAUGAAUUAAUAAUUUCAUAUACAUCUAUGAAUAAAUAUAAAAAAUAAUAAAUAUAAGAAAAUUAUAUAAAAAAAGGUUACAAUGAGAAAAUAACAAGAUAGAUAUUAUAUUUUUAUUGAAUAUUAAUGAUAUUUUUUUAAAAAAACUUCUUAUGUUAAUAUAUAAUUAAUCAUAAAAUAAUUGUUAAUAUUGUCAUAAAGCUAUAAUCUUUUGGAAUACCAUGAUAUAAUUAGAAUAGUUUUAAAACCUGGUCCAACCUGACAGGUUGAUCCGGGACCCGGCUGACUCAGGGCUGGAACCGGACCGGAUUUAAGAAAAAAUAAGAAAAGUAAAAAAUUCGGGUGACCCAACGGGCUGACCCGGUCAAAAACCUAGUUGCAACCCGUUAGCUAUUUGUUUUUACCAAAACAACAUCGUUUUGAUUUAUAUAAAAAAGCGGGUAGACCUGGGUGACCCGAUGACCCAAUCAAAACCUGGUGACCUGGGUCUUGGGUUGAGUCGACUAUCGGGUCAGGUUUAAAAACUCUGAUAAUUAGAUGAUUUAUUAACUAUUAUUAUUUUAAUAAAUUUAUUUUUAAGAGAAUUUUAUUUUAAAAUCAAUAAAAAAAUGGCUAUUUAAGAAAAGAAAGGCACACUUAAGUAUGGGAGGAAACUGGAAAGGUUUGUGCGCUUGGCGUCGAAGAAAACCCGAGGCAUGCAUGAGAUCGGAAGGCCAAAUCCAUCUACCUAGAUUUGUUUCUCUCUCUUUGUUUUUUGUUUUUUUCAUACAAAACAUCGUCUAUGUAAACACUCAGCUUAACACUGAUAUAUCAGUACUAAAACAGACAAUUUUUGAUAGAGAAAUGAUAAUUAAGAAGAAAAAAUUGCUAUGGGGAUGAAAACCUUUAGAAAUUUAAUUUAAAUUUCAGAUGAAAUAAAAUAAUGAAUAAAUUAAUGAAAUAUUAACCCCGGGUAAAAUAAUUAUUUAAAUAAUUUUUUUAUAAAUUGAGGAGGAAAACAAUGAUACAAUAAUUUUAAUAAAGUAUAAUUCUAAGAAAAUAAUGUAUGACUUUACGUGUAAAAAAACAUUGAUUUUUUAUAUAAACUCUGUAUACAAUUACGCUAUUUUGACCGGAAAUGCUGAAAACUCUAAGCAAAUUUUUAUGAUAAUUAUUGAUCAUCAAUAAAUUAGUUUAAAAAACAAAUCGGUAUGAGUAAAUAAAAUAAUACAUAAAAAUUAAAAUUUUUUACAUAAAAUUAUCUAAUAUCUAAUUUUAUAAUAUUUAUUAUAUUUAUUGUUGAAUCAAACUGAAAUAAUAUAAGUAAUCUUCUAACAUAUUAUUAUAAUGGUUGUAAAAACUUGAAAUGAAUGAAAAUGAACAUUUGAGCAAAUGAGAAACAUAAAAGAUUAAGCAGUGGCCAAGAAUGUAAUAAAUAAAAAUUAGAAUCCUAAACCUAAUAGAAAAACAACAUAAAAUUUAUAAUUUAACUAGAAAUCAAUAGAGAAAAAAAAAUAGCAUUUAAUGAAAACCAUUGCAUCAUUAAUUAGUUACACUAUUGUAUUAUUUUUCUUACAUUGAGAAGAAAUAAGCUAAGCAUGGAUUGGAGUGGACAUCAUCUUCAUGGUAUGAUUUUCAUGUCCCUCAGUCUCCCCACCCACAUUGGAAUACUCUUUAGUGUAUCAGCAAACCCUAGAAACCCAGAUUCUCACUCAUGUAUUUUUUGUUUUGUUUUGUUUUGUUUUUGACAAUAACAUACUCUUUUUGUUUUUGCUAGCAUCAUGAUUUAUUGAGUAAAAAUGACUUGAAUUAAAGAGGAAAUAAUAUAUCUUUUUAAUGAAAAAUCCUCUUUCCUUAUCUAUGUAUUUCUUUCCUUUUCUUUUUUAACAAAAACGUGUUUUUUUUAAUUAGAAGUAUUGUUCUUAAGAUAAAAAAAAAUAUUAUGAUUGUAGCAGCAAGUUUCAAUAAAAAAUUAAAAAAACCAUGAAUUAAUAAUUUCAUCUACAUCUAUGAAUAAAUAUAAAAAAUAAUAAAUAUGAGAAAAUUAUAUAAAAAAGUUUACAAUGAGAAAAUAACAAGAUAGAUAUUAUAUUUUUAUUGAAUAUUAAUGAGAAUUUUUUAAAAAAACUUCUUAUGUUAAUAUAUAAUUAAUCAUAAAAUAAUUGUUAAUAUUGUCAUAAAGCUAUAAUCUUCUGGAAUACCAUGACAUAAUUAGAAUAGUUUUAAAACCCGGUCCAACCCGACAGGUUGAUCCGGGACCCGGCUGACCCAGGGCUGGAACCAAACCGGAUUUAAAAAAAUUAAGAAAAGUAAAAAAUUCGGGUGACCCAACGGGUUGAUCCGGUCAAAAACCCAGUUGCAACCCAUUGACUAUUUUUUUUUACCAAAACAACAUCGUUUUGAUUUAUAUAAAAAAGCAGGUAGACCUAGAUGACCCGAUGACCCGAUCAAAACCUGGUGACCUGGGUCUUGGGUUGAGUCGACUAUCAGGCCAGAUUUAAAAACUCUGAUAAUUAGAUGAUUUAUUAACUAUUAUUAUUUUAAUAAAUUUAUUUUUAAGAGAAUUUUAUUUUAAAAUCAAUAAAAAAAAUGGCUAUUUAAGAAAAGAAAGGCACACUUAAGUAUGGGAGGAAACUGGAAAGGUUUGUUUCUCUCUCUUUGUUUUUUGUUUUUUUCAUACAAAACAUCGUUUAUGUAAACACUCAGCUUAACACUGGUAUAUCAGUACUAAAACAGACAAUUUUUGAUAGAGAAAUGAUAAUUAAGAAGAAAAAUUUGCUAUUGGGAUGAAAACCUUUAGAAAUUUAAUUUAAAUUUUAGAUGAAAUAAAAUAAUGAAUAAAUUAAUGAAAUAUUAACCCCGGGUAAAAUAAUUAUUUAAAUAAUUUUUUUAUAAAUUGAGGAGGAAAACAAUGAUACAAUAAUAUUAAUAAAGUAUAAUUCUAAGAAAAAUAAUAUAUGACUUUACGUGUAAAAAAACAUUGAUUUCUGAUAUAAACUCCACAUAUAAUCACACUAUUUUGACCGGAAAUGUUGAAAACUCUAAGCAAAUUUUUACGAUGAUUAUUGAUCAUCAAUAAAUUAGUUUAAAAAAUAAAUCAGUAUGAGUAAAUAAAAUGAUAUAUAAAAAUUAAAAUUUUUUACAUAAAAUUAUUUAAUAUCUAAUUUUAUAAUGUUUAUUAUAUUUACUGUUGAAUCAAACUAAAAUAAUAUAAGUAGUCUUCUAACAUAUCAUUAUAAUGGUUGUAAAAACUUGAAAUGAAUGAAAAUGGAUAUUUGAGCAAAGAAAAAACAUAAAAGAUUAAGCAGUGGACAAGAAUGUAAUAAAUAAAAUGAGUGCAUUUAAAUGUAAUAUAUAAAAAUUAGAAUCCUAAACCUAAUAGAAAAACAACAUAAAAUUUAUAAUUUAACUAGAAAUCAAUAGAGAAAAAAAUAGCAUUUAAUGAAAAACAUUGCAUCAUUAGUUAAUUGACUCUUGCAUUAUUUUUCUUACAUUGAGAAGAAACAAGCUAAGCAUAGAUUGGAGUGGACAUCAUCUUCACGGUAUGAUUUUCAUGUCCCUCAGUCUCCCCACCCACAUCGGAAUGCUCUUUAGUGUAUCAGCAAACCCUUGAAACCCAGAUUCUCUACUUUUAUUCAUGCUACAGACAUGUUGAAACCCAAAAUGCAAAACCACAUUAAGUGCUUCAAAACAAGUAAUAUCUUCCAUCUUAGUCUCAAACAGCCCGUAUUUCUCAACAAUCUCAUCCCACACUUUUCCUUUACCCUUCAUCAUCGCUAAGCAAUCAAACUUCUCAUCAUUCUCUUCAUAGGCCACAAACUCAACAUCAAAGACCUCACACAGGACUCCCCAUAAACUCUUCCACGUAAAAACAUCACCAUUUGUGCAAUUGAAGGCUUGAUUCUUAGCUCCCUCAGUCACUGCUGCCCAUAUUUGUUGCUCAGCCAGUACCCUUGCAUCAGACAUGUCGCAGAAGUGCUCCCAUAUGUAUUUGUUCCCAGGGUAUAGAAAUGGUAACCCCUGGUAUCGACAAAUUGUAGCAUAAACUGAUAGAGUAAGCAGUGUGUUAUUCAGACUUCUUGAAGAUGCACCUAUUAUUAUUGAUGAGCGAUGAACUGAGUGUGUAAUUGAAGGCAAAUAGGAGACAACCAAGUCUUCUAAGGCAUAGUAGAAAUUGGGGUAGGGAAGUCUGCCUAGGUCCUCCUUGAAAGGUGGCUCCUGAUGGACAAGCUGGCCUCUAAGUGAAGGGUCAAAUAUUGGACCCAUGUAGUGUUUGGUUCCGGUUAGCAAAGUGACAUGUCUGAGCCUUGAAGGGAAAGCGGAUUUGAGUGCAUUAAGCACGUUUGCUAGCAUGGUGGAGUUCAUGGAGAUGUUUACUUCUUCACUGUCGCGAAGUUUUCUGGAAAUCCAGAAGACAUGGGUGAUUUCAUGGGCUACAGGAAAGAGUUUGUUUUUAGUAUCUUCAUGGUCUAAGGCAUCGAGAGAUAGGAAACAGUCGAUCAAGGAAGAGGGAAACCAACUUGGCAAGGGACGCCUUGCUACGCCAUACACUUUCCAUGGGCUACCUUGAGUUGUUGGCUGCUUUAGAGCCUCUGCUAAGCUAAAUCCUACCAUGCCAGUGACGCCCACAAUCAGGGCAACUAAUAUAUCUGGAGAUUUUUCUUUCUCCAUAGAGCAUGCACAGAGAUACAAGCUUUUUGGUUAUGUUCUAGCUAGCAUGCGUGCACUGAAGUACACAAAUGAGAGAGAGCCAAUUUAUGCAUGGAUACUGAUCUCUGCAGCAAGCCAUUCCAAAAGAAAUUGUGCUUGUAAAUAUUGUUGUUCAAGUAAAAACAAAUUCCUCCACCAUAAAAUGUAAGAUUGUCCUUCAAAUAUUAAACUAAUUAACCCAGAUCCUCAGUGGAAAAGACAAAUAUUGCAUUGUUAGAAUGGCUGGCCUGGCUAUAUUCCUCUCCUAAAAUGUUAAUGGCUUGAAUAUUUCCAAUAAUUAAUAUUACGCAACAAGUCUUUUAUCUUACCUUCUAUAUCUCCUUCGGCUGCUUAGCUACAAUCCAACAACACAAUGACACUGGUAAUCAAACAAGAAAUAAACCAAACCCACUUAUUCUUGGACGGCCUGUUGAAAUCCAAUUGUUAUAAUAAUCCAACAACAUAAUGGCAGAUCGAUCAAACAACAAAUUAAAUAAACCAAAUUUACAAAGUCUCUGAAACUUCAAAUCAAAUUUUGGUUUUUCCAUUGCUAGUAUAGUGGGCUUUGGAUUUUUUUUUUCUAAAUAAUUUUAACAUUAAUAUGAUAAAUCCAUGACUUAAUUGAUCUGUUAUGGUAGCCAAAUAUUCACUAAUCAAAUAAGGUGGAUGUUUGAGGUUAUCAACUCAUAUAACCUAACUAUUCAUGCCUUCCCUGGAAGAAGAUGGGGCAGGCCUUUCCUAAAUGAUCUAGUGAAAUGCAAAAAGGAUUUAUGCAAUUAACCAUGUAUGAGUUUUUGAAAUGCCUUUCUUAGGAGUGAUUUGCUGCCGAUUUUUUUGUUUUUGCAGUUCAAUCGUUAUUUAUAAAAAUUUUAAAUUUUUAUUAUUCUAAAUUAUUUUUUUGAUAUUAAUUUUUAGAUCGUUUUAAUAUAAUGAUAUUAAAAAAAUAUUAUUUUAAUAUAUUUUCAAAUAAAACGUAUUUUUAAAACUAGAACACCAAAUGCUACUGUAUUCUAUUUUCUUAUUUUAUCCAAGUAAUAUUCAACCCUAAACAAAUGUAUUUUGAACAUGGACAGGGUAGCAUUCAAGCCAUUUUUUUCUCUACUUUCGUUAAGAGAAAGGAUCCCCUCAAUGCAAUCAAGGAUGAUGAAUGAUCAUGUGAUGUGAUUAAGAUGAAAAAAAAAAAUAAAAAUUGCAGAAAAGCUAGAAAAAAGUGACCAAAGUGUAAAAAAGAAACAGUAGAGGGACACUUUAUUAGGUCUUGGUUCCAUUUUCAUGUUUCUGAAUACUAUAUUUAAGCAUGCUACUGCUAGAGUCAUUUAGCAAGAACUAGAAGAGGAGGGGUUUUAGUAUAUCUUUUCUUAUAAAGCAUUUAUUUAUUGAAAGAUUGCUUUGUUUUUUUUUUUUGAUUUUUUAAUUAAUAUAUUUUUUAAUUUUAUUCUUUAAUAUUUUAUUUUUUUAUUUAGUUAUUAUACUCUCGUAACAUAAAUCUUAGAUUUAAGAAAUUAACUUGAUUUAUUCAGCUAACCUAUUGAGUUAAAUUUUUUUAAUUAUUAAAUUGGGCCUAGUAAUGUAAGCCCAUUUUCCAUCCAAUGUGUCUAGAGGCAAUAACUUUUGUUCACGCAGCACAGUUCGCUUCCUUUACCUCUACAACAGGGAUACUUCCACGAGUCCAUCCUACUGGUCUAGGGUAUGUCUAUGUAAUAUGGCUAGACUAGCGAAUGAAGCAGCAAAGAUAAGGCGUGUCCUUGAACCUCUGUUCCAGAACUUCGAUGCUAACAAUCACUGGCCCUAGAAAAAGGAGUUGUCUACCCUGUUUUGACAUUUUUGCAGUCACUUCUGGAGGAAACAGGCUGCAUUUGGAACUUGAUGCGCCAUCUCUUUAGGCUGUUGCGUAUGUGGUUUUGGAUACCCUAGACUGUAAUUCAAAUAACCUUUUGUAGACAUAACUGAUAUAUGGUUAUAUUAUCAUCAGGAGAAAAUUCGCAUUUGCUAUUAUCUAUCCUGGUCAAGCACUUGGAUCAUAAGAGUGUUGCCAUACAACCUUCUUUACAAGUAGACAUUGUUAUAAUGUCACAGCACGACUUGGACAAAGCUCAAUGCAGCGAGCCACAGUUGCUAUCAUUGGUGCAAUAUCUGACUUGAUGAAACAUUUACAAAAGUGCCUGCAAAAUUCAUCCAAAUUUUCCAACCCCAGGGGUGGCAGUGAUGGAUGGAAUGCUGAUCUUCAGUUUGCUUUAAAACGCAUCUCACAGCUCUCAGAUAAGGUCUGCAGUUGUUCCUUAACCAUAAUUUAUAUUAAUAUGCAUGUAAAGUUGUUUUUGAAAAGAAUUGAGGUUAUGCUAUGUAAACUGUUUCAGGCUUUUCCUGAUGCUCUAUUCCACCAAUUGCUUGUGGCAAUGGCCCACCCAGACCAUGAGACUAGAUUUGGAGCACACAGUGUUUUCUCUAUCUUGCUCAUGCCAUCCUUGUUUUCUCCUUGGUCAGACCAGGAUAAGAAAACCUCUGAAGCUGUUUCUGAAACUUUUGGUGCAUCAGCAUCACAAAAGAGGAGUAAGGUUUCUCCUUUCUGGGUGAAAGCAAAGAUAAUGUUGAUGCCGUGGAUGGAAAAUUGUGGGAAGAAGGCAAUUCAAUUUCAAAUGUGGGUGAAAAACAUGAUUCUCAUGAUCAUUUAAACAGCUUCUGGCAUGCUGCCCCAGAUGGAAAAAUGGUAUGGAGCUCCAAAGAUUUUGCAUUUGAGAAUUCAUUUAGUUUUCAGCUGGGAUCUCCAUUUCACAUCCUUUAUAAAUGGUCUCAUGUAGUUGAAUGUUUGCUGGCAGCUAACUUCCCUUCGAUUGAGUAGCCGUCAAAUCAGUCAUUUGCUUUCAUCAUUAUGGGUUCAGGCAACAUCUGCAGAGAAUAUGCCCACAAAUUUUGAGGCCAUGAGCCAUACUUAUAAUAUCACUUUGCUUUCCACACGAUCUAAGGUGAGAGGAUGCAUUUACUUCAAUCUCCUCACAGUUAUAAUAUUUCUUAAUUUAUCAAAGUAUAUCUGGCAAUUCCUUUUGAAUCUUUUGAACUUGCAAUGAUACUUCAAGCCAGCAACAUUUUUUCUCAGUUUACUAUUUAUCAACCUUUUUAUCUUUUGCAAUGAUACUGACAUUGAAUCUGGAGAAGAAAAUUGCUGUGAGGGGCUUCCGCAUAGCCAGAAAAAAAGUUUAAUGUCUUGCCAUUUCUUUCAAAUCACCCAGUUUAAGAUAACUGAAGAAUUUUAUGCUUUCUAUUUGAUGAUUAUAUUUAGCCUGUUUGUUGAUGGAUACAGGCCUCAAGUCACAUGGCACUAGUUCGGUGUUUUCAGCUGGCAGUCUCUCUGGCUCAAGAAGGUUAGCUGAAUCUGUUAGUGUAUGGUAAAUUGGUAAUAUGUUUUGAUUGUAGGGAUUGACAACAUUUGCUCUCUAAUUCCUCUUUUCUCUUUGGCUAAAAGAUCCCUGAUUUAUGAUUUCUUAAUUGCUCUUGAAGUUUAUUUUCUGAAAUUAUUAGAUUGGUUAUGUUGGUGCACUUUACUUCCCAUACCUGUUUCUUGCAUCCAUAUCUAAGCAGGUCUGCAACAAUCUCGUGGAAGGUCUCUCUUCACCUUGGCAUCAUUCAUGCUUAUUUUUGCAGCAAGGGCAGGAAAUCUUCCAGAGCUAAUUCCUUUUUUUAAAUCCUAUCUAACAGAAAAAACAUUUAGUUUACUUUUCCAUUACCAUUUAGAAGGAAAUGUUUUGUUGUUGUUUUUCUAUGACUAUGACAUGUUUCCCGUGGAGCUUUUGUUAAUAUAUUUGCAUCAAUUUAUGAAUAUUAUGGCAGGCCAACCCUUAUCUUGAAUUAGUUGAAGAUAUCAGGCUGCAGGCUGUUUAUGUAGAAUCUGAUGACGGGAAAAUAGCAUAUGGAUCGGAGGAGGAGGAUGUUGCUGCUUUAAAAUCUCUUUCACAUGUGGAAGCAGAUAAUGGUCAUUUGAAGGAAACCCUGACAUCCCAAUUCAUGACAAAAUUUGUCAAAUUAUCAGAGGUGAUAUUGUUAUUUAUAUUUAUCCAAUUUCUUAACAAGAUCACUAGUGAAUCCCUCUUUCCUAGAUCUGAUAUAGGAUUAGCGGCAUUUGUGUCAUGUAAAAAUUAGAGAAUAUAUUAGGAUGAAUUAUCAGGCAUUUAUAUUCGCGGUGUUUAUCAAAAUUAGCCACAUUUAUAUUUGCGGUGUUUAUCAAAAUUCACUCCUUUUUUUUUCAUUUUUUUCCAGGAUGAAUUAUCAGGCAUAAAACAGCAACUUCUGCAGGAGUUUUCACCUGAUGAUGCAUAUCCAUCAGGAGCUCCCCUGUUUAUGGAUACACCUAGGCCAUGUUCCCCUCUUGCCCGAAUGGAGUUUCAGGCAUUUGAGGAGGUAACAUCAUUAAGUUAAUGUUUUCCAUCUUACAGUUAGCAUCCGUGGUGACAGUUCACUUAAUUUAUAGGGUGUCUCUGAGAUCAUGCCUGCAGCUGCCUUGACAGAUGAUGAAACCUUCACAGAACUUAAUGGAAGCCAGUCAGGUCUCAGAACAUCAAUAUCUAUCCAUACACUUGACAUCCUAAGCGUCAAAGAACUUCUGGAACCAGUAAGGGGAGCACUUCCUGUUUCUUCGUUUCUUUUUCGACAUUUAACUGCUUGGUGCAUGGAAAUGUCAUUCCUUGGCUGCAUUUCUUUCCCAUUUUAUGUUGUUUAGAUCCGUGAUCCUUAGCAAGGAAUGGUUUUGGAAUGUAUUGAAAAUUGCAAAUUUAGGAAAGUUCAAAAAAGAAAAGAGUUAGUUUAAAAUUACCUGUUCCUUGCGACCAGAUGAAGAGUCAGUGUGAAGCUCUUGUAACUGGGAAACAGCAGAAAAUGUCAAUACUGCAUAGUUUUAAGCCUCAAGCAGAAGCCAAGGUUUUCCCCAUUGAAGAAGAAAAGAAAGACACCUCAGUCUAUGAUGUGGUGAGUCUGUUUACUUUACAGAUACAAACCAUGCUUAAUGAAUUGAUUCCCUUCUGUCUUGUUUUGUCCCUUUGCAAGAACACAGUUGCUUCAGUCCUCAGGUUUGGUGGUAGUGACAUUAAAAUUGAAACUGUCACUAAAAACAGCAACACCAAGAAGAACAGUAACAUUAACGCCAAUAUUUGAUCAAAUUUAGUUAUCACCAUCAUUGUUUUCACUAUAAUACCUGAAGUUUGAGAUAUCCGGAAGUUUCCUGAAAGUUGGUGAAUUUUGGUCUUUUGUCCUUCACUUUGGUUUUGGAUUUCUCUGUUCUGAAGGGCCCCACUAUAAUUUUUUGCCUGAUUAGCCUCAGAGCCUUUUUGCCUUCAUAUGUUGUUAUCUCAGUGAAUCCAUAAUUUGACGUGGAGCAAUAAACAAAAAAGAAUUAAAACAAUAAAAAAAAAGCUUUUAGAGAAAAAAAAAAUGGGGGUUGGAAAAUAUGCAAACUCAAAUAAAAAUAUAUAAAUAACAUAAUUCUAAAACAUCUAGCUCAUCAAUUAAAAUCAUUUAACAUAAAUAACUCAAAUAAAUAAAAAAAAAACAAUGAAAUAGAUCCAAAUAAACUCAGUCUUUCAUCCAAAAAAAUAAUAAGUUGGACCAUUCUAUAUCAUUUCUAUUAAUAUAAUAUACUCGUAUAAUCUACUGAAUGUGUGAAUGUCCCCACCAUAAUUUAUGUGCUGAUAAAGUUAAUUUGCAAAAUAUUCAUUAUUUAGAAAGUGGAGUUGCCGCAAUGUGAUCUGAAGUUAGCUGUUAAGGAGCAAAUUAGAACACCUGAUCAGCUUUCCCUCUGCUCACUCCAGUACGGACAAAAUUCUUUCAGAUUACCACCUUCAAGCCCCUAGACAAAUUCUUGAAAGCAGCUGGAUGUGUUUAAUACGUAUGUGCAACUAUGAUGUUCGUCAGAAAUGGAAGCUUGCCUUUUGUUAGCCUUACACAAACGUUCCCCAGUCUGGUUAGAUGGUUCUACAUCUCAGCCUUGUUCUACUGCGGAGAAGCGAUAUGGGGAAAAUGGGUGGUCAUCGUCUCCACUGUUUUCAUAUCUUUAGCAAGAUUUGUUAAAAUCUUUUCCUUUUUUCAUUUAACUUUUGGCUAAAGUCCCAUGAACACUGCUUGUGGACAUGGAAACAGGGGCCAGCUGAGAGAAUUAAGAGUUUCUUACACAAUUAUCAAUCUGAUUUUUCAAAUUGCAUGUGCUGUGCUGAAUCAGAUACGCCAUGCUGAUAGUUGACGCGAUAGCGAGAAGUGUAAUUUAUUUUUUACUAUCGUUAUAGUUUGGAUUGAUUUGAAUGGAACUCGAUUGAUUUAUAUGUUUUGAAGUUAAUGACUAUAUAAAUUUAUAAUAAUUUAAAAAAAAAUUAAAUUCGUGACCAUUAAGAAGUAAACUCAAAAUCCGAGAAGUGUAAUUUUUUUUUAUUAGCGUUAUAGUUUGGACUGAUUUGCAUGCAAUUCGAUUGAUUUAUAGGUUUUGAAGUUAAUGACUAUAUAAGUUUUCAAUAGUUUUAAAAAAAUUUAAACUCGUAACCAUUAAAAAGUAAACUUAAAAUCAGACCAGUAUUAUUUUUGUGUACUAUAAUUGGAUACUAUAAUUGGAUACUAGGAAGUGAAGAAAAUGCCAUUUCCAUGGUUGAUCUCUUGCUGGAGACAGAAUACAUUUCUCAUGGCUCACAUAAUUCAUACCUUUUAAGUUUGAUGGUAUAUCAUUGGGCUAGUUUUUGCAUCGAUCGAGAUUAAGUUCUUUUUUUUUCUUUUUUUUUUGAGUAAUUUUAAUGGUGCACCCUCUCUCUUAACCUAGUACAUGGAGGAAUUUAUUACUUGAUAUAUUUAAAGAAAUUUAAUAAAUUUUUUUGUUGUGUUGAUUUUAAUGUUUGAAUCUAGAAAAUAAUAAAAAAAGGAGUGCACUCUCCUAACCAUGAAGGGAAAAAAAAUAAUAUAUUAAAGCUUUCCCUUCAUUUCUCUCCUCAUCAAACUUUCCUUAAAUAUAAUUUGCUUGGUCAAAUUCAGAGUUUAUUAUCAUUUUGUUCAAAAUAUAAAUUUGAACAUGAUUAUUAGAUCAAUUCAUGGGUUAUUAGAUCACUAAUGUGUGUGUGUAUAUAUUAUUUUAAAAAUAAAAAAAUAUAUUAUAUUUUUAACCUAAUUAGUCCCAUCAAUUAAAUUCAAGUAAAAUAAUGAUUGUUAUUAUUAUUUAUUUAAUUACAAAUCUAACAUGUCAUAUAGUAUAACCUUCCAUUUGUUUUUUUUUUAAAUAUCAAAAUAAUAUUAUUUUAUUUUAAAAUUAAUGAGUUAAUUAAUUUGCAUUAAUUAUUUAUCAGACGAAUUCGAGUUUUACAACAAAUCUAUAGAUUUUGAAACAACCCAUUAAACAGAACCAAACUUGAUGAAUCACGUUCACAAAACAUGCACGAUGGAAAUAAUACACGUAUACGAUGUUUAAUAUUUUCCUAAAUAGAAAAAAAAGUAAAAACAUCAGGUGUACCCGUUUGCACAAUAUUCCCAAAUCCCACUCAAUCCCCCUCCGCCACAUCAAAAAUCCAAUUCACACGUCACCCAAAAUCAAGCUUCCUUCCACGUGUCAACCUCCAACUGGGUUCAUUACUUUAACAACAAGACUCUUCAGCAAAAACAUAAAACACGUGGCACUUAACGACCGGGACUGGAGACAAGUAGGAUCCACACACUCGUCCACAUAGAAAUUAAAGCUAUGUGUCAACUCGCUCUCUAUCCUUUUAAACUCACUCACUGAGUCACCAUAACGAAAACUCGCUCUCUUUAGGUUUUUAUAAAAUCCGAGAAAACCCCCCCUCUCUCUGAGAAACGCCAUGACCCUGGGGUUUUAUCUCCUCUCUCUCUUCUCCUCUCUCGCUCUCUCUCUCUAGACAGAUCUCUCUGAUCAGGUAAAUCUCCACCGUCCCUUUCCUUUCCCUUUUCCCCUAAAAAAUUUCAAAGAUUUUUCUGAUUAUUCAAAAUGUAAAUGUUCAAUUUUUUUUAAAUUUAAGAGAUUUGUUUUUUAAUUUCCGCUGUCUAUCCUCUCUGCAUGCAUUGAUUUUUUGUGAAAUCCUUAGUUACUGAAAUAAAAAUCUGCACAUGUCUUUAUGUUUUUAUGCGGAAAUUACUGAAAAUGAUCGAAAUUAGUGCUAAUUAGUUAUUAGAGUAAUUUUAUUUUGAUGAUUUUUGUGUAUAAGAGUAAUUUAGGGCAUUUUAAAUGAGGAUAAUUAGUGUUUAGUAAAUUUUAUAUGGUAGAAUUUUUUGAGUAUUUAUGUUAGAGUGUAAGCACGCCUGUUGCGAUUGCUGAACAAUGGAGUUAUUAUCGGGAUUUUGCGGUUGCUAGGGUUUUAGUAAUUUGUGUUUAGGAGAGCUGUUUAGGGGUUUUAGAUAGCGAGUUAAGAAUUUAGAGGUUUGAAGGAACUGAUUUUUUUUUAGUGUGUUUUUGAAGUGGAUUGAAUUUCCUGUUGAUUCUGCUGGAAGCUUGAAGUUGAAAGUGAGAGAAGGAGAACAAUGUGUAGCAAUGUACGAGUUUUUAUUCUUGAAAAGCAGAAUUUUUGUUAAAUUUGUGGUAGUGCUGAAAAGAUGAUCAGAAUUUAGAAAUAAAAAUAACGGUAUUCUAUGAGUGAGCUUAAUAAAUUGUGUUUAUGUUUGUGGGUUUUUUUAUUUGUUUAUUAAUCGUAGGGGUUGGAUCCUAAACUUGAGGGUUUUUUUUUUUUGUUUUUUCUGUUGAGGUCAGGUGUUUUUAAUUUUAUGGGAGAGCAUAGACAACGGAGAUAGAUUUUUGUUUCGUUGCAUAUGUAUACAAAACGUUCUGGUCAAGGAGAUGGCCCAGUUGCAAGGCCUGUGCGGACUAGUGAUAGGCUUAGGAGAAGACCAAAAGUGUUUAGCCGGACAUACUUGUAUUAUACCCCAAGCAUUAUCCGGCCUAGGAAAGGAAAAACGAAGACGAGGACUGCAGCUUCUCGGAUUGCCAAGAUGUUGGGUAACCGGGCAGUGCGGGCUGCAAAUGCUAAUGUAAGUGUUCAUAUCUCCUUUAACUUCAUUUCUCUUUUUGUUUAUUCUUCUGUCUUUGGGACUUUUUCAUGGAGGCUGAACAUGCUAUUAUGAUGAGUUUAUAGAAUAUUUUUCCUCUCUUAAUGCUAAUUAUAUUACUCCGUGAUUCCCUAUUCUUAUUAAUGUUAUAUGUUCUAAAAUAUGACAUUAUGUUGUUUCUGAUUCUCUCGCAGUCAGUUCCAACCAAUCUUCGACGCUCAACAAGAAAGAGGAGGCUUUCUGCUCAUCUUGAAGAUUACACGGAUAGUUCUGGAUCAGAGGAUGAAGACUUGAUGGUUAGAAUCUAUACUCUUGCAAGCCCUCAGUUUUUGUGUAUACAUGUUACUAUAGUUUUUCUCAACUUCUAAGGGCUUAGGUUUUAGAUGGUAAAAAUGAUUUGUUCUCCAUUUUCCACUUCAUGUAAAGCUUUGGGUAACAUUAUUUUUCAGAGACCUGCAUUUCGACCUUUGAGGAAUCGGAUUCAUAAUAGUGCAAGUCAAGAUGAGUUAUCAUCUUCCAAGCGUAAACAAAUUGUGGAGACUAAAUCAACACCUCGACGUGAAGGAUUGCGGCCCCGUCGUUCAAGAACAAUCAAAACAGAGCCAUUGGCUUUAGACUCUGGGGAUGAGCAAGAUACUUCUGAGGAGAAGGCUGUCGAAGAUGAGACUGAAAAUGGGAACGAUAUUGAUGAUAAUGAUGCAGAUGAUGGUCAGAAUGAUGAUGAGGGUGAUGGAGAGGGUGAGGACGAAGGCGAGGAAGAUGAUGAUGAAGGUGAAGAGGAGGAGGAGGAACAGGAUGGAAGGAGGAGAUAUGAUCUCCGAAAUCGCGCAGAAGUCCGUAGGCUCUCUAUGGAGGAAGGUAAGCAAAGACCACGAUCUCCUCGAAGGGUAUUGCAUCAAGGAAUGGGAACAAAGAUCAAUAGGGAUGUAAGGAAGGGGGGAUCAAGGGUUCACAAGCAUCAUCGUCUAACAAGAGCAGAAGAUUCUGAUGAUUCCCUUCUUGUGGAUGAGCUAGACCAAGGUCCUGCUAUUCCUUGGGCUCGAGGUGGGAGCAGAUCUGGACCACCUUGGCUCUUAGGGGGACUAGAGAUGCAUGGGACGACAGCAUGGGGACUGAAUGUUGCUGCAUCUGGUUGGGGCCAUCAAGGUGAUGCCUUAGCAAGCUUGACUUCUGGUGUGCAAACUGCUGGCCCUAGCUCUAAGGGAGGGGCAGAUAUCCAACCUUUACAGGUUGAUGAGAGUGUAAGUUUUGAUGACAUAGGUGGGCUUUCAGGAUAUAUUGAUGCUCUGAAGGAGAUGGUUUUCUUUCCCUUGUUAUAUCCAGAUUUCUUUGCCAGUUAUCACAUUACCCCGCCAAGAGGGGUUUUGUUAUGUGGUCCUCCUGGUACUGGGAAAACUUUAAUUGCCAGGGCACUAGCAUGUGCUGCUUCAAAAGCUGGCCAGAAGGUUAGCUUUUACAUGCGCAAGGGUGCUGAUGUACUCAGCAAAUGGGUUGGUGAGGCUGAAAGGCAAUUGAAACUUCUUUUUGAGGAGGCGCAAAGGAACCAGCCUUCCAUCAUCUUCUUUGAUGAAAUAGAUGGACUUGCUCCUGUUAGAUCUAGCAAACAAGAGCAGAUUCACAAUUCUAUUGUUUCUACUCUGCUUGCAUUGAUGGAUGGUCUGGAUUCUCGUGGACAAGUUGUUUUGAUUGGAGCAACCAACAGAGUUGAUGCCAUUGAUGGAGCCUUGCGUCGCCCUGGUCGGUUUGAUCGAGAAUUUAACUUUCCUUUGCCUGGUUGUGAGGCCCGUGCUGAAAUAUUAGACAUUCACACCCGCAAGUGGAAGCAUCCUCCUUCAAAGGAGCUAAAGUCAGAACUGGCAGCUAGUUGUGUCGGCUAUUGUGGUGCUGAUUUAAAGGCAUUAUGCACUGAAGCUGCCAUCCGUGCUUUCCGGGAAAAAUACCCUCAAGUUUACACAAGUGAUGAUAAGUUUGUGAUAGAUGUUGAUUCUGUAAAGGUUGAAAAGUAUCAUUUUGUUGAAGCCAUGUCCACAAUUACCCCUGCAGCUCAUAGAGGUGCUGUUGUGCACUCUAGGCCAUUGUCUUUAGUAGUCGCACCAUGUCUGCAAAGUCAUCUCCAUAAAGCCAUGAAUUGCCUAUUCGAUAUAUUUCCACCUCUUGCUGUGUCAUCCGAGUUUAUCAAACUUUCUAUGCUUUCCUAUGGAUCUGCAAUUCCUCUUGUGUUUAGGCCACGGCUUCUGCUUUGUGGUUGUGAAGGUUCUGGUCUGGUAAUUAUCUUUUAACCAUUCGAUCUUUGAAUAUUGAUCAUUAUGUAAACACCGAACUAAGAGUACUUACUGAUUUAGUUUAACAGGAUCAUCUUGGGCCUGCAGUGUUACAUGAACUGGAGAAAUUUCCUGUUCAUUCUCUUGGACUUCCAUCUCUGCUUUCAGAUCCCAGUGCAAAGACACCAGAGGAAGCAUUGGUGCACAUAUUUGGUGAAGCACGGAGAGCAACGCCAUCUAUCCUUUACAUACCUCAUUUUGAUCUUUGGUGGGAUAACGUAAGCACAUGCCUCCCUCUGCUAACUUUAGGAAAAUGCAGUAAAAUUUUUGUUGUAUCACAUGCACUGUUUUUUCCCCUACAAAUUCAAGGGAGUCAUUCAUGUUCUUGUGUCUAACCUGAAACAAUUGACCAUGCUUGCUUAAACUUUCUGAUUUUUGAGUGAUGUAUUUUUGAUUAAGCACCUUAAAGUCAAUGAUCUCAUUGCAUCAUCCUUUUUCUGAGCUUUACGAACUUGAUGUUGCAGGCGCAUGAACAGCUCAGGGCUGUUCUUCUCACUUUAUUAGAAGAAUUGCCGUCAGACUUACCCAUUCUAUUACUUGGAAGCUCUUCAUCUCCACUUGCUGAAAUUGAUGGUGCAUCCUUGGUAUUUCCCCAUCGUUCAGCGUACGUUUUAUUUUUGAAAGCAAUUGUCUGUUGCAAUCCCUGUACUGCUUUUAAUCAUUAUGAUGUAACUUUUCUAGCUAGUAAUGUUGCUCUUAAAUUUAAAUUCUUUACUUUAAACAUCAUUUUAAUAUCAUACUUUAGACAUCCAUUCUUGUUUUUCCAAAGUAAGAUUAUGUUACAAAUUUGCCCAAACAGAAAGGACUAUCUAACCUUAUUAUGCUUAUAUUAAGACUUCUUGGAAUCAUUGUAAUCCACCAUAGCUGAUAGGAAGACAAUCUUUAGGCAUCAAAAGGCUUUCAAUGCAAGCUUGUAUAAUACCCUUUAGUCCUUUUCUCUUGCUUUUAAAUGGAUGCAUGGCAUUCCUUUGGUGCCUGCAAAGACCCUGUUUCCUGGUGAGCCAUUUUUACAUAAUCAUGAUGACAAAUAAUUUCCUUCUUAAAUCCAGUAUUUUGUUUAUAUAUUAAAUUUCUGUUGUCAGCUAUCAAGUGGGGAAACCAUCAACUGAAGACAGAUCUUUGUUCUUUGACCAUUUAAUUGAGGCUGCCUUAUCAGUUGUGGUGGAGGACGUGACCAAGAAAUCACAAGGAUCUGCACCCCUUCCUGAACUUCCCAAGGCACAAAAAGUGGCAAGUGGCCCAAAGGCCUCAGAGUUAAAAGCCAAGAUAGAAGCUGAGCAGCAUGCUCUACGCCGAAUGCGCAUGUGCCUCAGAGAUAUUUGCAACCGGUAAGACCAUAGUCCCAGUCUUUUGGGUAGAAGAUCGGUAUAUAAUGUUGACAUCACACUUGUGGUUUUACCCCAAACCACAUUUUACCCCAAAAUGAUGUGAUUUUACUGCCUUAAUGCAACAAGAAAUUUUAUAAUUAAUACUGUAGUUGUAGUUUAAAUCACAUUGAAAUGGUCUAAACAAAACACAGAUAUGGUAGAGCUUGGUACUUCAAAGCAAUGCAAUAAGGAAUUUGCUUCUUCAUGCAACAAGAAAUUUUAAAUUUGGAUUGUUGUUUCACUUUGUAUCAUUGUUGAAAUGGUCUCAAUUUAGUCCAGCAUGUGGGUUCUAAUAAAAUGCAGACGUCAUGGAGCAUAUUUCACUUCGUCUAGUUAAUUAAAGCCAAAUGCAGAUUGUUAAAAAAAAGUUGGUGAGCUUGGAAUUGGUACUCCUAUGCCUUUCGCACAGGCAAUACCCAUGACACUCUUGAAUCUCUUAUCUUUUGAACAAAUCAAAUCUAAUUUUUAUUGAAUAGAAUCAAAUUUCAAAAUAAAUGAAGAGGAUGGUAGAGUAAAGUAUGUGGUUACAAACCAAAGAGAGAUGGGAGGAGCUAGAUGAGAGAUAUAGUGAACGAUUUAGAUCCAGAAGAGAAUGAAAUCAAUGAAAAGUUGUCUGGGUGAGGGAUAAGGUCAAGAAAGGGCGAGUAGACUGUAUGUCUCUGUGCACUCGCAUGUGAGAGAGAGGAGAGGGGUUUCCUAGCAAGGUCUGGUAUGUUGUCUGCAUUUGAAAUUACAUCACCCUAUGAUCAUCCCACUCCAUUGGUUGUUACAGCACAUGUUUCUUGUUACAUACAAGCUGGUUGUCUCUGUCCAGUAUUUGUGCUUCCUUUCACUGUUUACACUUAACAUUCUAACUUCUUUGCUGCAGGAUGUUGUAUGACAAACGAUUUAGUGCCUUCCAUUAUCCUGUCACUGACGAGGAUGCUCCAAACUAUCGCUCUAUAAUCCAGAACCCUAUGGACAUGGCUACCAUGCUGCAGCGUGUUGACUCUGGUCAAUAUAUCACAUGCUCAGGAUUCCUGCAAGACAUUGAUCUCAUUGUGACCAAUGCAAAGGUGUGUUUUGUUCCUAGCUUCAUUUAAUUCUAUUUCUAGGUUCUCCUUUCAUUGAAUAAUUUAACACCACUAUAACUCUGGUCAGUGCAUCUAUUUCAUGCUUAAAUUUGGCGUGCAUGUUUCUAAUAUAGGUGUACAAUGGAGAUGAUUACAAUGGAGCUAGGAUUGUCAGUAGAGGUUAUGAGCUUCGGGAUGCAGUAAGUUUCCAUGCCUUUUGGUUUUCUAUGAUUUUUCCUCUCAUCUUGUCCUAUCACCUAAAGCAUCAUUUGAUGAAUCCCUUUUCAUAAUAUUUUACAGGUGCAUGGAAUGUUGUCACAGAUGGACCCUGCGCUUGUCACUUACUGUGACAAGAUUGCUGCUCAAGGGGGUCCUGUACAAAUACCAGAUGACUUAGGGGGAUCUAUUUUCCCUUCAACCCCAGUUGUGCAGCUUGGAACAGUUACUAGAACAAGUGCCAGGCUACGCAAUGUCCAGCCUGAUGUUAAUCUGGAUCAAAGCUACGAGGCCUUGAAAAGGCAGAAGAAAAAUGCUGAUGCUGCUCAUGCUGGUAUGUUCAUCGGUAAAGCUAUAUACUUUGUCCUUGUGAUAUUGCUGUUUGUUUUUCCCACCUAUCUGAAAGAUGUCUUGAAACAUGUCAAGUUGCAAGACACAUUUUACAUGUUGAAUUUUGGUGCGGAUACUGAUGUAAUAGAUCAGUAGCAAGUAAAACUAAUAUCAGCCAUCGACUUCUUGUAUAAUAGACAUGACCUGUUCGUAGUUCAUGUUUUUAAAUUUCCUUUCCUAGUUAGAAAAACCUCUUGUAAAUAUUGACAAUUAAAUCCUGAAGCCAGAAAUCCGAAUUUUUCUAUUCAAUAUAUGAAUUUGAUCUCACAGCCCAUAUUCCAAACUAGCAUUCUCUUCAGCUUGUGCCCUUUAUCUGAAGUUUUUAACUCCUAAUUUUCCUAGAUUUGUUAUAUUUAAUGUUAUUCUUUGACUGAACUCUUUAAUUUGCCAUGAUCGCUCUUUGGAUACAACUCUCUGAUCAUUUUAUACUUUCAUGAAAAACAGCUUCAACAGCAGAAGAUAAAUCACGGCAUCAGGAUUCAGUGCAGGCAAAGCUGCCAGAGGAAGCCGGGGCAGAUGAUAUGAAUCCAGACAGACCUGAGUCCUCUUCAGCCGAUGACAGUCGACAUGAAACUUCAGGAGGAGAAGCUUCUGGUCAUACCGAAGGGAGUGGAUCCCAAGAUGUUACAAUGUCAGAAGCCGAAGUAUCAAGCCACGUGGAUUACGUCAAGCGGCUUUUCGUGGAGCGCACUGAAAAUUAUGGCAUUCCACUGCUUGAAAGGCUCUACACUCGUAUAAUGAAGGGAAUCUUCGAAACCAAGGACAAAGGAGUCGAAGAUGAUGGCCCCAGAUACUCAAUUUUGAGGUUUUUGGUGAAAUUUGCAGAGAAUACUGCAAACUUCUGAACUCAAUACCUUUUCCCCUUAAAACCAGAGGAUAAAAGAAAAAUGAAAAAUGAACCCAAAAAAAAGAAAUCUUGCAGGUAGCUGAUGUAAAGUCGGGAUUUUCUUUUCAAUGCAAAAAAAUUAGAGUGAAAGCAGUCUCUCUCUCUCUCUCUCUCUUUACCUCUCUCUCUCUUUACCUCUCUCUCUCUCUCUCUCUCUCUCUCCCCCCCAGAGUACAGUUUCCAUAAACUUAUUUGACCUCACAAGCUGUCAAGCUCCAUGGUUUUGUUAUGGCUGGUGGCAAAUCCGAUGUGGCAUUCUUUUACAGGGAGGACUAAGUGGGAUUUGAAUCUCAGCAAAAGCAUCGCUGGUAUAAAUUAGUCUCUUUCUGAUUGACACUAUUCUUGAAUAUUUUUUCAUAGUUUCCAAGAUGUUUGUUUAAUAUCUUCAACUUCAAACUACUCAGAGAGAGAGACAGGAGACGAAAGGGUAUUCAAGCUAUUAUUUUAUUUAAUUUAAAACCAAGUAUUUUUUCGGAGAAUCAAAAUUAUGAUAUUAAGUCUGAAAACUAUUUAUUUUAUUUUCAACAUUUAAAACUAAAUCUAUAUAAAAAAAACUAAAAAAAAAACAUGCUGCUAAAAUAGGAGACAAGUUAAAAAAUAGAAAAUGCAGCGACUCAAGAAACAAGAAGAAAAACAGAUGGGAAGGCGCCAAGCCCUCAAUUGAUACUUAUGUGGGCCGUUCUAAAACAGAAGCCCUGAUUGGAUCAUUUCUUGUCGUAUUUCCCUCCGAGUCUUCUAACUCCUCAAGGUGUUGUCUCAAUACAUUACUAGGUUUAACAUCCGGGGCCGGGCAAGCCUCGUUGUUAAAUUCCUUUUUUUUUUUUUUUAAGUUUUAACUAGCCGACUAUUGAAUUAUUUUUUAAGAAACAUAAAGAGUAAGGGUAUUAUCAACGUAUUUUUUAGUAAACAAAAUUAAUUAUAAACUGAAUAUAUAUAUAUAUAUAUAUAAAAAGAUAUAUAUAUAUAUAUAUAUAAAGAUAUUUAAAAGUAUGAUAAUGAUUGUUUUUUAAAGUGAUUUUUGUUUGGAAAUAUAUUAAAAUAAUAUAUUUUUUAUUUUUUUAAAUUUUGAUACUAGUAUAUAAAAACGAUUUAGAAACAUAAAAAAAUAUUUUUCUAUAAAAAAUUAAAAAUUUUCCGCUCCCAUUUGAAAUAUAAUGCCAAACAGGGUUGUUUUUGCCUCACCAUUCAAACUUGGUAUAACAUCUCAGGCUGAAGUUGUGCUUGGGCCUGCCAAAGAACUUUUAAUAUGGGCUUGUUCCUUUGCUUCUUUUACUGAAGCUAAUAAUUCCUCUCGAUCUUGGCCCACAUGUUUGCCUUUAGGCCCCUCCGGCCUUUUCGUUUGGGCCUGUGGUCUAGCUUCGGUAUUCUUUAGUUUGAUACUCUGACCCUUCUUAGGGCUUCAAAGUCGAUUCCUUUAUUUUGGCUGUCCAUCCUCGUAAUCAUUUAUGGUUCCAAGAUUCUCGGCACAAACAAUCUCUGCGCCAUUUGUUUCCUUAUCUGAAUCCUGUAAACCGUGAAACGAGAUUCCAUUGCCGGACUGUUUCCUCCGGUCCUCUCCUGAAUAUUUAUCCCGUUACCAUUAAUUUUUAAUCUUUGAAUACCAACUAUAUCACCUUCAAGGAGAGUGUCUAAAAACCUCCACCGAAAAUUUAUAGUUAAAAAAUAUAUGUGAGAAAUAUAUUAUUUUUAUUUUAAAAAAUAAACUUAUAUUUUUAUUGAUGGUUAUGCGCCUUGAGGUGAUUCAAGUGAUAAUUAUAGAGGGAGUUUUUAGAAGGAACAUGUUUAGGAAGUGAUAUUAAAAUAUUUGCUUUGAUCGCUUGAUAACUUUGAGUGGAUAAUUCUAUUUUGAUUCAAAGGAGUUAUAAAUUCUUAAAACACACCAAAUGAAAGUAGGUUGAUCCCUUAUAGGAAAAUAAUUUCACUUGAAAGGUCUUUCAUGCUAGUUGUUUUUGUAAAAAUAAAGAGGCCAAUGUUGUAGCAAAUUAAUCUUUUUUACCUAUAUGUGAUUUUUCAUAACUUGCUUAAAUUUGAGCAAGUUUUUGUCAGAUAAAGCAUAAAGUUUUUUUUAGAGAGCAUGUUUUUCUACUUCUUUUAUCAAGGCCUCUAAGGCUACAAGCUAAGGCUACAAGUUCAAGCAUUUUUUUCCCUUUAAAUAUCUUUCCAUUAAACCACUUUAAAUAUAUCUAUGUAAACUAACUCUCUUAUUGAAUAACAUAGAAUAGCUUUGUAAAUUUUUUCCUGACUGACAAGUAUGUUGGUGUUGAAGUAUACCACUCGCUUGGUAUAGAAGUUAUUGAACCCUUUCAUAUAGUUUGAGUGCAAAUUAUAAUACAAUGCACACGUAGACCUCUAGAAAGUUGUGGGGAGAAUUUUACGUAUUGAAUCAUUAUUUUAGAUAAUCAAUUCUAAAUUAUCGUGCAUAUUUUGCAUAUGCUACUUCAGAUUAGCCAUGCCAUCAUAAAUUUCUGGAAGAUACUGAUCUUGUCACAAAAUAAUGCUAGCUACUAAGAAGAUAUAUACUGAUCUUGGCACAAAAUAAUACUAGCAACUAAGAAGUUUCCUAGCUGAUUAUACGAUACAACUUUGGGCCCAAGAAUAUAUAUCUAGUGGAGAUCAUUUCAUGAGCUCAAUCAAGCCAAUCAAGCCCUUCACUUUCCAGCAAAUGAAUCUUUGCAAAUAUUUGCCUUUCUGUAACUAUUUAGACCUUUAAGUGACAACUAGGAAUAGGAAAAUGAAAGACCAGGUUGAUAAUUAGGGAAAUUCUAACCCUUUUACACGGCGUAAUUAAGCUAUAGCAAAACAGCAUCCUGUUCACCUUCUCAAACCCCCCCCCCCCCGGUUUCUUUCCUUGAGAAACAGUUUAUCACUCCUGUGGCGUAUGGGAUGAUGUCAAUAAGAAGGCACUUGUGUUCAAUUGGACCGAAUUUAAAUUUUUUUUAGGAGCUUAUUUUGCGGAAUCAGAUUAUCACGUUUUUUUUGUUUGACCUACCAGUCUAAUCUUGGUUUAAUGACGCUGCUUCAUAUACUUUUCUUAGGCUAAAUUUUCAGUCCAUUAUUAAAGUUUUCUCAAGUCAUUGCCAAUGAAAACAUUUUUCUCCUUCUGGACUGUGCAUAACUUCUAGCAGGAAAUAGAGAAUCUCUCGUUGCGAUUUCUGUCAUUAUCAAUUGUGCUUGCCUUUUCUUCUUUGAGUAUUUUGCUAUAUCUACCUUUUAGUCCCUUUGCUCUAUUUAAGGAAGCAGCAUUGGAGGCCAUUUUUCAGAGAAUUAGCUCUCUAAAACGAAAGGGAAACUACUUCGUUAUAUACUUCGAAGAUGGUGCCGCAUGGGUUCAGGUUCAAUCCCACUGAUGAAGAGCUCAUCCAAGUCCUAGACAGAAAAGCUUCUGGCCAAGAAAUGCCACUUCAUUUCAUUCUCGAAAGAAAUGUUUACGAGCGUGAACCACAGGAUCUUGAAUGUGCGUAAUAUGCACUAUGUAUUUCUUUGUUCUACUGCAUAUAGGGCUCGUGAUUUUUCUUCCCUUUUCUUUGCAAUAAUGGUAUAGUGGAAAUGAUUUUUUCAAGCUUUUUUGCAUUUAUACUAUAUGGUACAAAUUUCAGGCUACCUAUAUAUUUUCUAGGGUUCAAGUUUAGAGGGAUAAUAUCAUAUUCCAUGAUCUUGUCCAUCCAUUGAAAUUUACAGUAUCAAUGUUGAGUUUAUGUUAGUUUCUAUAUACCUUACUAUGAUAACUGACUGCUUAAGUCAGAUCUCUUUAACAAUAUUGUUACAUGCAGGGAAUCAAACCGCUCCUUUAAGCAAUGGUGAGAGAUACUACUAUUGUACGAGGGAGACAAACUAUUCGAGGGAAGUACUCGGUCGAGGAUGGUGGAAAGCUACGAGCCAUGUCAAGAAAAUACAUGCUAAUAAUGAUGAUCAACUUCUUGUGGGGAACAAGAGGCCUUUAAAAUUCCAUAGGUUCAAGGACAAUGAAAGAAAUCGCAAUAAUGCCGUCAAGACUAAUUGGAUCAUGUAUGAAUACAGCCUUGAAUCAAGAACCACGGUACUAGUUUUAAUAUUUUUGCGUGCACAGUUCUAAGUUAGUUAGUCUUAAUUAAUUAUAUGCAUCUUCUUCUGUUUGUUUCAUUUGUCCUACUUUCAUUUUGUUAGGAUUGGAGGCUUUGCAAGAUUAAGCAUAAGGGGAAACCAAGCGUGCAAGAAGAGAUGGAGAGUAUGAGGGAACAAUAUUCAUCGAGGAAUGAUUUCGAAGCCGGUAGUUCGACCAAUUUUGUUGGUGGGCAACAGCAACAGGAACAAACCUCACUGCCUACAAAUUAUGAAGGAUACGAUCAUCAUCAAUCCUAUUAUCAAUGGAACAAUAUGCAGCAGUCACCACCAUCUCCAUAUGAUCCUUCUCUACCGGCACCACCGAGUACUAGUAGUGGUCACUAUUAUGUGGAGCAGCAAGAGAAGUUAGAGCCCAGUGAUGAGCACCCAUUUCCUAGUCUUUGGUCUUGGACGAACUAGGAUUUUGUUGCAUCUAAAUCCAGGUUGCUAUGAAUGUAAGAAAAAAUUGCUUGUGCAUGUUUAGGUAUAGGGAAGGAUGUCUCGUUGCCUUUCUGUUACUGUAGUCAUUAUUGCUAUGUUAGAAAUAAAUACGAUUGUUCAGUACUUGUUUAUCCUCUAUCUUGGUUCCCUCAUUUACUACGUACGUUGUACUUCUUUCUUGGUGCUAAAAAUUGUAGCCAUACCGAUUAACUACCCUUCAUACAUGCUAAAAUACAUUGAUGCUACUAUUUUGGUAAAAAUGGGGAAUAUCCUUUGUAGCCAAGUUAGGAUAUCAACAGAAACUAAAUACACAUUUGUUCAAACAAGAAUCAACAUCUAUUCAUUUUUUUUAUUUGAUAUUUGUUGUGAAACCUGCAACAAUAAUGAUGGAUAUUAUACAAGAAAGAAAACAAGAAAUUAAAAUACACAAAUUCAAUGUUGUUCAGCAAUAUUAUUUCUAUUGAUAUUCACAAGAAUCAUGAAUUUUAUUUCAUUAUAUGUCAAAUUAGAGUUAAAUAAUGUGUAUUUAUAGUAAAUCCCAGUCACUCUAGGGAUAUCAAUAAUUUUUAAUAAUAUCUAUUUAUCAUACCACGGGGGUGUUGGAUCCACACCCUCAACCUAUCAAUCAUUUCGCUGCCCUUGUUUUAAUGCAACAUUGUUUAUAAGCUAUAAACUGCAACGACAUUUAUAGAUAUUCUUGGAUCUACAUCAACUGAAAUUAAGUUCUCUAAUCAAACAACCUUAAAGAGAAACAUGUGAUCUAGCGUAAUAUAUUUUAAGGAUAAUGAAAAAAUAAUGUAAUUUUCUUAAAAGUUAUUGACAUACAAAUUUUUUUUGUAUAGUGAAGUAUAGGUCACACUGUACUUAGCUAGGUUGUAUGUUUGUAAUACUUGUAAACAAACAUCAAUCAAUCGGCUACAUAGACCUAAUUGCAUUAGUUCCAACCCUUUUUAUUUUUACAAAAAGAAAUAUACUUUUCUUUUAAGUUUUUGACGUACAGUACAUUCGUAUUGUGAAUUAUCAUACUAUCGGUUAUAAAGUUCGUAAUACUCUUACAUCAAGACUUUAAGUAUGAAUAUGUACGGAUAGAUCAAUUGAAUCCAUUGAGUGAAGGAGGAUUUUAAUGUUCAUAUUAACAAAUUUAAAUAUCGUAAUUCUUAUUCUCUUUAAGAAGUAACAUUUAGAUUCCGCUCUAAUUCGCAUUGUUGAAUUUUGCAGGGUCAAAAUUCACGCAAAUGAGUAAUAUUCCUACACAUAACUAUCAAUCUAACAUCGUCCACUUACUUGCUGCUAGCUACAUGUGGAAUGAAUGCCAAUGAGUGUUGUAUAUAUGUACAGUGAAAAAUGUGAAUGCAUCCUUCCGUUCAUACUAAUUUAGCUCUAGGAGUCAAAAGGUACGUGGAUUUUUGUUAGAUUUCAAUGAGUGAAAAGGAAACAAGAGCAAGUACCCAUGCAUGUACAUUCAUUGAUGAUGAUGGUCAAUAAAUACCUUAAGCCGACAGUAGAAGGUGCAUGGAAUAUGGAAAUGAAUGUGAGUGAUAUAAUCCACAAAUCAUCUGUAAAAGUGUACUGGCUAGUAUUGUCAAAUACUAGCAAUAUUAGCAAAUAAUUCGUGUUCCUAUAUAUCCAACUGGUAGCCAACAAGCAACCUUUACACUAACCCGAAAGACAAUAUUUGAUGAGUGGUUAGAGGGUACAAUGAAAAGGAGAGAGACCUAAGGGGAAUGUCCUCUUACACGCGCUAAUUAAGGUAUGAAACAUCCUUAAUCGGGUUUUACUUUUCCUGAGUUCAAGAUGAUUGAAAAGACCCCAAUGUUGAUUGGAACAAGGAAUAGGAACAGUCGGUCAUCAUGGAAUAAGAACAGUGCUGGUGUAGAAAAUAAUAUUAAUUAUAUUUUGAAAUAUUUAAUAAUUUAAAUUAUUGAAUUGAAAUGAUUUUUUAAUAUAAUAUAAAGUCUUGAUAUUAAAUAGUCAUAAGUUUGAAUUCUUAUUUAUUUGAUAAAAAUUAAACACAAGAUAGUGUGAAUAUAUAUAAAUUUCAAGUUUAAAAACUUUCACUUAAAGAGGUAUGUUUGAGAAUAAUAUAAAUUAAUUAAAAUUUUAUUUAAUAUCUUUAAUUAUUGAGUUGAGAUGAUUCUUCUAUGUAGAGUUUGAUGCAAAGCUUGAAGGUUUCUUUAUAGCAAAUGUAACAGGGCUGGUGCAAGUAAAACCAACCCUCAAUGCUCCUCCAUUCACCCAGGUGGCUUCAGAUAAAAGCCAUUGUGGUGCUUUAAAUGGCCUCGUGAGUAGAGGUCAUGUCGAGUUUUGAUAGCAUUAGCUUCUCGUGGAGGAGAACUAUUUUUGGGAUUCGUUUAAUUGCCAAUAUUCUUCUAUCUUUCAGUACAGUAUACAGAAUUUUAUUAGUUCAAGGAAAGACACCAUAGAUUCACAUGGAUUUCAACAACUGUUUAGAGCAACAAACAAAAUACACAGAGGGACUGCACAAACAGCGUAGCAGUACUGUGGCCUAAAUGAAUCAAGAGGUGCGGAGGGAACCACAGUUCAUAGGAAAACAAAAUCAUGAAAUGGCAACAACAAAGUUUUUUAUUCAGCAGCAUGCCAAGAUUGAUACAGUCAAUGCAAUACCAAAAGGGGGCAUCCUUCAUGAAAAACAAAACCAUGCCAUCCAACAGGCACGUGUAGGGCCAACCGCUCAUGCAAAUGCAUAUACAUUUCCCAUGCAUCUGCUACAUCCAUGGCUAUUAAUGAAGUCAUUGAAGAACCACUUGCCUUAAAGUCCUUUGUAUCUACUGGGGCCAAGAAAACGACGUAACAAAAAAUUCAGACUCAAAACAAGUAACAAGCUGGAAAAGGCCCACAUGACAUGAGAAUUGAGAUAGAAACUACGAAGCUAUGCCAGCAUCAACACCUUCUUAGUCAUUCAUGUCAUAAAGAUAUUAAAUAGAAUCAACUUCAUAACAUCAUAGUAUCAAUUCCUUGAUUGCCUAUAUAGCACUAAAAUCCUACCUCCUUUUAAAGACAGACAAAACCAUGAACCUUAAUUCCAUUCCCCUUGAAAGAAAUACCAAAUAAAAACAUAACAAGAACUCAGAUUUUCACUUAUAUGGCACAAAUACAACGGUUGAACUUUAUCAUGUUCCUUUUCUUUUCCUGUUCUUCUUUCUAAGGAACAAAUACAUAAUCAAACAUGCAAUACAUUCACAUACUGCAUUAAUUAGAAGAUCACGUACAAACACAUAAAAGUAAUAACACUACAACAUUAUCCAGUUUUACCGACGGAUUAAUUCCGUCGGUGAUAGCAAUGAAAUCCGUCGGUGAAACCAAUACCGACGGAUUCACCGACGGAAGUGUUCCAUCGGUAAACCAGUCGUCGGUAAAUCCCAUUUCCGUCGCUAAUUCUGUCGCAAAUAAAAAAAACCAUCCACCGACGGAAACACCGACGGUAAUAUAGACGGAUACGCGCGCCAAAAAAAAUUCAUCGCGGGAACAUUACCGACGGCCAAUCCGUCGGUAAUUUUAAGGGUAAUUACCGACGGCAUCACCGACGGGUUUUCCGUCGGUAUUUAUGGCAUGGCUUGUAAUUUUGUUGCAACUCUCUGUGUAAUACCGACGGAUAUUAUCCGUCGGUCGGACGUUAAUCACCGACGAAUAUUAUCCGUCGGUGAUGCCAUCGGUAAAUAUGGCAUGGAUGGUAAUUGUUCGGCAACUCUCUGUUAAAUACCGACGGAUAUUAUCCGUCGGUAGGUAUUUGAAAUAUAUAUAAAAAAUAAUUUAUUAAUUGUAAAAAACAUUAAUAAACAAAUAAAAAUGCAUUAAACAUUAAAAAUGUAAAAGUAAUAAUAUUCAUUACAAAUUUAAUGUGUUUAAAAAACAAAAUUAAACUAGAAUAACGGCGGAGCUGGAGGAGGAGGCGGAGGAGGAGGAGGCUGGUUGUUCCCGGGACCAAACGGCCAAAAAGAAGCUGCACAAGUAUCGUCACCCAUCUUUGAUCUCAUCUCCAUGACUAUUUGACGGAGCUCAUCAUAAUUCGUCGAGAGUUGUUGAUAUUGUUGUUUCAACGCAAUGAACUCCUCAGACUGGGUGUUCGAUACUGAUGGAGAGCUUCCAACAGUUGAGACACUACGAGUCGAACGCAAGUUGUCAGCCGUAGUGUUGGAGAGCCCGUAGACCCUGUUUUUAUCGGGUCCACCAGACGAUCCCGCCUCCAUCCACAAAUCUGGAUCAAAAUCUGGAUGGGUCGACGGAUUGUCCCCAUAUCUCUCCCUCAACCGGCUAUUAUAGGUCUCCUGAAAAUUCCAUCGGUAAAAAAAUCAUCAAAUGCAAUUCAAGAUGCAAUUCAAGAAAAUAAUAACUUACAAAAUAAAAUGAAUGAACGAACAUACCACGAAGUGCUGAGCACGGUUGUCCACGAACUGCUGCACCCCUUUUUGGCGGUCUUGACUCCGCACAUGCGUCUCUAGAAACAGCUCCAUUGGACUCGGUUCACGUCCAAGAGACGCAGCCUGUAAUGCAAAAAUAGGUUGAAAGUUAAAUAUAUUAUAAGGAACGACAAAUUAAUUAUCGAUAUAUUUCAAUAAAAUUAAUCUUACCAUCCGCUUUGCAUGUGCGCUGAAUGGGACGGAUCCGCCAGUGUGCGUGGUCACCGAACCAUAAAUUUGCCGGUUCCGGUUGUCGGCGCCAGACUGUGAGCGCCGUGAGAACCGCUCUGAGGUCACGUGCUCAAUAUAUGCCGUCCAUAUUUCCCCCGAGAUGAAUGGCGGUUUGAAUUCCUGCCAAACCGCCACCUCAUUCCAUCCUUCAAGACCGUUAUCCCUCGCAUGUUUUUUUGAUUUUUUUUGGGUGUCAUACCAAAAAUCACGCAACCUACUUCCAUAGUAACAAAUUAGAAUUUAAAACAUUAAAUUAUAAAACAAAAAUAAAUAUUAUUUUUGAUGUUACCUAGUUGCCGCGUGAUUCUCCCAUACUCUCCUCACAACAUUGUUGUCCGCCCUAUCCCACUCAAAUUUGUUCUGUGUAUAUAAAUAAUUCAUAUAAAAUAAAAAUAGUACAAGAUAUAAAAUUAUAAAAAUCAUUUAUUAAAAAUAAGCUGGAAAUUAAAAAUUAACACCGACCUGAAAUCGCUUAAACCAUGCAUCGAUAUUAAGUUUCCACUCAGGAUGUUUGGAAACCUGGCUCCAUUGAAACAAUGGAAUCUCCAUCGACGAUUUAAACGCCAAUGUUAUAGUCCUUGCAGUCUCAAUGUUUGUAAACCUGAAAUUAAAUAAAAGUAGUAAUUAAUAUUAAUUAGUUGUUCAUAAAUUAUGUUAUAAGUAUAUAUAAAAAAAUCUAAAACCUAAACGAACUUACAUUGAGAGGUCAUCCUUCCAUUGUGCCUGGUACUUGCGGGUGAAUUGACCCCGCUGUGAAGGCACACCGCUUCUGCGCUGUGAAACCGCGCUAGAAGAGGCAGCAUCACAAGUUGGCGUAGAUUCCUCGCCGUGAUCAACACCUAAGGAUACGUCCUCCUCGCUGCUAGAAGAACUAGCUGCAACCGUCUUCUGACGACGUGCUGUAGAUUUCAUUCUACGCAUCUACACACAUGUAUACGAAUAAUUAACUUCGAUUAUUUAAAAAAAAAAUUCGACAGAGUCUCCCCUGUACUGGGGGGUCCCAAGUUGUCGACAAAAUCAUAUUACACUUCCAAUUUUAUUUCACAUCCCGAUCCAAUCAUCCUGGAUCUCAACCCAACUCAUCAUCAUCAACACAACAUUUUAUUCAAUAACAUCAUAUAGAAUUACAACUAUGAACAUUCAUUUAAUUAUUUUAUCCUAAAUUAAGAUAAACUAAUAAUUAAAUGCAAUUCUAUAUAUAUAAAUUAACAUUUUUAAAAUAAAUCAACAAUAACAAUUAUAUUUAUAAACUAACAUUUUUAAAAUAAAUCAAAAAUAACAAUUAUAUUUAUAAACUAACAUUUUUAACAUAAAUUCAACAAUAACAAUUAUAGCAAUACAAACAAUAAUAUCCUAAAUUAAGAUAAACUAAUAAUUAAAUGCAAUUCUAUAUAUAUAAAUUAACAUUUUUAAAAUAAAUCAACAAUAACAAUUAUAUUUAUAAACUAACAUUUUUAAAAUAAAUCAACAAUAACAAUUAUAUUUAUAAACUAACAUUUUUAACAUAAAUUCAACAAUAACAAUUAUAGCAAUACAAACAAUAAUAUCCUAAAUUAAGAUAAACUAAUAAUUAAAUGCAAUUCUAUAUAUAUAAAUUAACAUUUUUAAAAUAAAUCAACAAUAACAAUUAUAUUUAUAAACUAACAUUUUUAAAAUAAAUCAACAAUAACAAUUAUAUUUAUAAACUAACAUUUUUAACAUAAAUUCAACAAUAACAAUUAUAACAAUACAAACUAUAAUAUCAAAACUAAAAAACUAAAAUUAAUAAAUAAAAUUAAAAAACUAAAAAACACUACACAACACACAAAAUUAAAAAACAUUAUAUCAAUUCAAAAUAAAUUUGGGAAUAAAAAAUGCUUACCUUAAUAAUGUGUUGAAUUUAAGAUUUUAUCUACAAACAAUAUACAAAACAAAGAACACCAAAAAAAAUAAUCAUAAUUAAAAUAAAAAAAAUACAAAGAUAAAGAAAAAAAAAUACAUACCUUUUGAAACUAAACUUGAGAAGAAGAUCACACUUGAGAAGAGGAGAAGAGAAAGGGAGAAGAGGAAAGGAGAAGAGGAGAAGAGAAGUGAAAGGAGAAGAGGGGGAGAAGAGGAGAAGAGAAAGGGAGAAGAGGAAGGGAGAAGAGGAGAAGAGGGAGGAGAAGAGGGGGAGACGACGGGGGAGAAGAGGGAGGAGAAGAGGGGGAGACGACGGGGGAGAAGAGGGAGGAGAGGGAGGGGGAGACGACGGGGGGAGAGGAGGGGAGGGAGGAGACGGUGCGGGGGGGGGGGGGGGUGGGGGGCCAGUAUAUAUAGUGAAAUUCCGACGGAAUUACCGACGGCCCUUAAUUGCUGUCGGUGCGAUUAAUUUCCGUCGGUAAUUCCGUUGGAAAUUAAUUGAAAUGCGCACCAAAAAAGUUCGAAAAUCCCGCCAAACUUUUCGAUCCGUCGGUAAUCAGUCGGAAAUGCCGUCGGUGAUGUGCAGACGGGACACGUGUCAGACAUGCGUGCGGACAAUUCCGUCGGUGAUGCCGUCGGAAAGCCGUCGGUGAAUGUGGCAAAAUCCCGUAAUUUUUUUGCAACUCUCUGUGAAAUACCGACGGGUUAUAUUUCGUCGUUAUAGCCGUCGGUGAAUGUGGCAAAAUCCCGUAAUUUUUUUGCAACUCUCUGUGAAAUACCGACGGGUUAUAUUCCGUCGGUAUAUCCGUCGGUGAAUGUGGCAAAAUCCCGUAAUUGUUUUGCAACUCUCUGUGAAAUACCGACGGGUUAUAUUCCAUCGUUAUAUACGUCGGGAAACCCGUAAUUUUUCUUAAUUUUUAUAUGUAACCCUCUCAAAAAAUCUUGAAUUGCUAACUAAAAAACACACACAACACAAUAACAACGGCUGACCCUUAAAGAAGAAUAAAUAUUUCAUGUUUCAAAUUAUUACAUUAUAAAAAUAAGGCUUUAUAACAUGUUUAGUUAGUCGGAAUUUUCAUCUUCGUCCUCCAUUGAAUUGUUAUCAUCAGCUUCAUCGCACUCUUCAAUUUCGUUAUCAUCUUCUUCAACAACAUUCUUUUUUCCACUAGUGGAGCUCAGAACAACAUUCAACUCCUCUGCGUCAACAUCAACAAGACUAUCGUUGAAAACACGAAAAUUCGAAUUUUCUUCUAAGUCAAUCGACGGAGCAACUCGGUAUGGUUCAACCAACUCACUAGCUUGAAAGACUUCAUCUAUCACACUUGUGUCUUCGUUCUCAUCCUGAACAACCUCGACACGACCCUUGGGUUUUGUUUUUAAAACGGAUAACCAAUCAACUCUUGAUCGGUCCUUUCUAAAGGAAGGGGUGUAUGUGUAAUAAACUUGUUGGCAUUGCUUUGCGAAAACAAAGACGUCGUUUACGUUGCGGUGUCUAGCUUUUGAAUUGAUUUCAACGAGACCAUAGUGAGGAUCUACUCUGAUUCCUCUGUCAGUUGUGUCAUACCAAUAACAUUUGAAUAAAAACACUCUAUUUUGCUCGCUAUGAUAUUGCAGUUCGAUGACCUCUUCCAAUCUACCGUAGUAGUCAACUUCAAACUCACUAGAAGUCGAUCCCUUAAUACAAACACCGCUGUUGUAUGUCUUUCUUCCAUGCCCGUAUUCUUCAGUAUGAAAGACAUAUCCAUUGACAAAAUAUCCAUUAUAGCAUUUGACUUUUCUUUCAGGGCCCAGACAUAGUAAAGACAGUGAAAUAGCAGCACUACCUCCCAUUUGAUAAACCUAGCUUGUAAAUUAAAUACAACAAUAAUCAAUAAACGAAUAUUAUGUAACAUUGACUACAAUUAAUUACAUUGCAAGAGAUAAUGAGUUUGUGCUAGGACUUACAUGUGUUCUAAACCAUGUGGCAAAUUGUUCAUCUUGUAAUUGAAAGAUCUGGGAUUCGGUCAGCUGUGAGUUAUUGGACAGUAAGUAUCGUCGAUGUUGCCUGCAAGGUUGUUCCAAAGUAUAUGAGUGUAUGGUAUCACAAAACAUAAAUAGUACACUCUUGACAAAGUUUAAGUCGAACAUCUACUUACUUAAUAAAAGGUCUCAGCUCAUCACAGUUAAAUAGGACAUAAUUGUGUGCUUGUCUGAACUCUAUUUCAGACAAAUAUCUUCCCCUCACGGCAUUUUUAGGUGUGGGUCGUCCAGGAUUGGAGAAUAUUGACAAGUUCCCACUUGAAUGCACUUCACCACCAUCAUCAUGCCGUGGAACACGGUUUAUCCUCGUUCUCAAAUGAGGUUCGAAAUAGUAUGAGAUAAAUGUUGAGAUCUCCUCAACAAUAUACGCCUCACAUAUUGACGCCUCAACAUGCGCCUUGUUCUUAACCUUUUUUUUAAGAUUGAACAAGUACCUGCAUAUAUAUAUAUAUAUAAAAUUAUCAAUUAAAAACAUUAAAAUAAAAACAUUUAAUUAUAAAUGUCAUAGCAACUGUAAUAUCUAACCUCUCGAAUGGAUACAUCCAUCUGUACUGGACCGGUCCUCCAACUUUUACCUCAAACGGUAAAUGUACGGGUAGAUGCUCCAUUGAGUCAAAAAAUGAUGGAGGGAAUAUCAUCUCAAGUUUGCAUAUUGUCUCGACGAUAUUCUUUUCAAGCCUCUCAAUGUGAUCAACAUUCAACUUGCUGGAGCAUAUAUCUCUGAAGAAAUGACUAAUCUCCGUUAGUGCAUCCCAUAUCCCCUUUGGCAACAAAUCACAAAAAGCUAAUGGGAUGAGUGUUUGCAUAAACACAUGGCAGUCAUGACUCUUCAUUCCAUAUAAUCUGCAUUCCUCCGUAUUAACCAGCCUUGAUAUGUUCGAGGCAUGUCCAUCGGGGAAACGCAGACUCUUAAGCCAUUUGUAGACUAGUAGUUGUGCGUUUUUCUCUAGCACGAAGCUUGCUCUUGGUUUUGCGACCCGUGACCCAUCCCAAACCAACUCCAUAUUUUUACGGUUACAGAACAGCGCUACAUCCAAUCUAGCCUUGAUGUUGUCCUUUGUCUUCCCCUUCACAUCCAUGACGGUGUUGAAAAUGUUCUCAAACACGUUCUUUUCAAUGUGCAUGACGUCAAGGUUAUGGCGGAGAAGAUUGGUCUUCCAAUAAGGAAGCUCCCAAAAUAUACUUCGUUUCACCCAAUUAUGGGUCAAACCAAAACCAGGAAACUUCUGCUUACCUGAUUGGAGACCAAACACAAUUUCACCGUACUCUGACACAACAUCAAACAAUUCUUCACCGGAAAGACGCGGGGGUGCAACAUCAUUUUCAACCCUGCCAACAAAGAAAUCCUUUCUGUUCUUUCUGUACCUGUGGUUAUGUGGCAAGAAACGACGGUGACAGUCAAAAAAAGAAGCUUUACCCCCGUUUGUUAGCGUGAAUGCCUUGUUGUUCUCCAUACAAUAUGGACAUGCUAGCUUUCCAUGCGUGCUCCAACCAGAAACCAUUCCAUAAGCUGGGAAAUCAUUGAUAAUCCACAUCAAAGCCGCUCUCAUAAUAAAAUUUUGUUUCCUCGAGAUGUCAUAAGUCAAAGCUCCAGAGGACCACAACUGCGUCAACUCAUCAAUCAACGGACGAAGACAAACAUCUAUAUUCCGCCCCGGACUGCUCAGACCUGGUAUGACCAUAGAUAAAAACAUGAACUCCGGCCUCAUACACAUCCCCGGUGGCAAGUUAUAAACCGUCAGUAUGACCGACCAACAAGAAUAAGGAGCAGCAAAUGACCCGAAUGGAUUGAAUCCGUCUGUACAUAACCCAAGACGCACGUUUCUUGAUUCAGCUGAAAAGGGAGGAUGCAUACUGUUAAAGUGUUUCCAGGCUUCACCGUCAGAAGGAUGAACCAUCACUCCAUCAACCGCAUGGUGUGAUUGGUGCCAUGUCAUGUGCUCAGCAGUCCUUGGUGACAUGAAUAACCUCUGCAGUCUAGGUGUGAUUGGGAAGUAUCUAAGUUUUUUAUAUGCCACGAGAGUCUUCCCUCUACCAGUUCUGGGUUUGUAAUGGGAAUGCCCGCACGUCAUGCACUCGGUCAUCUCGGUAUUUUCAAGGUAGUAUAACAUGUAGAAGUUAGGGCAUAUAUCAAUUUUCUGGUAUCCUAAACCGAGGGGUUUCAUCAUGGACUUGGCAGCAUAGAAGUUCUCUUUCAGCCUGUUCCCUUCAGGUAAAAUGCUUCUCGCCCAUUCAAUAAUCUUGUCAUAACCGGCCUCACUCAACCCGUGAUCUGACUUGAUGGUGAACACCUGUGCUACGGCUGAUAAUUUACUGUGGUUCGUGCAGCCAUCCCAUAAUGGUUCGUCAGAAUCUCUCAACAGAUCAAAAAACCUUGCUGCAUCUGCAUUAGGUUCUUCUUCUACGAUUGGACAUCCCCUGACAUUAUCUUUGUCGCACGGUGCGCGACGUCGCGGCGAAUAUUCCACUUUAAAUCUAGGAAGUGUGUAUGGUAUCUAUCUGGCAAAUAUGGGGAGACAAGAAAAUAUUGUCUUUUGUUGGUAGAAAAUGGAAUGGGAGUCGCCACCUAGUAUUUUGGUCACUAGGAACCCUAACUGGUCUCAGAGAUUGGGUACGGGGACUGGUUGCGUAAAGGGAAGGUAUUAGCACCCCAAAUACGCCAUACCUAAGGUAAGCUGCAUUGUUCAUUUGUCUGAUAAAAUUCAAGGUCUCGUUGUGUUUCCUAGUUGUUGGUCCGUCUAUGGUUCAAGAAAAGUCCUCCUCAAUAAGGAGGUCCUUAUCUUAUCGGGUAAAACCUAACCGUUCUAACAUCUAUAUAAAAACUAUAUUUUUAACAUCAGGAAUAUGUUUUACGUAUAAAUUCAUAAUCCCAGAUACUAAAAGAAGACAAAAAGAUUUUUUUAGAAUUUUUGAAAUAUUGGCCUAGUUCUCAUGGCUUUAAUAAACUGGUUAUUAAAGCCGAAAUGCAUGUUAAUACAUAUAUUGUUUUUGAAAUUUCCUUUGUUGUGUGAAAAUAUGAUGUUAUAAUAUUUAUAUAUAUAUAUUGGAGAGACUAGGCCGUAUGCAUGAAAACAAAACAUUUUUUCUAAAAACUUGACAAAAACCAGGUAUUUUAAUACCGGAUUUGUAUCUUUACAGUAUAAAAAUACAAACCGAUAUUGAUCAGAAUACAGUAAUAAAAUUACAGAAAAUCACAUAUUUUUUGGAAUAAUUUUUGAAGAAUUUUUGUUCGAACGGGCCAGACCCGGCCCAAAAGGAAACUGGGCCGAAAUCAGCCCAAAAUGAAUUCUACAGGGCUGGACUCAGCCCAGCCCAAAACCAACAUGGCUGGUACUGUUCACGGUACAGUAAUCGGGUUACUGUGCAGGUGAACAGUACCUGUUAAUUAAUUAGCCGGUUACUGUGCACACAGUAACCGGGUAAUUAUUUUCUGGCUUGCAGAACGUGCACAGUGCACGUUCUGCAUGCAAGACGAUGAACAGUAAACAGAGAUAAGGGUCAGAGGGCUGACCUGUGGUGGCUCUGAAGGCGGUGCUGCUGGUGGUUGCUGACCGGAGGAUGGCCGGGAGGGUGGUCGGUGGCUGGGGAGCCCGAUGACAGCAGCUGUUCUUUCUUCUUCUUCCCUGUGCAGAGGUGCCCACCUCUGGUUUUUUUUCCUUUUCACGUCUGCUUUUAUUCUACUCUCUGUCACUGUCUUUGUUUCAUCUCCCUUGUCCCAAAGUCUUCUCUCCUUCUGGUCCGUUUUACUCCAGUUUCUCUCCUCUCUUUCUCCUCUGUUCGCCCCUGUUUUGUCUUCUCCUUCUGUUGCUGAUGGUGUUUUCUGCUGUCAACAAUGUUCUUCCUUCUCUGCAACGUCUUCGUGGAGGUGCUGGUGGCAGGGCAUGACUGCGGCUGCUCCUCCUCCUGGUGUUGUUUCUGCUGCUGGGAUGGAGGAGAAAAUGAGGUCGGUCUGGGGCUCCGUUGACAGAGAAGGCUGUUUCGGGUGCAGGGAAGAAAUGGUCGAGAGAGGGGAAUGGCCAGGAGGGGGACUGUUUUUGGGUGCUCUCUCUCUUUCUCGUUCCAAAAACACGCCUCCCCUUUUAGUUUUCCAGCCCCCUCCCGUUCAACAAAACUCUCCUCGUUUUAAACUUCUUCCUCUCUCCGUUUCAAAAAGUUUUUCCCCCCUCUCUCUCUGCUGUGUUGGGUGCUAUUUAUAGAGCAAGUGGGUGUGGCUUUUGCUGUUGCGCAUGGGAGCGGGUCUCGCGGCGGCUGGUCGGCCAUUGGGUGCUACUGUCGAGGUUCGGCUCCAACGGCAUGGAGCGCGGCGGGUAGAGGAACAGUGUCAAAACGACACUGUUCAAAUUCUUUUUUUUUUUUAUUAUUAUUAUUAUUAUUAUAUAUUUUUUUAUUUGUGGGGACCCAAAAAUGGGUUACAACAAUCUUCACUCAUUCUCAUUGCAUCCAUAACCAUAUUCCUGUAAGGAUUACUGUUCUCAUUUCCAACUUCAUGCAUGUUACUAGCACUAGAAGUUGACCCAACCACCUGUUCUUCCAUGCUCUCAUCAGGAACAAAUAGUUCUCCGUGAGCAUACCAACACAGGUAAUCUUCCAUGAACUCUUUGGUUAGAAGAUGCAUCGUUACAACAUCUUGAUGCAGAAACUUUAAAUUUUUACACUUCCUGCAUGAACACCUAAUACCGCCAUCAGUAAAAUUCCUCGGAAUAGAUGUUGCGAAAUUAAUAAAACCCUGGACACCGUUACAAUAAUCCAUCCUCCGCAAUCCUUGGGGUGAGUUCCGAUACAUCCAUGAACGAUCAUCCAUGACUUCUAUUGAACCUCUAUAAAACAUAACAAAAAUAUUGGUUUUCCCCGACAUUAUCCAACAAGCUAAAACAACACUUAUGUUAAAUAUUCAUUAUCAAUUAUCAACUAUCAACGUUCAUACAUACAAAUUUAUACAUAUAUAAAUUUACAGAAUUACUCACAACUUCGAAAUAUAAUUGAUAACAAUUAAACAAGACACUUAAAUAAGCUAUUAAUUAUUUAUUUCAUCACAACGACACAUUUAAUUCGGUGUAAUUCAAACAAAAUUUCAACAAUUUACAAACAAAUAUAAUUUGACAAAAUCUAAAACAACCUAUAACAACUACAAAAUUAUACAUUCAUACUACAAGUUUCUUUGACAAAUAACAAUUAAACAAGUACAAACGUUAACAAAAUACAUAUACUAAAACAAUAAAAUUCACAAUUAAAUAUUAAAACUAAUUAAAAAGGAUAGAUUUACUUACAAAAAAAUGAUAAAAUCUACAAGAAACGGAUAUUGUGACCACGUACAAGAUAUAAGAAACUUGAGUGCUCGUGUUGAGAAUAGUGGAGAGUUUGGGAUGGGUGUUUGGCUGCAGUUUGGGAGGAGUUUGGGAGGGGAGAGGUGGGAUGGGAAAGAAGAAGAAGGAGAAAUAGAGGAUGAGAGUGUCGGCACAUGGGUGCAUAUAAUGGUUUUUUCCGACGGUAUCACCGACGGAAGGAAUCCGUCGGUGAUGCUGUCGGUGACAUCGCCACGUCACUGUACGGCUAUCACAGUUUGAAUCCCUCGGUACUUUCCGUCGGUAAAAUCCCCUGACGUCACCAUGCCGUUGCGUAUUUCCAGACGAAAUGUAUAUUCCGUCGGUGAAGUCGACGGUAUAUACCGACGGAAUAUUUCCGUCGGUAUAUACCGACCGAUUUUGAGACGGAAUUAUGUCCGUCGGUAAUUAAUACCGACGGAAUAUUUCCGUCGGUAAUUCCGUUGCUUUUUUCCGGUUUUCUGGUAGUGUAAAAUCAGAUACCAAGAUGCAAUUUCUAUUGUUUUUCUAAAUCUCAACAACCUCUGCCAUAAAAGCAAGCAACUUGCAUUACAGAAAUUCACAAAGAUCAAAACCUUAUCAUUAUAUACCAUAAAAAAUGCACCAACAAAAUACAAAAACUAAAAAAAACCCUAAAAUUUAAACACAGUAAAAUAACAUUCUCUUGCAUUGGCACAUCAACUUGUUGCAUGCUGAAUUGAAGUGGUUCCUACGUACUGGGACUUCUUUCGAGUAUUUGGGUGAACUUUGGGAGCUCACUGUCAAGGCUAGCCAUGGCUGGUAGGGUUUAGAAUCCAUAGAAGAAGAAGAAGAGAAGGGAGAGAGAGAGAUUCUCAGAAUUCAUCAUUCAUUCAUUCAUCAUAAUUUGUUGGCUAACCAUCCAAAGUCUGUUACAACCACAUAAGACUAUAUAAUUUUAACCCGGAUUAAUUUACAAUAAUCAUCAUCAUCAAAACUUUCAUCAUCAUCAAAACUUUCUCUUACCUGACCAUACAAAUUCAUACAAUUACAACCCUUAAAUAAAACAUGUAACAUACCAUAGAUAGAGAAGCAGAAAACUUUGAAAAAGAAAAAUUGGGUUUUGUUUUGUGAGUUAAAACAAAAGGCAAUUAAUGACUAAGAAAUUAGUGAUGAAUUAUUACACAAAAUUCUCAAAGAGACCAAUUUUUCAUUCAUACAAUUAAAUUACUUUUUAAACCUUCAUAAUUUAAAUCUUAUAACUUGCUUUAAAGAGUAAUAUAAUUUUUUCAUCGAGACAUUUUUACUAUUACAAGAUUGGAUAUGAAUGGAGAAGUCUUUUAACCUUUUAUUUGCUUAGUGUAAUGUUUAAAAUACCUUUUGCUUUUUUUUUUUUGGCAUAGUGUAAUUAUUAAAAUAUCUUUUGAAUAAAAUUUUUUAUAGCAAUGAUUGAAGGGCUUUUUGAUCCUUUUCUUAUGUUUUUUUGUUAAUAUUGUGUGGAGUCAGGGUAUUUAUAUAUUUAUAUAAAUUAGAUUAAUUAAAAAAAAAAAUUGUUGGUGUAUGUAAUCCAUACUAGUAUGUGAAGCGGCUACAUCUUUUCAACGGUAAGUACGACUUUUCCUAGCUGUCAAAAUAGGCUGACUGUUGUCUCUUUGAAAGGUUUGGUGGUCGUUGAAUUGGCCGACUGUUGUCUCUUUCACAGGUUUGGUGGUGGUUGAAUUCUCCCUCUCUUUCUCUCUUUCUUCCCCUUGCAACGCACGCUAGUAUAGCCAAAAUUAAGAGAAGUCCUGGUUUCAUGAAAUUGAUGGUGCAUCCUUGGUAUUUCCCCAUCGUUCAGCGUACGUUUUAUUUUUGAAAGCAACUGUCUGUUGCAAUCCCUGUACUGCUGCUUAUAAUCAUUAUGAUAUAAUUUUUCUAGCUCGUAAUAUUACUCUUAAAUUUAAAUUCUUUACUUUAAACAUCAUUUUAAUAUCAUACUUUAUACAUCCAUUCUUGUUUUUCCAAAGUAAGAUUAUGUUACAUAUUUGCCCAAACAGAAAGGACUAUCUAACCUUAUUAUGCUUAUAUUAAGACUUCUUGGAAUCAUUGUAAUCCACCAUAGCUGAUAGGAAGGCAAUCUUUAGGCAUCAAAAGGCUUUCAACGCAAGCUUGUAUAAUACCCUUUAGUUUUUUUCUCUUGCUUUUAAAUGGAUGCAUGGCAUUCAUUUGGUGCCUGCAAAGACCCUGUUUUCUAGUGAGCCAUUUUUACAUAAUCAUGAUGACAAAUAAUUUCCUUGUUAAAACCAGUAUUUUGUUUAUAUAUUAAGUUUCUGUUGUCAGCUAUCAAGUGGGGAAACCAUCAACUGAAAACAGAUCUUUGUUCUUUGACCGUUUAAUUGAGGCUGCCUUAUCAGUUGUGGUGGAGGACGUGACCAAGAAAUCACAAGGAUCUGCACCCUUUCUUGAACUUCGCAAGGCACAAAAAGUGGCGAGUGGCCCAAAGGCCUCAGAGUUAAAAGCCAAGAUAGAAGCUGAGCAGCAUGCUCUACGCCGAAUGCGCAUGUGCCUCUUCAUGCAACAAGAAAUUUGCUUCUUCAUGCAACAACAAAUUUUAAAUUUUUGAUUGUUGUUUCACUUUGUAGCAUUAUUGAAAUGGUCUCAAUUUAGUCCAGCAAGUGGGUUCUAAUAAAAUGCAGUCGUCAUGGAGCAUAUUUCAAUUCGUCUAGUUAAUUAAAGCCAAAUGCAGAUUGUUAAAAAAGUUGGUGAACUUGGAAUUGGUUCUCCUAUGCCUUUCCCGUAGGCAAUACCCAUGACACUCUUGAAUCUUUACUGAAUAGAAUCAAAUUUCAAAAUAAAUGAAGAGGAUGGGAGAGUCAAGUAUGUGGUUACAAACCAAAUUAAGAGAGAUGAGAGGAGCUAGAUGAGAGAUAUAGUGAACGUUUAAGAUCCAGAAGAGAAUGAAAUCAAUGAAAAGUGAUCUGGGUGAGGGAUAAGGUCAAGAAAGCGCGAGUAGACUGUAUGUCUCUGUGCACUCGCUCGUGAGAGAGAGGAGUGGGGGGGGGUUUCCUAGCAAGGUCUGCUAUGUUGUCUGCAUUUGAAAUUACAUCAACCUAUGAUCAUCCCACUCCAUUGGUUGUUACAGCACAUGUUUCUUGUUACAUACAAGCUGGUUGUCUCUGUACAGUAUUUCUGCUUCCUUUCACUGUUUACACUUAACAUUCUAACUUCUUUGCUGCAGGAUGUUGUAUGACAAACGAUUUAGUGCCUUGCAUUAUCCUGUCACUGACGAGGAUGCUCCAACCUCGCUCUAUAAUCCAGAACCCUAUGGACAUGGCUACCAUGCUGCAGCGUGUUGACUCUGGUCAAUAUUUCACAUGCUCAGGAUUCCUGCAAGACAUUGAUCUCAUUGUGACCAAUGCAAAGGUGUGUUUUGUUCCUAGCUUCAUUUAAUUCUAUUUCUAGGUUCUCCUUCCAUUGAAUAAUUUAACACCACUAUAACUCUGGUCAGUGCAUCUAUUUCAUGCUUAAAUUUGGCGUGCAUGUCUCUAAUAUAGGUGUACAAUGGAGAUGAUUACAAUGGAGCUAGGAUUGUCAGUAGAGGUUAUGAGCUUCGGGAUGCGGUAAGUUUCCAUGCCUUUUGGUUUUCUAUGAUUUUUCCUCUCAUUUUGUCCUAUCACCUAAAGCAUCAUUUGAUGAAUCCCUUUUCAUAAUAUUUUACAGGUGCAUGGAAUGUUGUCACAGAUGGACCCUGCGCUUGUCACAUACUGUGACAAGAUUGCUGCUCAAGGGGGUCCUGUACAAAUACCAGAUGAUUUAGGGGGAUCUAUUUUCCCUUCAACCCCAGUUGUGCAGCUUGGAACUGUUACUAGAACAAGUGCCAGGCUACGCAACGUCCAGCCUGAUGUUAAUCUGGAUCAAAGCUACGAGGCCUUGAAAAGGCAGAAGAAAAAUGCUGAUGCUACUUGUGCUGGUAUGUUCAUUGGUAAUGCUAUAUACUUUGUCCUUAUGAUAUUGCUGUUCGUUUUUCCCACCUAUCUGAAUGAUGUCUUGAAACAUGUCAAGUUGCAAGACACAUUUUACAUGCUGAAUUUUGGUGCGGAUACUGAUGUAAUAGAUCAGUAGCAAGUAAAACUAAUCUCAGCUACCGACUUCUUGUAUAAUAGACUUGACCUGUUUGUAGUUCAUGUUUUCAAAUUUCCUUUCCUAGUUAGAAAAACCUCUCGUAAAUAUUGACAAUUAAAUCCUGAAGCCAGAAAUCUGAAUUUUUCUAUUCAAUAUAUGAAUUUUAUCUCACAGCCCAUAUUCCAAACUAGCAUUCUCUUCAGCUGGUGUCCUUUAUCUGAAGUUUUUAACUCCUAAUUUUCCUAGAUUUGUUAUAUUUAUUGUUAUUCUUUGACUGAACUCUUUAAUUUUCCAUGAUUGCUCUUCGGACGCAACUCUCUGAUCAUUUUAUACUUUUCAUGAAAAACAGCUUCAACAGCAGAAGAUAAAUCACGGCAUCAGGAUUCAGUACAGGCAAAGCCGCCAGAGGAAGCCAGGGCAGAUGAUAUGAAUCCAGACAGACCCGAGUCCUCUUCAGCCGAUGACAGUCGACAUGAAACUUCAGGAGGAGAAGCUUCUGGUCAUGCCGAAGCGAGUGGAUCCCAAGAUGUUACAAUGUCAGAAGCCGAAGUAUCAAGCCACGUGGAUUACAUCAAGCGGCUUUUCGUGGGGCGCACUGAAAAUUAUGGCAUUCCACUGCUUGAAAGGCUCUACACUCGUAUAAUGAAGGGAAUCUUCGAAACCAAGGACAAAGGAGUUGAAGAUGGCCCCAGAUACUCAAUUUUGAGGUUUUUGGUAAAAUUUGCAGAGAACACUGCAAACUUCUGAACUCAAUACCUUUUCCCCUUAAACCAGAGGAUAAAAGAAAAACGAAAAACGAACCCAAAAAAAAGAAGAAAUCUUGCAGGUAGCUGAUGUAAAGUCGGGAUUUUCUUUUCAAUGCAAAAAAAUUAGAGUGAAAGCAGUCUCUCUGUCUCUCUCUUCCUCUCUCUCUCUCUCUCUCCCAGAGUACAGUUUCAUAAACUUAUUUGACCUCACAAGCUGUCAAGCUCCAUGGUAUUGUUAUGGCUGGUGGCAAAUCCAAUGUGGCAUUCUUUUACAGGGAGGACUAAGUGGGAUCUGUUAGCUAUUUGGAGACAAGCAAUGUCCCACCUCCACUAUGUGCUUAGUGGGAAUACCUAAUCUCCACUUAGCACAAGUGGAGGCAAACGGUGGGCAUAAAUCAUGGCAUGAUUCAUGCCCUUCACUCCUAGCUUAAUAUAUAUGUAUGCUCAGUGAAGAGCUGGAGUGUUGUUGAGUGAAGAACGCAGAGAAGAGUGAAAACACAGAGAGAAAAACAUGAGAGAGAGAGCUUGAGUUGAGUAGAGAAGAUUUUCUCCUCCUCCUUGUUUUGUUGUUUGUAUUGUUUCUAAGCUUGAUUAAUACAAACCAGUAGCUCCGUGGAGUAGGCAAGUUGCCGAACCACGUAAAUUUGUGUGUGUUUGAGUUCUGGAAUUACCCAACAGGAUCUUUUCUGAAGCAGACACAUCAAGAAUUGGGUUUGAAUUUCAGCAAAAGCAUCGCUGGUAUAAAUUAGUCUCUUUCUGAAUGAAUAUUUUUUCAUAGUUUCCAAGAUGUUUGUUUAAUAUCUUCAACUUCAAACUACUGAGAGAGAGAGACAGGAGACGAAAGGGUAUUCAAGCUAUUAUUUUAUUUAAUUUAAAACCAAGUAUUUUUUCGGAGAAUCAAAAUUAUGAUAUUAAGUCUGAAAACUAUUAUUUUAUUUUCAACAUUUAAAACUAAAUCUAUAUAUAAAAAAAUAAAAAUAAACAUGCUGAUAAAAUAGGAGACAGGUUAAAAAAUAGAAAAUGAAACAAGAAGAAAAACAGAUGGGAAGGCGCCAAGCCCUCAAUAGAUACUUAUGUGGGCCGUUCUAAAACAGAAGCCCUGAUUGGAUCAUUUCUUGUCGUAUUUCCCUACAAGUCUUCUAACUCCUCAAGGUGUUGUCUCAAUUCAUUACUAGGUUUAACAUCCGGGGCCGGGCAAGCCUCGUUGUUAAUUAAUUAUAAACUGAAUAUAUAUAUAUAUAUAUAUAUAUAUAUAUAUAUAUAUAUAUAUAUAUAUUAUAGCAUACUUUUUUAAACUUUGAUAGUCUUCCUGUAGCAUCUAGUGGUCUCGGCAUCUCCGAUGAAUUAGUGUUAUUGAAUUAGUGUUAUUGGUCUCACGAUUGUUUUUUAAAAUGAAUUUUAUUUGAAAAUAUAUUAAAAUAAUAUAUUUUUAUUUUUUAAAAUUAAUUUUGAUACUAACACGUAAAAAUGAUUCAAAAACAUAAAAAAAUUAUUUUUAAAAAAAAAUUAAAAAACUUUCCGCUCCCAUUUAAAAUAUAAUGCCAAACAGGGUUGUAGUUGCCUCACCAUUCAAAUUUGGUAUAACAUCUCAGGCUGAAGUUGUGCUAGGGCCUGCCAAAGAACUUCUAAUAUCGGCUUGCUCCUUUGCUUCUUUUACUAAAGCUAAUAAUUCCUCUCGAUCUUGGCCCACAUUGUUGCCUUUAGGCCCCUCCGGCCUUUUCGUUUGGGCCUGUGGUCUAGCUUCGGUAUUCUUUGGUUUGAUACUCUGACCCUUCUUAGGGCUUCAAAGUCAAUUCCUUUAUUUUAGCUGUCCAUCCUCGUAAUCAUUUAUGGUUCCAAGAUUCUCGGCACAAACAAUCUCUGCGCCAUUUGUUUCUUUAGUUUAGGGGUGUUCAAAAAAACCGAAUAACCGAAAAAACCGAGAAAACGGAUGGAAAAUUAACCGAGAAAACCGAACCGAGAUGAAAAACCGAUUAAACCGAUUACUAAAACCAAAAAAUCUUUCCGGUUCGGUUCGGUUCCCGGUUUCACCACCAAAACCGGUGAACCGAACCGGCUACCCAUACAAAAUUAAAAAUAAAAGCUGAAAGGCAGCAAAGCGACCUAGUAUAAAUACUAAAUGUUACAGUAAAGUGUAAAGUGUAAACCUAAACCUAAAAACAUUGCAAUUUACUUCUGCAGCCGCCGCCCACACCAGACCAUCCUUCUUCGAUUCUUCCUUUCCCCUUCAAUUUUCAUCUUCUCUGCCUCUUGCCCCCUGCAUCUAUCUCUUGACUCUCUUCUCUAGCUGAUCAAUAGUAAACAACCCAUAUCUCCGCAUCCAUCUAGUAGACUUGCGGUGGAAAAAAAACCCGAACAAAACCCCUUGGCGUCUCUCUUCACCUGCAGCAGAAAGAGUCAAAGAGGUAAAGUUUACUGUUUAUCCAUGUGUUCAUUCUCGUGUGCUUGUAAGUUUUACUUGUAAGUUGUAACAUUUUUUCCAUUAGAGAUUUCUGACCUCUGCUUCUUUUUCUAUCCUCUUGCAGCUAGGGUUUUUACAUUUUUCUGUUGAUUUGUGUUCAUUCAGGUUCGCCCCCCUUUCUCCGGCUCUCUCUCUAAUAUUUUUGUUGAUUUGUGUUGAUAUCGAGUUAUUGAUUGCUUUGUUUAGCAUUGUUAACUUUCUUUCCUUCAUUUUUAGAAUAGAAAUUGGUCCAUUACAGACUUUUUGCAAUUGAAAUUGGUCCAUUACAGACUUUCAGGUCCAUUGCAUGUGUAAUUUACAGUAUGUAGGUUUUUUAGAAUAAAGAGGUGAUAGAUGCCUUUUUGCAAUUAUAUGAACCUAACAUGAUGCUCAUUGCUCAACUUCUGCUUGAUUCUCAAUUGUAGUCAGAUGUUGAUUCAUGUUGUUGUUUUCUUAAUUUCAGAUGGAUAGUGGGGAAAAUCCUAGAUCGAAUGAGUCAAAUCCUUCAAGUUCAGAACCAAAUUCUUUGCCUAUUCCAGUUCCAGUUACUACCUCCAGCACAAACAGCAACACUGAAGAAGGUAAUCCAGCUUCUAGAUGUAAUAAAAGAAAAACAUCCCAAAUUUGGGAUCACUUUAAAAAACUAGAUGGUAAUGCUAAAACUCCUAGGGCUGCAUGUAAGUAUUGUGGAAAAGACUAUGUAUGUCAUACUAUACUUAAUGGGACUAGUAACAUGUGGAGUCAUCUAGGUGUAUGCAAAAAAUUUCCUUUUGUCAUUGAUCGAAAACAAAAAACUCUAGUUUUAGAACCUAAGCCUAAAAUAGAGGGGGGUGAUAAUGGAGAGGAAAAUUUGGUGACUGUUAAGGCAGUAGGUUAUAAUUAUGAAGAGUGUAGGAAAGCCCUUGGAAAAAUGGUUAUACUUGAUGAGCUACCUUUUAACUUUAUAGAAAACCAAGGAUUUAAAUCAUUUUGUAAAGUAAUGCAGCCUAGAUUUGAUGUUCCUUCUCGUUUGACGAUUUGGAGAGAUUGUUUGAAAAUUUAUUUAGUUGAGAAGGAGAAAUUAAAGAAAGCUCUUAAGGAUCAAUGUUUAUGUUUAACAACUGAUACUUGGACAUCAAUCCAAAAUAUUAAUUAUAUGUGUUGGACUGCUCAUUGGAUUGAUGAAGGUUGGAACUUGAAUAAAAGAAUUCUAAACUUUUGUCAAGUUUCUAAUCAUAAAGGUGAAACCAUUGGCCAAGCGAUUGAGAGUUGUUUAUUGGAAUGGGGAAUUGAUAAGAUUUUAACAGUUACUGUAGACAAUGCAAGUUUAAAUAAUUUGACAAUAAAAUAUCUGAAAAGAGUAACAAUUGGGUGGGCAACUAAUAUAUUGUCAAAUGACUUCAUGCAUGCUAGAUGUUGUGCACAUAUUGUUAAUCUUAUUGUAUGUGUGGGGUUGAAAGAUAUUGAUGAUUCAGUGGUUAAAAUUAGAAAUGGAGUAAGGUUUGUUAGAUCUUCUCCUUCUAGACAACUUGUUUUUAAUCAAUGUGCGGAAAGGUUGAAAAUUGGGAGUAAAAAAUCUGUUUGCUUGGAUGUUGCAACUAGAUGGAACUCUACAUAUAUGAUGCUAGAUGCGGCUGUUAAAUUUGAUGUGGUUUUUAUGAAGUUAGAAGAAACCGAUCUUAGGUAUUUGAGUUACUUUGAGGUUGAUUCACAAGGGAAACAAAAAAACUUAGGUCUUCCUGCAUUAGAAGAUUGGGAAAAGGCUAGAUCUUUUGUCAAGUUCUUGAAAUUAUUUUACACGGUUACAUUGAAAUUUUCUGGCUCGUUGUAUGUGACAUCUAAUUCUUUCUUCCAUGAAUUGAUUUCCAUGCACACAAGCAUAUCUCAACUUUGUAGAAGUGAAGAUGUUUAUGUAAGUAACAUGGCCAAGAAUAUGAUGGCAAAGUAUAAAAAAUAUUGGGGGGAUCAAGAUACACAAAACUUUUUGUUGUAUGUGGCUGUUGUGUUAGAUCCACGUUUCAAAUUGAAGUAUGUGAGAUUUUGUUUUGGAAGAUUGUAUGAUGUUGAAGAGGCUGGAAAUUUUACAACUAAGGUUAAAAAUACUUUGUUGAGGUUGUUUGAGCAUUAUAUGAAUGUUGAUGAGAAUGUUGAUGUUGUUCCUAGUGUUGGAACUAGUAUAAAUGAAAAUGUUAAUGUUGAUUUAACGGUGGUAAAUGAUGAUAUGGUGGAUGACUUAGCUUCUGAAUUCAAAAAACAUUUAGAGGAAGAAGGUUGUGUCAAAAAAAAAAAUGAGGUUGAGAGGUAUUUGGGUGAUGAUUGUGAGGAUCCUAAUGAUUUUAAAUUAGAUAUUUUGGGUUGGUGGAGGUGUAAUGCUACAAAAUACAAGAUUCUUUCUAAGGUGGCACAACAUGUGUUAGCUAUCCCGGUAUCUACAGUUGUUUCCGAAGCAGCAUUCAGUACUGGCGGUCGUAUAUUAGAUCCAUUUCGAAGCUCUUUAUCUCCAUCGACAGUGCAAGCACUUGUUUGUUGUCAGAAUUGGUUGAGUUUAGCACCAAUUCCAAUCAACAUUAGAACCUUCAUGGAUUAUAUUGAAAAUUCUGAGAUGAUUGAGUCAGGUAAUUUCUCUUACAAAUUUAAAUAUAGUUAUUUUAUAAUAUUGUUUAUUGACAUAUGUUUAAUAUAACAUUUUAAUUUAUGUUUUUGUAGAAUUUGGUGAAAGUUUAAAAAUCUCAACUGAUUGUUUGUAAGUAGUAUUGGUGGCUUGGUGCAAUCUUGGAAUAUAAUUGUUUUGGGUAAUUAAUUUACUUUACCUUGUUAAUUAUCCUUAACAUUUUGCAUACUUAAUUAUGUCAAUAGUUGAACUCUAAUAUGUUGCUAAUUUUCUAUUGUUUUUUUAUAGCAUUAUCGUUGCUGGAAUUUUUGGAUACUGCCAUUGCUGGAAUUUUUGGAUGCUGGUGACUGGUGUUGCUGGGUUUUUUUCUUCAAACUAUGCCGGAUGUUUAUGAUAAUUUAUUGCUGGUUGCUAAUGUAUUCGCUUGUUAAUGUUAACUUUUCUAGUGCGAACAAACUUUUAAUUUGAGAUGUUCAAAUUUGAUCAUGCAUCUUGCAUUGAUUUAUCACUCUGAGAAGCAUAUUAAAAGUCAGCUAAUUUGCAUUUGAUUUAAUUCAGGUUGCUAUAAAUUUUAAUGUAAGGCUAAGCCAAUUUAAAAAAAAACAAAAAAAAAACCCAUAUAUGAUAGGAUUAGGUUUCCCGGUUUUUUCCAAAAAAACCGGUUCAAACCAAACCGGAAAAAACAAAAAAAAACCCUAUAUAUUAAGGGAUUAGGUUUCCCGGUUUUUUUCCAAAAAAAACCGGAUCAAACCGAACCGGACCGGUUCGGUUUGAACCGGUUCCCGGUCCGGUUCGGUUGAUAUUUACCAAAAAUACUAAAAUUCGGUUCGGUUGGUUUUUUGCGUCUAAACCGAACCGAACCGAACCGUGAACACCCCUACCUUAGUUGAAUCCUGUAAACCGUGAAACGAGAUUCCAUUGCCGGACUGUUUCCUCCGGUCCUCUCCUGAAUAUUUAUCUCGUUACCAUUAAUUUUUAAUCUUUGAAUACCAACUAUAUCACCUUUAAGGAGAGUGUCUAAAAACCUCCACCGAAAAUUUAUAGUUAAAAAAUAUAUGUGAGAAAUAUAUUAUUUUUAUUUUAAAAAAUAAACCUAUAUUUUUAUUGAUGGUACGCUCCUUGAGGUGAUUCAAGUGAUAAUUAUAGAGGGAGUUUUUAGAAGAAACAUGUUUAGGAAGUGAUAUUAAAAUGUUUGCUUUGAUCACUUGAUAACUUUGAGUGGAUAAUUCUAUUUUAAUUUAAAGGAGUUAUAAAUUCUUAAAACACACAAAAUGAAAGUGGAUUGAUCCCUUAUAGGAAAAUAAUUUUACUUGAAAGGUCUUUCAUGCUGGUUGUUUUUGUAAAAAUAAAAAGGCCAAUGUUGUAGCAAAUUGAUAUUUUUUACCUAUAUGUGAUUUUUCAUAACUUAUUUAAAUUUGAGCAAGUGUUUGUCAGAUAAAGCAUAAAGUUUUCUUUAGAGAGCAUGUUCUUCUACUCCUCUUAUCAAGGCCUCUAAGGCUACAAGCUAAGGUUACAAGUUCAAGCAUUUCUUCCCCUUUAAACAUCUUUUCAUUAAACCUCUUCAAAUAUAUUUAUGUAAACUAACUCUCUUGUUGAAUAACAUCGAAUAGUUUUGUGAAGCUUUUUUUAAUAGGUAUGUUGGUGCUAAAGUGUGUCACUAGCUUAGUAUAGAGGUCAUUCAACCCUUCAUAUAUAGUUUGAGUGCAAAUUAUAAUACAAUGCACGUGUAUACCUCUAUAAAGUUGUGGGGGAGGAUUUUAUAUAUUGAAUCAUUAUUUUAGAUAAUCAAUUCUAAAUUAACGUGCAUAUUUUGCAUAUGCUGAUUAGCCAGGCCAUCAUAAAUUUCUGGAAGAUACUGAUCUUGUCACAAAAUAAUGCUAGCUACUAAGAAGAUACUGAUCUUGGCACAAAAUAAUACUAGCAACUAAGAAGUUUCCUAGCUGAUUAUACGAUACAACUUUGGGCCCAAGAAUAUAUAUCUAGUGGAGAUCAUUUCAUGAGCUCAAUCAAGCCAAUCAAGCCCUUCACUUUCCAGCAAAUGAAUCUUUAGACCUUUAAGUGACAACUAGGAAUAGGAAAAUGAAAGACCAGGUUGAUAAUUAGGGAAAUUCUAACCCUUUUACACGGCGUAAGCUAUAGCAAAACAGCAUCCUGUUCACCUUCUCAAAACCCCCCCCGGUUUCUUUCCUUGAGAAACAGUUUAUCACUCCUGUGGCGUAUGGGAUGAUGUCAAUAAGAAGGCACUUGUGUUCAAUUGGACCGAAUUUAAAUUUUUUAUAGGAGCUUAUUUUGCGGAAUCAGAUUAUGACGUUUUUUUUGUUUGACCUACCAGUCUAAUCUUGGUUUAAUGACGCUGCUUCAUAUACUUUUCUUAGGCUAAAUUUUCAGUCCAUUAUUAAAGUUUUCUCAAGUCAUUGCCAAUGAAAACAUUUUUCUCCUUCUGGACUGUGCAUAACUUCUAGCAGGAAAUAGAGAAUCUCUCGUUGCGAUUUCUGUCAUUGUCAAUUGUGCUUGCCUUUCUUCUUUGAGUAUUUUGCUAUAUCUACCUUUUAGUCCCUUUGCUCUAUUUAAGGAAGCAGCAUUGGAGGCCAUUUUUCAGAGAAUUAGCUCUCUAAAACGAAAGGGAAACUACUUCGUUAUAUACUUCGAAGAUGGUGCCGCAUGGGUUCAGGUUCAAUCCCACUGAUGAAGAGCUCAUCCAAGUCCUAGACAGAAAAGCUUCUGGCCAAGAAAUGCCACUUCAUUUCAUUCUCGAAAGAAAUGUUUACGAGCGUGAACCACAGGAUCUUGAAUGUGCGUAAUAUGCACUAUGUAUUUCUUUGUUCUACUGCAUAUAGGGCUCGUGAUUUUUCUUCCCUUUUCUUUGCAAUAAUGGUAUAGUGGAAAUGAUUUUUUCAAGCUUUUUUGCAUUUAUACUAUAUGGUACAAAUUUCAGGCUACCUAUAUAUUUUCUAGGGUUCAAGUUUAGAGGGAUAAUAUCAUAUUCCAUGAUCUUGUCCAUCCAUUGAAAUUUACAGUAUCAAUGUUGAGUUUAUGUUAGUUUCUAUAUACCUUACUAUGAUAACUGACUGCUUAAGUCAGAUCUCUUUAACAAUAUUGUUACAUGCAGGGAAUCAAACCGCUCCUUUAAGCAAUGGUGAGAGAUACUACUAUUGUACGAGGGAGACAAACUAUUCGAGGGAAGUACUCGGUCGAGGAUGGUGGAAAGCUACGAGCCAUGUCAAGAAAAUACAUGCUAAUAAUGAUGAUCAACUUCUUGUGGGGAACAAGAGGCCUUUAAAAUUCCAUAGGUUCAAGGACAAUGAAAGAAAUCGCAAUAAUGCCGUCAAGACUAAUUGGAUCAUGUAUGAAUACAGCCUUGAAUCAAGAACCACGGUACUAGUUUUAAUAUUUUUGCGUGCACAGUUCUAAGUUAGUUAGUCUUAAUUAAUUAUAUGCAUCUUCUUCUGUUUGUUUCAUUUGUCCUACUUUCAUUUUGUUAGGAUUGGAGGCUUUGCAAGAUUAAGCAUAAGGGGAAACCAAGCGUGCAAGAAGAGAUGGAGAGUAUGAGGGAACAAUAUUCAUCGAGGAAUGAUUUCGAAGCCGGUAGUUCGACCAAUUUUGUUGGUGGGCAACAGCAACAGGAACAAACCUCACUGCCUACAAAUUAUGAAGGAUACGAUCAUCAUCAAUCCUAUUAUCAAUGGAACAAUAUGCAGCAGUCACCACCAUCCCCAUAUGAUCCUUAUCUACCGGCACCACCGAGUACAAGUAGUGGUCACUAUUAUGUGGAGCAGCAAGAGAAGUUAGAGCCCAGUGAUGAGCACCCAUUUCCUAGUCUUUGGUCUUGGACGAACUAGGAUUUUGUUGCAUCUAAAUCCAGGUUGCUAUGAAUGUAAGAAAAAAUUGCUUGUGCAUGUUUAGGUAUAGGGAAGGAUGUCUCGUUGCCUUUUUGUUACUGUAGUCAUUAUUGCUAUGUUAGAAAUAAAUACGAUUGUUCAGUACUUGUUUAUCCUCUAUCUUGGUUCCCUCAUUUACUACGUACGUUGUACUUCUUUCUUGGUGCUAAAAAUUGUAGCCAUACCGAUUAACUACCCUUCAUACAUGCUAAAAUACAUUGAUGCUACUAUUUUGGUAAAAAUGGGGAAUAUCCUUUGUAGCCAAGUUAGGAUAUCAACAGAAACUAAAUACACAUUUGUUCAAACAAGAAUCAACAUCUAUUCAUUUUUUUUAUUUGAUAUUUGUUGUGAAACCUGCAACAAUAAUGAUGGAUAUUAUACAAGAAAGAAAACAAGAAAUUAAAAUACACAAAUUCAAUGUUGUUCAGCAAUAUUAUUUCUAUUGAUAUUCACAAGAAUCAUGAAUUUUAUUUCAUUAUAUGUCAAAUUAGAGUUAAAUAAUGUGUAUUUAUAGUAAAUCCCAGUCACUCUAGGGAUAUCAAUAAUUUUUAAUAAUAUCUAUUUAUCAUACCACGGGGGUGUUGGAUCCACACCCUCAACCUAUCAAUCAUUUCGCUGCCCUUGUUUUAAUGCAACAUUGUUUAUAAGCUACAAACUACAACGACAUUUAUAGAUAUUCUUGGAUCUACAUCAACUGAAAUUAAGUUCUCUAAUCAAACAACCUUAAAGAGAAACAUGUGAUCUAGCGUAAUAUAUUUUAAGGAUAAUGAAAAAAUAAUGUAAUUUUCUUAAAAGUUAUUGACAUACAAAAUUUUUUUUAUAGUGAAGUAUAGGUCACACUGUACUUAGCUAGGUUGUAUGUUUGUAAUACUUGUAAACAAACAUCAAUCAAUCGGCUACAUAGAUCUAAUUACAUUAGUUCCAACCCUUUUUAUUUUUACAAAAAGAAAUAUACUUUUCUUUUAAGUUUUUGACGUACAGUACAUUCGUAUUGUGAAUUAUCGGUUAUAAAGUUCGUAAUACUCUUACAUCAAGACUUUAAGUAUGAAUAUGUACAGAUAGAUCAAUUGAAUCCAUUGAGUGAAGGAGGAUUUUAAUAUUCAUAUUAACAGAUUUAAAUAUCAUAAUUCUCAUUCUCUUUAAGAAGUAACUUUUAGAUUCAGCUCUAAUUCGCAUUGUUGAAUUUUGCAGGGUCAAAAUUCACGCAAAUGAGUAAUAUUCCUACAUAUAACUAUCAAUCUAACAUCCUUCCAAUGAGUGUUGUAUAUAUGUACAGUGAAAAAUUUGAAUGCAUCCUUCCGUUCAUUCUAAUUUAGCUCUAGGAGUCAAAAGGUACGUGGAUUUUUGUUAGAUUUCAAUGAGUGAAAAGGAAACAAGAGCAAGCACCCAUGCAUGUACAAUCAUUGAUGAUGAUGGUCAAAAAAUACCUUAAGGCGACUGUAGAAGGUGCAUGGAAUAUGGAAAUGAAUGUGAGUGAUCCAAUCAUAACACAAGUGACUGUAUCCACAAAUCAUCUGUAAAAGUGUACUGGCUAGUAUUGUCAAAUACUAGCAAUAUUAGCAAAUAAUUCGUGUUCCUAGCUAUCCAACUGGUAGCCAACACGCAACCUUUACACUAACCCGAAAGACAAUAUUUGAUGAGUGGUUAGAGGGUAUAAUGAAAAGGAGAGAGACCUAAUGAUAGCAUCCUUAAUCGGGGAAUGUCCUCUUACACGCGCUAAUUAAGGUAUGAAACAUCCCAACACGUGAGGGAAAGGAGGGUGGUUUUAUUUUUCCUGAGUUCAAGAUGAUUGAAAAGACCCCAAUGUUGAUUGGAACAAGGAAUAGGAACAGUCGGUCGUCAUGGAAUAAGAACAGUGCUGGUGUAGAAAAUAAUAUUAAUUAAUUAUAUUUUGAGAUAUUUUUAAUAAUUUAAAUUAUUAGGUUGAAACGGUUUUUUUAACAUAAUAUUAGAAUUUUGAUAUUAAAUGGUUACAAGUUUGAAUUUCACCAUCUCUAUUUACUUGAUAAAAAUUAAACAUAAGAUAAUAUAAAUUUAUAUAAAUUUUAAGUUCAAAAUUUUUUCAUAAAAUAUAUUUAAGAAUAAUAUAAAUUAUAUUUUAAAAUUUUACUUAACAAUUUUAAUUAUUGCGACAAAUAAAAAUUCCAAUUGAUCUAUAGCUUGAUGCAAAGCUUGAAGGUUUCUUUAUAGCAGAUGUAGAGUGUGUUUGGUAUUGCGGUAGCUUUUGUGGUUGUGGUUUGAAAAAAGUUGUUUUAUAAAAAGUACUUUUAGUUGAGGUUGGUUUGAAAAAAUAGGUGUUUGGUUAAAACUGUAGUUGAAAUUGAGGUUGAAGAAAAAGUAGUUUAAUGUGUUUGGUUAAAAAAAUGCUUUUCAAAUUGAGGUUAUAAAAUAAUUAAAAUAUAUAUAUUAAAAUUGAUGAUUUUUAAUUUAAAUAUUGUAGAUUUAACUAUUACUAUUACUUCAUGAAAUAAAUAAUACUUUAUAUAAAAUAUUUUUUAUUAUGCCAUUAAACCAUCUACAAUUCCAUUACGUACAAAAUUCAUUCCACAAGAACUACAGUUUCUAUAAUUUUUUGAGCGUGCAAUAAAAUUAGAUAAAAUAUUAUCAGGAAUAAAAUUAAUUUGAUAUUACAGUGCGAGUGAAUUUAAUUCACUCUAUAUUAGUUUUUCAGGAAAAAAAAUAUUGUUUACAUGACAAUGUAAAACUAGUUUUUUUUAAAAAAAAUAUAUACAAAAACUAUACACACUAAAAAAAAAAAAUCACCCGAACAGUGCAAGUGAAUUGCACUGUUCACGGGAACAGUGCAAUUUACUUGCACUGUUCGAGUGAACAGUGCAAUUCACUUGCAUUGUUUGUGACAGUGCAAGUGAAUUUGCAGUGUUUGCGUGCACAGUGCAAGUGAAUUGCACUGUGCACGCGAAUACAAAAUUUAAAAAAGCAGCCUGGAGCUGCUUCGCCAAUGUCGCGUUCAAAACGUGAAUUGGCAUGGAUCCCACCGGUUAUUUUUAGCGUUUUUGAUAUUACCAAACGCUUGACUCUUGUGUUUUGAUUGAAACACAAUCUCUACCGCGUAAACAAACAGACUCGUAACAGGGUUGGUGUAAGUAAAACCAACCCUCAAUGCUCCUCCAUUCACCCUGGUGGCUUCAGAUAAAAGCCAUUGUGGUGCUUUAAAUGGCCUGGUACGAGUAGAUGUCAUGCCUAGUUUUGAUAACAUUAGCUUCUCGUGGAGGAGAACUAUUUUUGGGAUUCGUUUAAUUGCCAAUAUUCUUCUGUUUUUCAGCACAGUAUACAGAAUUUUAUUAGUUCAAGGAAGGACACUAUAGAUUCACAUGGAUUUCAACCACUGUUUAGAGCAACAAAUAAAAUACACAGAGGGACUGCACAAACAGCGUAGCAGUACUGUGGCCUAAAUGAAUCAAGAGGUGCGGAGGGAACCACAGUUCAUAGGAAAACAAAAUCAUGAAAUGGCAACAACUAAGUUUUUUAUUCAGCAGCAUGCCAAGAUUGAUACAGUCAAUGCAAUACCAAAAGGGGGCAUCCUUCAUGAAAAACAAAACCAUGCCAUCCAACAGGCACGUGUAGGGCCAACCGCUCAUGCAAAUGCAUAUACAUUUCCCAUGCAUCUGCUACAUCCAUGGCUAUUAAUGAAGUCAUUGAAGAACCACUUGCCUUAAAGUCCUUUGUAUCUACUGGGGCCAAGAAAACGACGUAACAAAAAAUUCAGACUCAAAACAAGUAACAAGCUGGAAAAGGCCCACAUGACAUGAGAAUUGAGAUAGAAACUACGAAGCUAUGCCAGCAUCAACACCUUCUUAGUCAUUCAUGUCAUAAAGAUAUUAAAUAGAAUCAACUUCAUAACAUCAUAGUAUCAAUUCCUUGAUUGCCUAUAUAGCACUAAAAUCCUAUCUCCUUUUAUAUGGCACAAAUACAACGAUUGAAUUUUAUCAUGUUCCUUUUCUUUUCCUGUUCUUCUUUCUAAGGAACAAAUACAUAAUCAAACAUGCAAUACAUUCACAUACUGCAUUAAUUAGAAGAUCACGUACUAACACAUAAAAGUAAUAAAAUCAGAUACCAAGAUGCGAUUUCUAGUGUUUUUCUAAAUCUCAACAACCUCUGCCUUAAAAGCAAGCAACUUGCAUUACAGAAAUUAAACAAAGAUCAAAACCUUAUCAUUAUAUACCAUAAAAAAUGCACCAACAAAAUACAAAAACUAAAAAAAACCCUAAAAUUUAAACACAGUAAAAUAACAUUCUCUUGCAUUGGCACAUCAACUUGUUGCAUAAUACAAAAACUAAAAAAAAACCCUAAACUUUAAACACAGUAAAAUAACAUUCUCUUGCAUUGGCACAUCAACUUGUUGCAUGCUGAAUUGAAAUGGUUCCUACGUACUGGGACUUCUUUCGAGUAUUUGGGCGAACUUUGGGAGCUCACUGUCAAGNNNNNNNNNNNNNNNNNNNNNNNNNNNNNNNNNNNNNNNNNNNNNNNNNNNNNNNNNNNNNNNNNNNNNNNNNNNNNNNNNNNNNNNNNNNNNNNNNNNNNNNNNNNNNNNNNNNNNNNNNNNNNNNNNNNNNNNNNNNNNNNNNNNNNNNNNNNNNNNNNNNNNNNNNNNNNNNNNNNNNNNNNNNNNNNNNNNNNNNNNNNNNNNNNNNNNNNNNNNNNNNNNNNNNNNNNNNNNNNNNNNNNNNNNNNNNNNNNNNNNNNNNNNNNNNNNNNNNNNNNNNNNNNNNNNNNNNNNNNNNNNNNNNNNNNNNNNNNNNNNNNNNNNNNNNNNNNNNNNNNNNNNNNNNNNNNNNNNNNNNNNNNNNNNNNNNNNNNNNNNNNNNNNNNNNNNNNNNNNNNNNNNNNNNNNNNNNNNNNNNNNNNNNNNNNNNNNNNNNNNNNNNNNNNNNNNNNNNNNNNNNNNNNNNNNNNNNNNNNNNNNNNNNNNNNNNNNNNNNNNNNNNNNNNNNNNNNNNNNNNNNNNNNNNNNNNNNNCUUUUUUUUGGCAUAGUGUAAUUACUAAAAUAUCCUUUGAAUAAAAAAAUCUAUAGCAAUGAUUGAAGGGCUUUGUAAUCUUUUUGUUAUGUUUUUUUUGGUUAAUAUUGUGUGGGAUCAUUAGAUUAAUUUUAACCAAAAAAAUUAUUGGUGCAUAUAAUCCAUUCUAGUAUGUGAAGCGGCUACAUCUUUUCAACGGUAAGUACGACUUUUCCUAGCUGUCAAAAUAGGCUGACUGUUGUCUCUUUCAAAGGUUUGGUGGUCGUUGAAUUGGCCGACUGUUGUCUCUUUCACAGGUGUGGUGGUGGUUGAAUUCUCCCUCUCUUUCUCUCUUUCUUCCCCUUGCAACGCACGCUAGUAUAGCCAAAAUUAAGAGAAGUCCUGGUUUCAUGAAAUUGAUGGUGCAUCCUUGGUGGUAUUUCCCCAUCGUUCAGCGUACGUUUUAUUUUUGAAAGCAACUGUCUGUUGCAAUCCCUGUACUGCUGCUUAUAAUCAUUAUGAUAUAAUUUUUCUAGCUCGUAAUAUUGCUCUUAAAUUUAAAUUCUUUACUUUAAACAUCAUUUUAAUAUCAUACUUUAUACAUCCAUUCUUGUUUUUCCAAAGUAAGAUUAUGUUACAUAUUUGCCCAAACAGAAAGGACUAUCUAACCUUAUUAUGCUUAUAUUAAGACUUCUUGGAAUCAUUGUAAUCCACCAUAGCUGAUAGGAAGGCAAUCUUUAGGCAUCAAAAGGCUUUCAACGCAAGCUUGUAUAAUACCCUUUAGUUUUUUUCUCUUGCUUUUAAAUGGAUGCAUGGCAUUCAUUUGGUGCCUGCAAAGACCCUGUUUUCUAGUGAGCCAUUUUUACAUAAUCAUGAUGACAAAUAAUUUCCUUGUUAAAACCAGUAUUUUGUUUAUAUAUUAAGUUUCUGUUGUCAGCUAUCAAGUGGGGAAACCAUCAACUGAAAACAGAUCUUUGUUCUUUGACCGUUUAAUUGAGGCUGCCUUAUCAGUUGUGGUGGAGGACGUGACCAAGAAAUCACAAGGAUCUGCACCCUUUCUUGAACUUCACAAGGCACAAAAAGUGGCGAGUGGCCCAAAGGCCUCAGAGUUAAAAGCCAAGAUAGAAGCUGAGCAGCAUGCUCUACGCCGAAUGCGCAUGUGCCUCUUCAUGCAACAAGAAAUUUUAAAUUUUUGAUUGUUGUUUCACUUUGUAGCAUUAUUUAAAUGGUCUCAAUUUAGUCCAGCAAGUGGGUUCUAAUAAAAUGCAGUCGUCAAAAUGAUGUGAUUUUACUGCCUUAAUGCAACAAGAAAUUUUUAUAUUAAUACUGUAGUUGUAGUUUAAAUCACAUUGAAAUGGUCUAAACAAAACACAGAUAUGGUAGAGCUUGGUACUUCAAAGCAAUGCAAUAAGGAAUUUGCUUCUUCAUGCAACAAGAAAUUUUAAAUUUGGAUUGUUGUUUCACUUUGUAUCAUUAUUGAAAUGGUCUCAAUUUAGUCCAGCAUGUGGGUUCUAAUAAAAUGCAGUCAUCAUGGAGCAUAUUUCAAUUCUUCUAGUUAAUUAAAGCCAAAUGCAGAUUGUUAAAAAAGUUGGUGAGCUUGGAAUUGGUUCUCCUAUGCCUUUCCCGUAGGCAAUACCCAUGACACUCUUGAAUCUCUUAUCUUUUGAACAACAAUCUGCAUUUGAAAGGGCGAGUAGACUGUAUGUCUCUGUUCACUCGCACGUGAGAGAGAGGAGGGGGGUUUCCUAGCAAGAUCGUCUGGUAUGUUGGUUGCAUUUGAAAUUACAUCACCCUAUGAUCAUCCCACUCAAUUGGUUGUUACAGCACAUGUUUCUUGUUACAUACAAGCUGGUUGUCUCUGUCCAGUAUUUGUGCUUCCUUUCACUGUUUACACUUAACAUUCUAACUUCUUUGCUGCAGGAUGUUGUAUGACAAACGAUUUAGUGCCUUCCAUUAUCCUGUCACUGACGAGGAUGCUCCAAACUAUCGCUCUAUAAUCCAGAACCCUAUGGACAUGGCUACCAUGCUGCAGCGUGUUGACUCUGGUCAAUAUAUCACAUGCUCAGGAUUCCUGCAAGACAUUGAUCUCAUUGUGACCAAUGCAAAGGUGUGUUUUGUUCCUAGCUUCAUUUAAUUCUAUUUCUAGGUUCUCCUUCCAUUGAAUAAUUUAACACCACUAUACCUCUGGUCAGUGCAUCUAUUUCAUGCUUAAAUUUGGCGUGCAUGUCUCUAAUAUAGGUGUACAAUGGAGAUGAUUACAAUGGAGCUAGGAUUGUCAGUAGAGGUUAUGAGCUUCGGGAUGCGGUAAGUUUCCAUGCCUUUUGGUUUUCUAUGAUUUUUCCUCUCAUUUUGUCCUAUCACCUAAAGCAUCAUUUGAUGAAUCCCUUUUCAUAAUAUUUUACAGGUGCAUGGAAUGUUGUCACAGAUGGACCCUGCGCUUGUCACAUACUGUGACAAGAUUGCUGCUCAAGGGGGUCCUGUACAAAUACCAGAUGAUUUAGGGGGAUCUAUUUUCCCUUCAACCCCAGUUGUGCAGCUUGGAACUGUUACUAGAACAAGUGCCAGGCUACGCAACGUCCAGCCUGAUGUUAAUCUGGAUCAAAGCUACGAGGCCUUGAAAAGGCAGAAGAAAAAUGCUGAUGCUACUUGUGCUGGUAUGUUCAUUGGUAAUGCUAUAUACUUUGUCCUUAUGAUAUUGCUGUUCGUUUUUCCCACCUAUCUGAAUGAUGUCUUGAAACAUGUCAAGUUGCAAGACACAUUUUACAUGCUGAAUUUUGGUGCGGAUACUGAUGUAAUAGAUCAGUAGCAAGUAAAACUAAUCUCAGCUACCGACUUCUUGUAUAAUAGACUUGACCUGUUUGUAGUUCAUGUUUUCAAAUUUCAUUUCCUUGUUAGAAAAACCUCUCGUAAAUAUUGACAAUUAAAUCCUGAAGCCAGAAAUCUGAAUUUUUCUAUUCAAUACAUGAAUUUUAUCUCACAGCCCAUAUUCCGAACUAGCAUUCUCUUCAGCUCGUGUCCUUUAUCUGAAGUUUUUAACUCCUAAUUUUCCUAGAUUUGUUAUAUUUAAUGUUAUCCUUUGACUGAACUAUUUAAUUUUCCAUGAUCGCUCUUCGGACACAACUCUCUGAUCAUUUUAUACUUUUCAUGAAAAACAGCUUCAACAGCAGAAGAUAAAUCACGGCAUCAGGAUUCAGUACAGGCAAAGCCGCCAGAGGAAGCCGGGGCAGAUGAUAUGAAUCCAGACAGACCUGAGUCCUCUUCAGCCGAUGACAGUCGACAUGAAACUUCAGGAGGAGAAGCUUCUGGUCACACCGAAGGGAGUGGAUCCCAAGAUGUUACAAUGUCAGAAGCCGAAGUAUCAAGCCACGUGGAUUACAUCAAGCGGCUUUUCGUGGAGCGCACAGAAAAUUAUGGCAUGCCACUGCUUGAAAGGCUCUACACUCGUAUAAUGAAGGGAAUCUUCGAAACCAUGGACAAAGGAGUUGAAGAUGGCCCCAGAUACUCAAUUUUGAGGUUUUUGGUGAAAUUUGCAGAGAACACUGCAAACUUCUGAACUCAAUACCUUUUCCCCUUAAACCAGAGGAUAAAAGAAAAAUGAAAAAGGAACCCAAAAAAAAAAGAAAUCAUGCAGGUAGCUGAUGUAAAGUCGGGAUUUUCUUUUCAAUGCAAAAAAAUUAGAGUGAAAGCAGUCUCUCUCUCUCGCCCCCCCCCCCCCCCCCCCCUCCCAGAGUACAGUUUCGAUAAGCUUAUUUGACCUCACAAGCUGUCAAGCUCCAUGGUAUUGUUAUGGCUGGUGGCAAAUCCAAUGUGGCAUUCUUUUACAGGGAGGACUAAGUGGGAUCUUUUCUGAAGCAGACACAUCAAGAAUUGGGUUUGAAUCUCAGCAAAAGCAUCGCUGGUAUAAAUUAGACUCUUUCUGAUUGACAAUAUUCUUGAAUAUUUUUUCAUAUUUUCCAAGAUGUUUGUUUAAUAUCUUCAACUUCAAACUUACUCAGAGAGAGAGACAGGAGAAGAAAG